UCUCAGGAAAGCCAGUACUUUUGAGAGAUCAUCUAAUCCGUUUUACACUCUCCGCUGCAUGCCAAAUGGUUUUGAGUAACAAGUACUUUGCCCAAUCUGAAGGGGAUGGAUCUGUAGUUACCUUUGAAGAACUCCAAGAGAUGAUAGAUACCUGGUUUUCGCUGGGUGGUGUGUUCAAUAUUGGGGAUUGGAUUCCGUGGCUCGACAGAUUUGACCUUCAAGGUUGCGUAAAGCAAAUGAAAGAACUUUACAAGAAAUUUGAUAGAUUCCAUAACCAUGUGCUUGAUGAUCAUCGGGCCAAGAGGAAAACGGAGAAAGAUUUUAUCCCUAAGGACAUGGUGGACAUUCUAUUGCAAUAUGCUGAAGAUCCUGAUCUCCAGGUUAAACUCACAGGAGAUCAGAUGAAAGGGCUAAUUCUGGUGCUAUUUCUUCUCACUGUUUAAUCAAAUUUCCAGAUCUCUAUACCUCUUUAACUUACUGAAACUUAAAGCUAGCACUUUAGUUUAGCUUACUAUAAUGUGCCGUUAAAUAUAACUGUCUUUUUUCUUCUGAUUAAGAGGUUUUCUGCUUUCAAUGUGUUGUCAAGCAUGAUACUUCAUCAGCAUUUGAUCAUGGCAGGACUAAUUUUACCAAUAUUUGAUCAUGUCCAGGACUUACUGGCUGGUGGUACCGAUACCUCGGCGUCCACAGUAGAAUGGGCAAUGAAUGAACUUCUCAAACAUCCACUUCUCAUUGAAAAGGCAACCGAAGAGCUUGAUAGAGUGAUCGGGAGAGAUAAGUGGGUGGAAGAGGCUGAUUUCUCAAAGCUACCUUUUCUAGAGGCGAUCAUAAAGGAAACCUUUAGGUUACAUCCAAUAGCAACGCUGCUUCCACCCCACCGUGCCAUUGAGGAUGGCACUGUAGCUGGUUAUCACAUUCCUAAAGGAACAGUGGUGUUUAUAAACACACGGAGUAUAGGGAGGAACUCAAAGUAUUGGGAUUCUCCUGAAGAGUUCAUGCCAGAAAGGUAUUUGGAGAAGGAUAUUGACAUGAAGGGACAAAACUUUGCGUUAUUGCCAUUUGGCUCAGGUCGGAGGAUGUGCCCAGGCUAUGUCCUUGCACUCAAACUUGUUGGAACAAUGUUGGCCAACUUGCUGCAUGGAUUCAACUGGAAAUUGCCUCAUGGCAUGAAACCAGAAGAAAUUUGCAUGGAAGAACUCUACGGAUUCAUAACUCAUCCAAGGACUCCAGUUGCUAUGAUCCCAGAACCACGUUUGCCGGUCAAUCUCUACUAGAGAUCGUAUGAUUUAAGGGAAAAUUGAAAUGUGUUCCUUGUUGGCAAAAUAAACCAAACCUAAAAAUUGUUAGUGUCAGAUUUUUAGUGGUUGUGUGAUUUAGAAAUUAAUAUUUUAUUUGGUAAUUUCUUAUACAAGUGGUUUCUUUCUCAAUAAGUUUGCUAGGUUAUAAAUAAGACAUUAUUUAGUAUAUUUUUUUAAGAGAGUCCAGAAAGAGUCUGUAAGGUUUUAUUAUGGUAUGAGUUUCUUCCACUAAUUUGAAAUAUCAAUAAUAGUGUGAAUUAUUUAUUUCUUUUGUCUCUCAUAAAUAUGUUAGUAAUUAUUUCAUCCUUUAAUCUAUAACCCUACGCGCAUUAGUUAUUAUUAGAACUUUAAAAUUUGGAAUCUACAAUUGCUAUCACAAGCCCAACACGAGGUUAGUUUUGGAUGUUUCCAUUGUCAGAGAAUUAAGGCAUUUCUGUUGUAAGAGAAUUCAGGAACAAAUUUAUUGAAAAGUAUUUGGUUGAUUAAGUUAGACCACAAGGUUGGUCAUGAAGUGUAUAGUUGGUGAGAAAUUCAAUCAUAAGAUUGGCUCGAAAAUUAUUAGAUUGUUACAGGUGCUAUGACAGAGAUUAGAGAAGAAUCUUAUCAGAGUUGUUGAUUGCUGUGGAUUAUUAGAUUGAAGAAUUUAUUUAGUUAAUCAACCAAUGAGGCCAAGAAACUUGAAAAAAGAGGAAAGAAUUCGUUGAUAUACGUGAGUUAUUAAUGAUGGAUGUGUUUUGAGAUCUAUGUAAUAAUGAAAGGUAUAGCAUACUAACUCCUAAAUAUAAAAGCCAAGAAUCAUAUUAUUGUUGAUUUUUAAGAGUAAAAAAAUAUCUUGAACAUUGCAAUUUAGAUAAUUUUCUUGAUGGAUUGUUACAAAUGAAUUACCAAAACAUGUUGUCAAGAGGAAUGCUAGAUCAUUUUUUCAAGUUAUGUGAAAAACAAUGUUUGACUAUAUUCAAAAUAUUUGUUCAUCGUACUAAAAUACUUUGUAUAUUUUGGAAGAAUAUUUAUUACGUUUUGAAAACUGUUGAAUUGAAUGAUGCUUUUAAAUCAAAAUUUGGUUAUUGGACAUGGUUAGUUGAUUUUGAGAGUGAUAGAUUUGUAGAUGACAUGGGUGAUUUAGAAGAUUUUGAAUGGGUUGAUAGUUUAGAUUUGCAUACCAUAUUUGGAGAAAUUGGGAGUGAUGAUUUUGUUGAAAAAAAUGUGUUAAUUUGACAAAGAAAGAAGAAAAUUUUGAUUUGAUAAGACAAGAAGAAGAUGAAAUUGCUAUUGAAAAUUUUGUUGGUUUGGACUUUCUUCAAGAUGAUGGUAAGAUGUUUGAUUUGAUAGAUAUGGAUUUAUUGGAGUUGAAAAAUAUUUUACUUCUAAAGAAUUGAUUGACAUUGUGAACUUGUUUUGGUAAUUGUGGUAGUGGAAUUCUUGAAUUGUUUGGUGAUGAUCAUUUUGAUAAAAAUGCAAACUAUGAUUUUGUAUUCUUAGGCACUUACGUUGGUAGUAAAUAUGGUGACUAGUGAUGAAUGGCUUUGUAUGAAUAAGUACUUUGAUCCAAAGGAAAUUAUUUGCAAAAUACAAAGUGCAUUCACUGUCACGAGUAAAGAUGAAAUAAAAGUCGGCAACAAGAUAGAGUUGCAUAUCAAUUAUACUAUGACAUAUAUUUGCAUGGAGACUAUUGCUCUAGAUAGAGUUGAACCUAUCUCAAUGAAGAGUUUGAUUUAAGAGAGGCAAUGUUGACAAAAGAAGUCAAGCCUAAACUUUUCUACUUAUUUAUUUACUAAUUUUAUUGGUAUCAGAUUUUCAGUAGUUGUAUGAUUUAAAAAUUUGUGUUUUAUUUGGUAAUUUCUUAUGGUAGUGAUUUCUUAAUUAACAAGUUUCCUAUAUAUAUAUAAAAAGGAGUUGUUGUGUGGCUGUUGGAUAAUUUUCAUCUAACCAUUUUGAGGGGUACAUUAGGCAUUUCAGUACCAGUGUACAAGUCAUUAAUGUUAGGGUACUUGCAUUCUAGGUGUAUUGGUAUGUACAUUACCCAGCCUAUCCUUAGUGGCUUGAUGCUUCCACUCUGCCGAUGCUUAGUUAUAAAUAGGACAUUAUUUAGAGUGUUUUCUCCAGAAAGUCCGGAACCAGUCUGUGAAGUUUUGUUAUGGUGUGAUUUUCUUACAUUGUUUUGAGAUAUCAAUAAUAGUGUGAAUUAUUUAUUUCUCUCCUCUCCUAUAAAUAUUUGAGUGAUUGUUUCAUCUUUCAAUCUAUAACUUUAUAUGCAUUAAUUAUUCUUAGAAUUCUAACAUUUGGGUUCUACAUUCCUACCCUGUAUCACUCAAUGGUUGAACUCAUUCUCUGCUCUCCAAUUGUAUCAUGCCCUUUUAAUCGCUUAGCCCAUUGAAAGUGAUAGUGAUAGACAAAUUCCUGCAAGUACAUAGGGGUCAAUCAGAGUAAUAAUUCACCUAAAAUAUUUUAGGGGUUGAAUCCAUAUAGAUGAGUCAAUUUUCUACUUUAAUUAUCGUAACAAAAUAAUGAAACUUAAAUUCAAAGGAUUUUUAAUUACUAAUUAAGAAAUUGAAUAAAUAAUCAAAUCAAAUAAGAUAUAGGUAAGAAAAUAAUUGGCAAAAGACUAGGGUUCAGGUUUUAAUCCAUAUUUUGAAUUAUUUAUCUCGUUAAUUUCUUAACAUGCCAAGAAUAUAUCAUGCAAAAGUUUUAUAGAUUACCUUUUGAUACAGCCAAAUUGCAUCCAAUUAAAUUUCAUGUCUCUCUCAAAAUUAUAAAUAUUUAAUUAAAAGAGGUUUCUGACAAUUUCACUUGCAUCCCUUAGAUUUGAAUAAUUACACUAACCUCUCUUCAUAUAGCUAAAUGACUACAAUAUUCUUCACUUAUAAAUAAUUCAUACAAACAAAAAAAAAAUACCCUAGAACUACAACUAGUUUUUCAUUCUAAAGUAACAAUUGCCACAUAAAACAACUUUUAUUCUCUCUCUCCAACCCUUUCUCCUACUUUCUUUCUCCUGUAUCUCAUAAUUCACCAUUUUUUCGCAACUGCCAUCUACACAACCAUUUAAUACAUCUCGAAUCCUUAUUAUUAUGGAAAUAGAUCCUCUUUUUUUUUGUAUGUAUUAUUGAAUUAAAAUUGCCAAAUGACAGUUAUCGGAUUUGAUUUGUUGUUAAACUAAAUGAAGAUGAAAAGGAUGAUGGUGAUACAGAAUACAGACAAGAAAAUAAAACUAAUGGCUAAAAAGGAAACUUGAAUUGAGGAAGAUUGUGUUAUUAUGUCAAUUGUGUAAAAAAGAAUUUUGGGAUAAAAAUUGCAAUCGAAUUUGCCUAGAGACAUGGGAUAUUGUUUCUAGUGUUGCUUUUGGUUGCUCCGUGUUGGUUUUCUUAGUGGGUCUGAUUAUUUUAGCAUCAACGAAGUUGCAACAUUUUGGAUUGAGUUUGGAUAGUGACAUUGGUCAAUUCAAGCACUGAAUUUAGAUCCCAAAAAAUGAGGUUAAAGAUUAGGUUGAAUGCAAACUUUUAUUGUCAUAACUGAUUUGUAUGGGAAGUUUUGGAACAGCAAUGGUAGGCUGUCAAAAUUGUGAGAAUAUGGGGAUUAAACUGAAGUGGUUUAUUGAAGUUGUUAUGGUGGUGGUUAUGUUGUUAGCAAUAGUUGUAACGUGGAAGAAAUUUAUUAGUGUGUUUUUCUCCUUCUAAGUAAUAAAGGGGUAUUUUAGGAUUUUUAAGAACAAAUUUAGUAUAUUGAGUCUAUAUUGUUACUGAAAUGCUAAUCGUAGGGGAGGUAGGUAUAAUUUUUUAAACUAGAGGGGAGCUUCCUGCAAUAAUAAAAAAUCUCAAGGGAGGCUUCUGAAAUUAUCCCUUAAUUAAAUCCUUUAAGAUCGUAGAUGAUUUAAUUACGUCAUACAAAUUCUAACCUGCUCUCAUGAUUAGGUUAAGCAUAUUUAUCUAUCUAAUGCAUGAUUAUAUAUCUCUUCUCAGUUCACUACAAAUGCUAAAGCAUGUCUAUGGUGGCUAAUCACAAAUAUGUAAUUAAGAGAAGAUAAAUAAAUCAAGAUAAAAGUCAAGAAUUUAACUAGAAUAAAUAAUCAAUUCUCUUCAAAAAAUCCUAACCCUAGAAGUAAAUUAGUUCAUCAUAAUUGUAAGAAUAAACAAGAGUUCAAUAUUGAAAAUACAAGACGUGGAAUAAAGCGUAAGAAAAGUUUCUUACCGACUCCAAAUCCCGUGUCUUGAUUGUCAGUCUCGAUUCUUCAAUUCCUAAAGAAAGCCAUAGAACUAAUGUUUUGACAAGUGUUUUAUCUCCUAAAAAUGUUCUAAGUACUCCCAUUUAUAGUUUUCUAUAAUCUCUGUUGAAUCUCGAAAGGAAUAGGCUUCCCGCAUAGUUUUUUAUGACAUCCGGUGACAAGUCAAUUUCAAGAUCAAAUUUCCACGCGUUUGGAAUACAUUUCCUCCUCGAUCUCACUUUUUUGCAAGUUAGGAUCCAAUUAAAGCACAAAAAGGCAUAAUCAACCAAUAAUUUACAUGUGUAACAUUGCUAAAAUCCACACCCUACUUCCUAGUACUUUCCAAUUUAUUGGUUAAUGGAAUAAGAACUUUCUCAAUAUAGUUCAUUCUCUAUUUAUCCAUAAUUUUAACAGAUUCUUCUCAUGGCAUGAAACUUAUCCAAUAAUAAAUUCAAAAUAGUCAUAAUUGAUAUUUCAGGAUAGCCGCAAAAGCAAUUGGUAAAUGGAAACGUUUGAUGAAGAAAGUAAAUUCACAAAUCAGGAUGGCAACAGAGACACUUGCAAGCUUUGCAGUGAAUCAAGUUUAGAGAAUGAGAAUGUGAUUUCACUGGUUAACCCACUGAAGGAUAGGUUCAAGCCAAUUUUUCUUAUACCAUAUUCCGACCUAAUGCUGAUCAUGGUUGACAAGAUAAUUGAUAAACAAUUUGUAAUCUCUAACAAGGCCUUGACUAGCACUCUUACGAAGAAAUUUGCCAAAUUAGGUGAUAUAAAUUACCAAAUUUGCCAAAAGUGGAAUGUGAAAUUCGUCCAAAAUUCAUGGAAGGAAAAGAAAUAAUCAAGACUUCAAUAAUGGAAACGGAAGCAAGAAUAACGCUAGGCAAGACGGCAUGGACUUCAAUUGUCAAUUCCUUUGGAGUUUCAAUAUUUGGAUUGUAGUUUUUUAAGAAAAAAAUUUUACAUUUUUAAUGAACAUAUUUUUUAAUAUCUUAUUAUUUUAUAUAUAUUAAAUUAUUACAAAAAUUUUAAAAAAAUAACAAUCUAAACGCAGCUGCAGCGCUAGUGCUUGGCAAGCUUGAAACAACCCUCUCGAAUUAAGGUGUGAUAAUUUUGACCCAAAAAAAAUGAAGGUGUGAUAAUGCUGCACGUCAUCUACGAUUUUUCAGAUUCCUACUUCUAUACUUUGACAAAAGACAUGUCUAUGUCUGGCAGGAAGUGUGACAAUGCUGUACGGCAUCAACAAAUUUUCAGACUCCUACAACUUCAAUACUUUGACGGGAUAAUUUUGAAAACCUCCCUUGGGAUUUUGAUAAUUUUACUCUGCUUUCCUCAAGUUUAAAUAAUUAGGCUUACCUCCCUUGACAUAAUAAAGGACCUAUAAUGACCUUCACUUAAUAGACAAUUCACAGUGUAAUGCAAUAUAUUUGAAAAACCCCAAAAAAAAAUCAUUUUUUUCUAUGUCUUGCCUAGCUCCACUCUUCUCUUUUCUAGUUAUUAUAUUGUUGUGCCCUUUUUUUUUCAGUUUUAUAGAUAUUACCAAAUUGAAAUUGUAAAAUUAAUAGUUCAAUUGAGGGAGUGAAUUAUGUAUCAAAUUAGAAGAAAAUGAAGAGAUUUGGAGUGAUAGAGAAAAAAAAUAACGAAAUUAAUUAAUGAUUGAAACAGGUUGGAGGAUCAAAGAUGGAAAAUUUACCAUAUAUAUUUUUUUCUGUGGCAAGCAUUGAUGAUCCUUUGGAUAGUUGCUUUGAUUUGGAACUAGAGUUUUUACUUAUGUGGUUAUUAUGAAUUGGGAUGGUCAAUUUGUGAAAAGUGUGAAAGAAAAGAAUUGAAUAUAUUGUAUUUUUCCUUUUUACUUUUGUAAUAAAGGGUAAUUUAAGGUUUUUGAGAAAAAAUCUAGUUUGUUGGACCUAUUUUAUUAUAUAAACAAUAAAAGUAAGGAUUUAGAUGUAAUUUUUAAAACUUCAAAAGAACUCUUUGCAAUUAUGAAAUACCUUAAGGGAGGUUCAUGAAAUUAUCCCAUACUUUGACAAAAGACAUGUCAAUGUCAGCAAGACGUGUGAUUAUGCUGCACGCAUCAAUGAUUUUUCACGUCCCUACAACUUCAAUACUUUGACAAAAGACAUAUCUAUGUGUGGCAAGAAGUGACAUAAUAUAACAAAGAGCAAAUUUUCUAAAUAGUCCUUCAACUUUUUAACUAAUUCAUGUUUGAUCCUUCAUCUUAAAAAUGAGAUAGAAUGAUCCUUCAAUAAAAUUUUUUAGACCAAAUUGGUUCUUAGUGGUGAUGAGAUUUGAAUUUUCUUGCCUGUUCCGUCACAUAGGGACCAAUUCGGCCUAAAAAAUUUCAUUGGAGGGCCAUUAUGUCCCAUUCUUAAGAUGAAGGAUCAAAUAUGAAUUAGUAAAAAUGUCCUAUUGAACUUGAAGACGACACGGCUGCUGUGGAAAUUAAGUUCAAAGACAAUUCGUGGUUUCUGACGUACAGCAAUGAGCGACCCAUUUUUAGGAACCUCUCUUAAACUUCUAAAACUAUCACUUACCUCCCUUAUCAUUCAAACUCAACGUCACAAGUCACCAAUUGAUAUUUUUACCCUCAAUACUAUAGGUUUAUUCUGGAAAAAUACUUUCCACCCAAAAGAAUUGGCAUGAUUUUCUUCUUUUGCUUUUUUUUUUCUUUUGAAUUUUGCCCUGUUUUAAUAAAAAUGUCGCAUAUAUUAGUCCCAAUUCAGGAGCUUAUAUUUUUUAGCGUAAUUCUUUUAUGCCAGUUUACCUACCACAUUCCCCGCAUUAAUUUCAUUGCCUUCAUAUUAUUGGAAGAGUUUGUAUUUUCACUAGCGAAGUAGAGCUUGUUUUAGGGAUUUUUUUCCUCCGCUCUCAAAUUUUUUUUCUUAGUUUUGGCUCUCAAAAAUUUCUGGUUGUGGCCUUGCAAUUAGAACCACUUUUUUUUUUUUUUACUAAUAUUGAAAGAUUUGGUGAAUCGGGUGACUUCCCACUUGAAUUUCAAGAGACCAAUCUUGUUCUCUCUAUUUCUUUACUUUAUAUUUUAGAAUCUGUUCAUCAAUGUUUCAAUUCUUUUCACCUCAACUCUCUCCAUAUGCAUUUCCAGCAAGGUGUGUUUGGAUUGCUUGUUUCCGUCGGAAAAUAUUGUCGUUUUCCGUGAUCACAUUUCCCUAUCACCUUUUUCCCUCACAUAUAUCAAAUCGCUACAGUAAUUUUUCCAUGAAAAAUGACGGAAAAUGCAAUCCAAACAUGUGCUUAAUAGUUGUUAUCUAUUGUUAUAUUGAGUUGCAUUACAAUAACAAACACUACACAAAAUUUUCUUGGAUUUUAAAUCUUUUAUUAAUACUAAUAAGGAUUUUGGAUAAUGAAGGAACAAGACAACUGAAAGGGCAAUUUUGAAAUAAAAAUAUGCUCAUUUUACUUAAAUGAAUCAUUUAAUCUUACUUUGCUCCUAGUUAGGGGUGGUAGAUGAAUUGAGUUACUCGCAAGGAAUUUAGUCAAAUCUUUAUUCGAACUCGAGUUUGACUGAUACUCAAGUCAAUUAUUGAAUCGAAUUCAAGCAUCUAGGUAAUUGUUAAAUUACCUAAAAACCUAUAUUUUUAGAAAUAAUUGUCUUACCACUUGAGCUCGAAUUUGAUCUUAAUUUGCUUCUUGAGCACCUUUAUCUUUCACAUGAGCCGAACUUGAGUUUCAAAGUUGAUGAGCUCAAACCUGAGUUUGAGCUCAAGUAAUGUCUUCAAGCUCAUCGAGCUCGAGAUUGAAUACAUUAUAUAUUUGAGUUUGACUCCAUUCAUUGCCAUUCCUAUCCUAGUCAUUGAGCAUGUUACAAAAGAAUUUAUUUAGGGGAGGUUAAUGAGAUUUUCAAAAGUUUAGAAGUUCCAAGUGAUAUUCGCAAAAACCUUAGGGAAGGUUUUCGAAAUUAUCCGAAGAAUCAAUUCAAAGCCAGCUGAUGCAUGUGGCACAGAUUAACCUUAUCAAACAUGACCAUGUGCAUAAAGCCCCCACUGGAGUUCGGCAUUCAAAUCCCCACCGGAGUUCAUUGCCAUACUAACUUAUUUCAGCCCUGAUGGAGACUUGGCUACUCUUAGCCUUGGCAUGGGUUGUCGCAUUGGCUUUUCUCUCAAAAGUAUCCACUCACAAACGCCUGAAGCAAAAUCAUCCACCAGGACCAAAACCAUGGCCUAUUAUUGGCAACUUGAAACUCCUAGGUUCAAUCCCACAUCAAUCCUUACACUUGCUGUCCCAGAAAUAUGGAGAAAUCAUGCAACUAAAAUUUGGUUCCAGCCCUGUUGUAGUAGCUUCAUCCCCUGAAAUGGCAAAAGAAUUCUUGCAAACACAUGACAACAUCUUCGCCUCUCGGCCUACAACUGCUGCUGGCAUAUACACUAGCUAUAACUGCUCCGACUUGACAUGGGCACCUUAUGGUCCAUUCUGGCGACAAGCUCGUAAACUUUAUCUAACCCAAAUAUUUAAUCCAAAGCGACUUGACUCCUUCGAGAGCAUACGCAUUGAAGAAAGGCGUGCUUUCAUUUCUCGCUUGUAUGCCCUCUCAGGAAAGCCAGUAGUUAUGAGAGAUCAUCUAACACGUCUUACCCUCUCCACUGCAAGCCAGAUGGUUUUGACUAACAAGUACUUUGCCCAAUUCGAAGGGGAGGGAUCUCUACCUACCUUUGAAGAAUUCCAAGAGAUGAUAGAUACUUGGUAUUUGCUGAGUGGUGUGUUCAAUAUUGGGGAUUGGAUACCAUGGCUCGACAGAUUUGACCUCCAAGGUUAUGUAAAGCAAAUGAAAGAACUUCACAAGAAAUUUGAUAGAUUCCAUAACCAUGUGCUUGAUGAUCACCAGGCCAGGAGGAAAACAGAGAGAGAUUUUAUCCCUAAGGACAUGGUUGACAUUCUAUUGCAAUACGCUGAAGAUCCAGAUCUCCAGGUUAAACUCACCAGAGAUCAGAUAAAAGGGCUAAUUCAGGUGCUAUUUCUUCUCAUUGUUUAAUCAAAUUCCUAGGUCUCUGACUCAGUACCUCUUUAAGUUACUCAUUACGCAUUUUCUUACGAAAGUAAGAAUUCGGCAAAUAAACCUAAAGCCCCAUGAAAUCUUUCAAAAGCCGGCAACUUUUGAAGGCUCCCAGGAGACUUAUCUACUCAAAUCCCAACCCUCCAAGACCGAUGUGGGACAAUGAAACCCCAACAAGGGCCAAGCCUCUUGGGCUUUUGCCUCCAAGGGCUGCUGCUGCUAAGAAGUACCUCUUUAAGUUACUGAAUCUGAAAGCCAGCGGUCUUGCUUAGUAUAAUGUGCCAUUAAAGAUAACUGUCUCCUUUCUUCUAGUUAAGAGUUUUUUAUUUCCUUUCUAGAUUAAUAGUAUUACAAUUUGUAGUAAAGUAUCAACAAUAUUUGAUCAUAGAGGCACUAAGUUUACCAAUAUGUCAUGUUCGGGACUAACUUUACCGAUGUGUUGCUGACAUAACGUGCUAUUAAAGAUAACUGUCUUCACCCUCCAAAAAAAAAAAAAAGAUAAUUGUCUUCUUUCAUCCUUCUGAUUAAGAGGGCUUUGUUGCAUUUUCCAAGAUUCCAAUAGGAGAUUUUUUAAUACAACUAUGAUAUAAAUGCGUACCAUUUAUAAAACUAAUCUCUGAAAAAAAAAAACUAUCAACUAGAUUCAUAUUGAUUCAUUGCUAUUUGAAUCCUUUAAAUCUUAGGCUGGCCUUUCAAAUCAACAUUUAUCUUCAAUUUCUCUCUGGUAUCUAGGAUAUAAGAACUAUUUUGCAAUACCAAAGUAUACAACAUAAAAAUGCAUGUGAUCCGGGGAUUAUAACUAUAAUAUAAAUAACUUUUCUAUUAUCUUUUGAUGUUUCUAUUUUAAUCUAUCAUAAAAAUAGAAAUUAUCCAUAAGUCUCUAUGCAUUAAAAGCCAAUAAUGUAUAAAAGCCAAUAUCUUAUGAAAUACAUUAAAAUUCAAAUUAUAAUUGAUUACUUAAUUGGAUUCAAUCUAAUUUCACAGUUUGCAAUACAUAAUUAUUCAUAUAUAAGCCUAGCAUUGGAUCUAGGAUCCAACAGUUUUUUUCCUUCCAAUCUGUUGUAAAGCAUGAUACUUCACCAAUAUUUAAUCAUGGCAUGACUAACUUCUAACUUUACCAUUAUUUGAUCAUGGCCAGGACUUGCUGGUUGGUGGUACCGAUACCUCAGCCCUUACAGUAGAAUGGGCAUUGAAUGAACUUCUCAAACAUCCACGUCUCAUUCGAAAGGCAACCGAAGAGCUUGAUAGAGUGAUAGGAAGAGAUAAGUGGGUGGAAGAGGCAGAUUUCUCAAAACUUCCUCUUUUAGAGGCGAUCAUAAAGGAAACUCUCAGGUUACAUCCACUGGCAACGCUACUUUCGCCCCGUUAUGCCCUCGAGGAUUGCACUGUAGCUGGUUAUAACAUUGCUAAAGGAACAACGGUGUUUAUAAACACAUGGAGUAUAGGGAGGAACUCAAAGUAUUGGGAUUCUCCUGAAGAAUUCAUUCCAGAGAGGUUUUUGGAGAAGGAUAUUGACAUGAAGGGACAAAACUUUGUGCUACUGCCCUUUGGCUCAGGUCGGAGGAUGUGCCCAGGCUAUAACCUUGGAAUCAAACUUAUUCGAUCAAUGUUGGCCAACUUGUUGCAUGGAUUCAACUGGAAAUUGCCUCGUGGCAUGAAACCAGAGGAAAUUUGCAUGGAAGAACACUACGGACUCACAACCCAUCCAAGGAUUCCACUUGCUAUGAUCCCAGAACCACGUUUGCCGGUCAAUCUCUAUCAGCAAGUAUUGAUUUAAGGCAAAAUUGAAAUAUAUUCCUACUCUGUAUCAAUCAAAGGUUAAACUUAAUCUCCCCUCUCCAAUUGUAUCAUGCUUUUUUGAUCACUUGGCUCAAUUUAGGUGAGAGCUUGGGAGUUGGGACAGAGUAUAUUUGACCUAAGGAAACUUUGAAGGGACGAUACUCCUUUUGGUGAUUUCUAUUGUGAAAUAAUACAAAAGUCACAAUCAUACUGGUUUUCUUUUCUUUCUUGAAAUUGCUUUUGGUGAUUUCUAUAUUGUGAAAUAAAAGAAAAGUCACAAUAUAUUUUUUGGCUAAAUAACAAAAGUCAAAAUAUCGCAAUUAUGACGUGUGGAAGAAUUGACAUGGAAAUAUUGAAGACUGCACAGAGGGGGGAAAAACUGGCUCUCUUGUUAGCAAAGAAAAUAGGUACGCAACGGCAUUAAAUAUAACAUCUCAAAAAUUUGAUGAACAAACAAGGAGGCCCUCAAUUAGAGCCACAAGUCUUUUCAAGUUCUUGAGAACAAAAGAUAACAUUCACGAAAGCAGAGUUGGCACAACUUACUGGAACAGAGAAGGAGCAAAACUAAACCUUGUGCAAUGACCAACUUUAUGAUUGGUUCGCACAAGGCCUGUAAAAAAGACAAAACAAAUCUGACUUCUUGACUUCAUACUACUAACACAUGUUUCAAUAUGGCAAUGCUAACUAUGAACCCAAUUCCUAUGCAACUUCAAGAAUCUAACCAAACAGAUUGAACCGAGACACCCAAUUUAAGUAAAACUACGGGUGUCGAGGUUAAUUAAGUAGCUCAUGAGUUUGGUCUGUCAAAGUUCUCAAACUUUUCAUUGGUCAAGUUUAAGCUCGAGUUCGAGCAACUCGAGCUACUUGACGAGUCGAGUUCGAUUUUAACAUAUGAAACUCGAAAACUCAUUAAGGUUAAUUGAAUUCAAAUGAGCUUUACGCACACAUAUAUUAAUUUUUUUUAUAUAUAUUCUAAAAAUGUACGGAGCUGGCAUUGGUUUUGUGCUAAAUAUAAUCAAGUGAAUAUGAAUACAUCUCAAAUUAAAUUCAAUUAGAAAAUGAGUUAAAUUAUCUUACCUCAAUAUUGCAUGAAAAAAUAAAAAUUGUACCAUAAAAGUUUUACUGCAUGGAUUGAAGCACAAAUUAGAUUGCUCUCUUUAAGAUAAUUUGCACGUAUGAAGUAUUAUCCAAUGUACUAGGUUUUAGCAUGUUGCUUCUAACCUAUUUUUUACUGCAAUUUAUCCUAAUAUACCAAUAGGUUAGACAAAAACUUAACACAAUACUGUUUUUACUUCAAAUGAAAUUUAUACUAUAUAUAAAGGGAGAGUAGUGAUAGUUGGUAUAAAGAUUUUCUGCCAUUUUUAUGAACUUUCAAUUUUACCCCUUAGAAAAACUAAUUUUUUGUCCUAAUUACUUGAUCACAUUUGCCAACAUAUCACUGCUCAUAACUACACCAAAUAUUCCAGCUACCAAAUUAUCUAUUUUUUAAUUGAAGGAAAAUUACUUAUAAAUUGAUGUUUGUUAAUGAAAAAUUCUUUUAAAAUUUAUUUGUGCAAAAAUAAAAUUUGUGAAUUUAUAAAAAUAAUAAUUAUCUCUAAAUUGCACACAUACUCGGUGUGCCUUUAACACUAGUACAUAUAACAUAUCUAAAACUAGUUUAGUAUUAGUAGAAUAUAGUAGAAGAAUCUCCUUAUCAAGAGUAAGAAAUAUAGGUGUUACAAUAAUGUAAGAUAUCUGUUGUUUGAACAUUUAUUUAUAGGUAGAAUAUUAUAUGAGUGCAACCUUGACAAUUCACAUUAAAUCUAAUGACAAUACAAAAUUUUAGUUUCAAAAUACUAUUGCUUGUAAUGCCAUGUAUAACGGUCAAAUUAUUAUGAAAAUAACAUUAGAAAAGUUUCUCAUUUUUGUUAUCAAAUUUGUAAUUGAAAAUCAUUGAAUAAUAAUUGUAAUUUUUUUUUGUUAAAUUACUCCAACAAUACCCCCUCUUAUUUUAAUAACAAAUAAGUGGGGGACGUGAAACCAUUUGAUUUUACAUAACAUUGUCUUAGAGUUCUAUUAGAAGUGGCAAAAUGGAUAUAUGGUUGAUAAAUGGUUUUAGUUAAAUGGAUAGUGGAUCAAAUUGAUCCAAUCCAAUUAAAACCAUUUAAUAAAUGGAUCUAAAUGGAUGCCAUUUCAAUGGAUACUGUAAACCAUGAUCCAUCCAUUUAUCCAUUUACUCUCCCAAAUCCUAAAUUUAAGAUCCAAAUGUUUUUUUUCCAAAAAAUACAGAUCCCCAAAGUUCUAUCCCUAAAUCACCUAAAACCUUUUGGUAAUAACAAAUGCUUGUACUACUACUCUAUUUCAGUUCUUCAUAAAAUUAGUUUAGUUCCAAGAAAAUUUAACUGCUGUGGUCAAUUUAACCUUUCGUCAUUACUUUAAGUAUCAUUUUGUAAAGUAAUGAACAAUUAAGAACUUGGCUACAUUUUUAUAACUUUUGAAUGAAUUGAAUACGGCUUUAUAGUGAAAAAAAAGUUUACGUUUCCAAUUUUUGCACUCCUGUUCAAGAGUGAUGUCUUGAAUAAAAGUGGAGUUCAAAUAAGAAAUCUUAUGUUAUUUGAUAAGUAAAAUAUUUUCAUCACUUAUGCACGUAGUACCUAAAAAUGUAUGAAACUUCUUAUUAUACCAUUGAUAUACAAGCUACCUUAUAUUACUUAGUAAAUUAGGUGUCUUUUUUUUUGGAUAGUUGGGUUGGGUGAUAAGGGGAGAGAGAUUGCAAGUAUGAGGAUUUGGAAAAAAAAAAAAAAGGUGACAUUUACAUAUCUUAACCAAUGUUGCGGGGACACUCGUUAGAAAAAUUCUUUUUAUAAAUAAAAGAAUUAAAAAAAUAAAAAUUAUUUUGACACUGCAUGAUGCAUUCUUGCUUUUUCUUUACUUAAGAAUAUAAAUGUUUGCAAUCAUUACUGCAUGAGAGUUUAAUUAAAAAAAAAAAGAGUAGAGACUAAAAUAUAAUUUUGAAAAGGAUGGAAGAAAUCUAGGAACUAGAAGCAAAUAAAAUGCAAUUAAUGUUAUUGGCAACUUGGCAUGUGAGGAAGUUACGAAAGAAAGAAUAGGUGGUCCCACAAAAUUAAUCUAACAUAUGAGAAAGUUAUGAAGAAAAGAAUAGAUGGUCCCACAAAAUUUUAUCUCGCAUUUUUAUAAAUGUGUUUCCUAUUUUUUAAGUUAAAUGGAUGUAUAUGGAUAAGAUGGAUAAUCCAUUUAAAUCCACCAAUAUAAUUGGAUUUAAAUGGUUAUCCAUUUAAAACCAUUGAAUUUAUAUGGAUCAUCCAAAUCCAUUUAAGGUUGGUUUAUAUGGAUGGAUUGGUGGAUAUGAAUCCAUUUUGCCACUUCUAAGUUCUAUAUAGUCCCUUCCUCAACUUUCAUUUAAUUUUUUCCAAUUGCGCCUAAAUCAAAUUCUUACCUUUUAGAUAUACGUACUACUGUCCUAACACAAUACUAAUCAAUUCAAUACCCUACUAUUGGAAUACUAAAACAACUCAAUGAUGUCCUAACACAUCGUUCUUGGGCUGAUCCUGUGAGAUUUUAGUGUGAUUUCUGUGGUUCGGCGUUAUAAUCACUGAUGGCCGACUUUUCUGUUCAUUCUUCGACAGUAAAGUGUUGGGCAGUGACUGACCAACAAAUGCUUUGAUGAAGAAGAGUUUGUAGCAUUAAAAAAUUGAGAACGGAUAAAUUGUACUUGUUUGGCCCGAUGGAUACGAAAUCUUGUGGCACGUCUAUUCUUCACUAAAAUUAUUGGAAUUUGGUCACAGAUUUACAUGAAUCUUCCUCCAUCUUCUAUGUUAAUUACGGCUUUUUCAAAUUGAGGUUGUAAUUUUCAAGUUGAGCUUUUAUCUUCUUCAGCAAAUAGCAUCCAAUUUAAGGUACUUAAGUUUUGGCCUUUACUCAUUUGAUUUUAUGUUAUGACCUUCCAUCUGAUACGUCGUUGGGGAAACGGGGCCUCACAAGUUCCAUUUCAUACAAGUUGGUGUAAAUUAAUAAUUUACUUUCAACUUACAUCAAAUUAUCUUUAAUUUACACUAAAUAAUAAUAAUUAACUUAUACCAAACGGUACUUAAUUUACACCAAAUAAUAACAAAUCAACAUACAUUGAAUUGUAACCUAUUUACGUUAAACUUGACUUGAUUUAUACGAAAAUCAUAUUAAUUUAUACCAGAGGUCAAUUUGUGUGAAAUUGUACGAAACAUAAAUUGCGAUGAUUGCCUCUAGUUUUUUCUAGUUAAUUUUUAGUGUUUAUUAAUAGUUGUUUUUAAAAUGUACAUGAUGUGUUUUUAAGGUGUAUUUUGCAUAGAUCAUCCCCUCGUAUCCAUUUUCGCAAGUAUACGAGUCGAAAGCGAAUAUAGGAUAUUAAGGGUCGAACCUACAGGGAAGAUUUUCAAUUAUCGAUAUUUUUUUAAUACCUUUAUUAUUUAGACUAUCACAAGUACAAAGAAAUUAAAUCUGCACUACAAAAAUACAAUAGAAAGAUUCUAGAGGUAUGGAAUUCCUUACUACUCUUGCAAAUGAAGUUACCAGUUAAGUGAAUGCUAUUAUCUUAGUUAGGUAUAGCAUAAUUUCCUAAUGUAUGUGAAACCUACUCUCGUAGUGAAUCAACUAUACUUGUAACUAAAUUAUACCUACUCUCGUGGUUAUGAAAUCAACUACACGUUCAUUUCUUCUAUGAAAUUACAUUAAACAAAUCACUAAAACCACAUAAGUGCACCUCUACUGUCGUAAAUGUACUUCCUAGGUUUAUCACUUCCUUGAACUAGUGUUAAAUUUCAAUUUUCAUUACAAACUUAACACCUUAACAUUAUCACAAUUAAUGGCCGGUUAAUCAUGAUUAGAAAAGCAAAAGUGAUAAAUAACUUACUCAAAAUAAUAUCAUCAAAUAAACAUCACUAACAAGAUAUAGAAAGUUCAUCCAUAACUCUAGGCAUAAACUUUAACUAAUCAUGAAAAUAAGAUCCAAACUUGUCUUAUAGUUAAACAUGAAAUCAAAAACAAGAGAGAAAGUGAUAGGAGAGAAGUCACCCUUGUCACGCGAGUUUCAAACUCUCUAUUUUGCUCUUCAAAUCUUCACCUAAAUCUAACUACAAAUACAAGAAGGAAAAGCUACACUAACUAUACUAUACUACUCUAACUAAUGAACUAAGGAAAUUCUAAUAAAGACUAUAUUUUUGGUUAGUUUUUCUAGCCUUCCAAAGUUUUGAAAAUGGUCUCUAAAGGCUGCUAUUUACAGAGAAUUAAAACUCAAGGUAAGUUGUUUCUUGGUUGGCAAAGUUGGUCUUUUAAUUCAUCAAGAGUUGUUGUCCAAGUUUCCACACUCUUCUUGGUCAGAUAUAGCUAAAAUUUUAAGUUGUAGAUGAGCUCGAAAGGUUGUAUGAACGAAGAACAAGUUGUAGUAGAAAAUGAAGAAUACACGACUUGAAAACACGACCUUAGAUCACGUAUUGCUUACCCACGUAUUGCUUCUGCAGGUUUGUACUUUCUAGGCAGAAUUCAUCCUUACUCCAUUUUUUGUCCAAUUUCAACUGACAUUUUAUUGAUAAUGGAGGCUGAACUAGCUAUUGCACAAAACAUAAACAUUGUAGCCCUUUGAGUUAGCUUUCCAAGGCAUUAAGAAUCAUCCAAUUUGGAGCUCUGUGGACCAAGAUAUGAUUAGAUUAAUCAUGACUGGUCAAUUCCCUGUUUCAACUUUCGACCAUGAAAUUGCACUUCUGUAUUUUGACUUUUUGUCUAGGAAAACAACUGAAUUGGAUUUCGAUGUUUUCAUGCCAAAUGUAGAUCUAUCUCUUAGUUUCAAAAUAGUUCAAAAGUCACCUCAAUCCGAUGCUUUUAGCUCAAUCCAAUGCUCUUAGCCAUGAACUUCACAAGUUCAAUAGGUAACCAUUAGUGAUAUAAAUCUAAAAAAGGAAAAUGUGAAACAAAGGUGAUAACAAAGGCAUUUAUAAACAUAAACCGGCGAUCCGUAACUUUAUGCCUUUGUGGUGGUGAUGUACCUAUAGAUAAUACGCAACAAACUACUCAAGGCACAAGGAAAUACAUGAGGAAAAGAAAAAAAAAAGAAAAUGAACAAUGGAACCUAUAUUUGUCUUUAAAAAGAAACCCUAAAAACAUGAUUGCAGAAAACGAGAGCUUGAAGUCGCGUUUUAGUAACUCGCGUUUUUAGUUUAAAAGUUGUGGGACCAAAUACGUGACUCUUGAAAAAACAAUUUAAAGUCGCGUUUUGAAACUCUCGUUUUCUUCUUUGUUGUUGCAGAAUGGAAUACGUGGCUCAUGAAUGCGCGACUUGAAGUCGCCUAUUUCUGAGCACGCAUUUUCAAUUUCUGUAGUUUUCUGCAGAAAUUUUGCAACUUUUCAAAAAUUUGACUUUUACCCAAAUUAUUCAAAAUGCAUCUUAGAUCAUUCUUUUGCCAAAAUAAUCAAUACGCGCACAUGUAAAAUGAUCAAAACAUGCAUUUUAAUCCCUUCUAACAAGUCAAAAAUAAUAAUUACACAAAUUGAGGGGUUGAGUUCCUUGAUCGAAUUUCAUCCUUUUCACCUCAUUUGGUUACUUUUGCUUCUAUUUCCAAUACCUACAGAUGAAAAAUAACAAAAUAACUUAAACAUAAAAUCACAUAAAAUAAUAUGAAUAACAAAAAUAUUGGGUUGCCUCCCAACAAGCGCUUUUGUUUAUAGUCAUUUGCUCGACUAUUGAACCUCAUUUUUCAAGAAGCUAAAUAAUCCAUCAAUUUUGGUCGUGGUGGAUCAUUAAAAAGUGACUUUAUAGCAACAGUCACAGAAUCAAAUGAUAUGAGAGAUGGAAGUGGCUUACCUAUCUCAAGUGAUUCAUAGAUAUUAUCUUGAAUGUGUAGCACUUGAGAACUUACCAAAGGAAUGUCUGUAUGGCUUUUUUGGCGAAUAAUACAUUUAAAACCUAUAUUCUCAAUACAUUUCUCAAGAGGGGUGAAAAAUGAGUCGUUAAGACUCACCUCUUGAGGUUCAAGGUUAGCUUUAAAGGUAUUAUCAUGUGAAAUGGACAUUUUCUCAUUGAAAUACAAUUGAGAUUCAUCAUUUUCAUCAAAAUGCAAUCCAAUUUCACUUGCAACAUGCUCACCAUUCAUGCUAGGGUCAUAGUGCAUAUCAUUAGAAUAAAUAAUUUCAUACAACUCAUGCAAUUGGUCUUGUAUUUUGCCAAAAUGAUAAGCUAAUUUAUCUAAUCUUUUAUUAACCCUAUCAAAACAGUCGGAAGUUGCAUUUGUUAGCUUUUCUAUGACUAAUUCCUAAGAUAGCUUAGAAUUAUUAGCUAAUAGUUUCUAAUUGUCAAGAUGAAGGUGCAUUAACUAACUUUUCUAUUGUCCAUUUUCAAGAUGAUUUUGAUUCAUAUUGGACACAUUCGGGUAGAUAAUCAUAAAAAUAUGGAGAAUCACUAUAAUUACAUUAAUUAUCCAAACCAUAAGCAUAAGAAUUACCCCAAUUAGCGUUGUACUAAUCAAAACAAGGAUUGUAAUACCCAAAUUUAGCAUAAUAAUUCAUGUUUUGUGCUUGUCUAUAUGUAUGAGUAGCAUGAUAACCUCCGCACAAGUCAUAAAUCACAUGAUAAGAAUUAAAAGCAUUAACAUUCCUCUUUUGCUCAAUUUCAUGCAUAAAAGUGUCCAUUUGAAUUUGUAACGUUAUAACGUCAACUUUAGUCUUUAAGCACCUCAAACCAUCUUCAGACGACAUACUUUCUAUAAUUUCUUAGUUACCUCUAUUCAAAGAGUUUUGCAUGUAGUAAUCAUCCAUUGCCGAUCUUCCUUCUAUCAUACAUUGUCUCCUCAUAUUUUCUAUUCUCCUUAAAUUUUAAACAUGCUUUUAAAGUAAUUUAAAAACAAGUUUAGUCAAGAAGAAUAGAUGACUCGACACACAAACGAAAACAUGCAAAUAAAGACUCAACAAGACACUAAAUACAACAAACUAGACACAAGACACAACAAAGACAACAAAAAACAAGUAAAAUUGUCUAAAUUAAUAAAGUAAUUCUUAUCACCGAUAUUAACAAAUCUUCCUCGACAACGGUGUCAAAUACUUGACGUGCGCGGGGUAUACAUAUACAAUUAGUUCAUCCACAAUAAAGUUUUACAUUUAUAAAUCCUAAAUAGCCAUACGCGAUUUAUCACAAGUAUACGAAUCGUGAACGAAUAUAGGGUAUUAAAGGUCGAUUCUACAUGGAAGAUUUCAAUUAGCUAUGUUUUUUGAACUCCUUUAUUAUCUAGACUACCAUAAAAAUAAAAUUAAUGAAAAUAACACUAGAAUGAAGUUACCGGUUGAGGGAAUACUAUUAUCUUGACUAGUUAUGGCGUAAUUUUCUAAUGUACGUGAAACCUACUCUCGUUGUGAAUCAACUAUACUUGUAACUAAGCCAUACCUACUCUCGUGGUUAUGAAAUUAACUACAAGUUCAUUCCUUCUAUGAAAUCAUAUGAAACAAGUCACUUAAGCUACAUAGGUGUACCUCCACUCUCGUGAGUGUACUCGCUAGGAUUAUCACUUCCUUGAACUAGUGUUAAAUUCCAAUUCUCAUUGCAAAUUAAACACUUUUAAAUAAUCACAACCAAUGGCCGGUUAAUCAUGAUUAGAAAAGCAAAAGUGAUAAAUAACUUGUUCAAAAUAAUAUCAUCAAAUAACCAAGUAAACUUCACUAACAAGAUAUAGAAAGUUCAUCUAUAACUUUAGGCAUAAACUUUAACUAAAUAUGAAAAACAUUAAAGAAACGAUCAUACUUGUAUUAUAACUAAACAUAAGAUUCAAAUACAAGAGUUAAAGAGUUGAAUAGAUGGAACCCCUUAUCACAUGUGAGCAACAUCUUUUCCAUCUUCAAACCUCAAUCAUCAUCCUUGUUUAGUAUGAUACAAGAUAGGAUAAAACUAUACUAACUUACCUAAACUAAUGAAUUAAAAAAAACUAGUGAAGACUACAUUUUUGGUAAGUUUCUCUAAAGUUAUGAAAAUGUCCUCCAAAAGCUUCUAUACACAGAGGAAAUUUUGCAAGAGACAAUGUUAAAUCAUGUCUUGAGCCCAUAAACAAGGUAGAAAUAAGUUGUAAAGCUUCUUUUAUAGCUGUCUUGGGCUGUUUCCAUUGAUAUUCUUGCAGAAAAAUGGGUUAAAAAGCUUGUAUGAACAAAACACAAAUUGUUGAACAAGUUGCAGCCAAAAUUGAGGAAUACGCGACUUGAGAUUUCGCAAUUUCAAGCCACGUAUUCAGGUAGUCGCGUUUUCACUUCUGCUCACUUAGUACCACUUCAACUACUAUUUUCUCAUUGAUGGAGACCGAACUAGCACUUGUGCAAAACUUAAACAUUGUAGCUCUUUGAGUUAGUUUUCCAAUACCUCAAGAAUCAUCCUAGUUAGAGCUUUGUGAUCCCAAAUAUGACCAAAAUACCAACGACUGAUCAGAGCUCUAUUUCAGCUUUCGAUAACAGAGUUUCAGUUUUGUAUUUUGACAUUUUGACUAUGAAAACGACUGAACUGGAUUUUGAUGUCUCAUACCAAAUGUAGAUCUAUCUUUUGGAUUCAAAAUAGUUCAAGAAUCACCUCAAUCCAAUGCUUGUAGCUCAAGAUAUAGCCAAAAUACUACCAGGUGUCAAAACUGUCUUCAUUUGCAUUUCUUUAUUUGAAUGUUUUGCAUUUCACGUCUUCUUUUAACAACUUCAAACCAUCAAUUAUCAUCCAAUUAUAUUCUCAAUUCAUACCCUUUGAUGAUUGAAUCAUUAAACUUAUAAAAAUAUGAAAUUUUCACCAUCAAAAUCCAUAGAAAUAUAAUUGUCAUAUGUUAAACCAUAAAAUGCAUAUUUUCACUAGAAUCCUACUUAAUUAGUUAUAAAAGUAGUUAAAACACAUCAAAACUAACUAAUAAAACACACUAAAAGUACGUAAAAUAUAUACUUGUCACUUAUAUGGACACUUUUUAAAUCCCUCCUUAGAAAAUGAGCAUCUAUACAACAAUACCAAGCACGUGCGGUUUGUUUCAACCUAUAUAAUGUCUUUUUGAGUUUGUAUACCUUAUGUUCACUUCUAAGCUUCCCAUAACUAGGAGGUUGAUCAAUAAAAAUAUGUUCCUGUAGAUUACCAUGUAAAAAUGCUAAUUUCAUGUCCAAUUGGAAGAUAGAUCAUGAAUGUUGUGCUGCCAAUGUAAUCGCUAUCCUGAUCGUGUCUUGCCUUGCGACUGGAGCAAAGAUUUCUUCAUAAUCCAUCUCAAACUCUUGCUUAUAGCCUUUAACUACUAAGCGUGCCUUGUACUUAUCAACUUUUUUAUUCUCCUUUAAUUUCGUCUUAUACACCCAUUUGACACCAAUUGACUUUUGUCCUUCUGAAAGAUCGGUUAAUACCCAUGUGUUGUUUUGUUCAAUAAUUGCAAUUUCUUCAUCCAUUGCCUUCUAUCACUUUAAAUCUUUGAUAGCCUCUUCAAAAACUAUAGGAUCACAAUCGAAAAAUAGAGCAAAAUAUAUAAGUGCAUCUUCAGAUUGGUCAAUUCUAGUUACCUCAUAAUCAAUCAUCCAUGCAGGUCUUUUUCUAAUACAUUGAUACUGUUCUUCAUCUUUUGCUAUUGUUUGGGAACUUGGAAUAUCAUUUGAACCAUCUGGUGGAAUUUGUUCUAUCGACUGUUGCCUAUUCUCUUCAUCAACUCUAUUAAAAUCAGUAGGUAUUUAUUAUUUAAUAACAUUAUUGCUCCAUAGUAAAAAAUUUUCCUCAUCAAAAAUUAUAUCCCGACUAAUGGCAAUUUUCUUAGUGAUAGGAUUAUAAAAUUUAUAGACCUUUGACUGAUCACUAACACUAAGAAAAAUACAUUUCUCUCCCUUAUUAUCUAGUUUUGUCCUCUUUUGCUUUACAAUAUGAGUAUAGGCAAUGCAUCCAAAAUUCUGAAGCGAUCCACUAUUGGUUUUCGUCCAUUCCAUACUUCCUCAGGAGUCAUAUUUUUAAUGGCAAGUGUAGGAUUUCUUUUCAAUAUAUGAAUGCUUCAGUCGACAGCUUCAAACCAAAAACUUUUUGAAACACCACUUGUUGUCAAAAUGGUCGUUACCAUAUUCAAGAUUAUACGAUUCUUCCUCUCUGAAAUACCAUUCUGCUGUGGUAUAUAAACUGCUGUAAGUUGCUUCUGAAUUCCAUAUUCCUUACAAAACUUACAAAUUUUUGUGAGUUAUAUUCUCCAUUACGAUCACUGCAAAAAAUCUUUAUGGACUUGCCUGUUUCCUUAUGAUACUUCAAUUUUUUUUUUUGUAAAAAAUAAACCCAAGUUUUUUGACUAUAAUGAUUAAUAAACGUCAUAAAGUAACGUUUUCCACCAUUAGAUGGCUGAUUUAUGGGUCCACAUAAAUCAGAGUGAACUAGCUCCAUACAUUCUUUGCUAUCCACGAUUUUUCUUUUGAAAAAUUAUCCCAAUGUUAUUGGCCUACGACGCACUCUUCACAAACUUCUGAAGGAAUUGUAAUCAGAGGUACACCAGUCACCAUAUUUUUCUGCUGCAAAGUCUUUAAUCCAUUAAAAUUUAGAUGUCCAUAACUAAAAUAUCAUAACCAUAAAACAUCUUUUGAUUUGCUGAGAAACAAGAAUGAGUCGAGUUCUGCAAAUAGAGUGAAAACAUACGAUUUGCUAUCAUAUUAAUUUGAGCAAUUAGGCCUAACUUUGUAUCUCAAACCCGACAUACUCCAUCUUUUAUAGAAAUCUCGUACCCCUUUUCUAACAACUAACCCAUACUAUGCAAAUUUAUCUUUAAAUUUAGAAUAAAAAGGAUAUUAGUGAUAGUAUGAGUAGAAUUUUUUUUAGUUUAGAUAGUUAUCUUUCCUUUUCCCAUAAUGAAAAUUGUAAAGUUAUCACCAAACUUGACAGUAUUAUGGAAUGACUAGUCCAACUCAAAGAAUGCCUUCUUAUCUCCACACAUGUGAUUGUUGCAACCGGUGUCUAAAUACCACAUGUCUUAUUGAGUUUCUUUACUCAUGUGACACACCAUUAAAAGAAACACUUUUUUUUUUGCAAAAUUAGUUCUUUCUCCAAUUUGUCUAUUCAAAUUAGUUUGACAUUUUGACUGAUAAUGGCCAUACCUAUGACAUUUGUAACAUUCAACAUUAGACUUGUCUACUGACUUUGGCCUUUGAGUUGUUGAUGGAUGGCCUCCCCGUCCCCUUUUUCUUCCUUGAAAUUGAUUUUCUUCAUAAUGGUAUUGUUGUUAUUAGUUGCCACAAUUAUUGCUUCCUCUACCUCUGCCUCUGCCUUUGCCUCCUCUCCAUGUUGAGUGAUUUUUUGUUGAAACCUUCAAUACUUGCUCCUCUUUCUCUUGCGGGUUAAUUUUUUGCUCAUGAAUCAACAAAAAGCUCUACAACUCAUUAAUUAAAAGUGCAUCAAUAUCUUUUGAUUCCACUACAAAGUAUGCAAAAAAAUUAAAUGUUGUUGUCAUCGAUCAAAGGAUCUUCUCGCAAUUGGUGACGUCCUCCAAAUUCACUCCAUGGAUCCUCAUUUUGUUAGCGAUUGCCAUCAAACUUUUGAAAUAAUCUGUGACCGACUCACUUGAUUUCAUGAGUAAAGUCUCAAAUUCGGUUCGAAGAGUUUGAAGUUGCACCCACUUUGCCUUCGCAUUUCCUUGAUACUUCUUCCUCAAAGAGUCCCAAAUCUGUUUGGAGGUAUCUUUGCUAAGAAUUGUCUCCAAGAUGACUCGAUCAAUAGUCUAAAAAAGGUAAUUCUUGGCUUUAAGAUCCUUUAGGUUCAAUGCUUCAAACUCUGUUUUCUGCACCUCUAACAAUACUAGUUCGGCUUUUGGCUUUACUACUCCAGAUUCGACAACCUAUUAAUACUCCUUAGAUUCAAGAAGUUCUCCAUCAGCAUGUUCUAAUGAUCAUAGUGAUCAUCAAAGCGAGAAAUUGCUGGCUGCACAAAGUUGUUGGUAGCCAUCGUGACUUACCAACACAAUUUUCACAACUCACUUUUGUUUUCACUUAAAAACCUAGCACUGAUGCCACUGUUAAAAUGACUAAGAAAAAUAAUAAGAGAAUCAAAGAAUUAGAUUUUAUUUCUUAGUAAAGCUAAUGCUUAACUCAUAACAUAGAAAUUGCUCUAUUUAUAGAGUUCAAAACAACUUCGCUAACUAUCCCACUAACUCCAGUAGCUACUCCACUAAUUUCACUAGCUACUCCACUAAUUCCACUAAUUAGGUAGAACAAAAUAAACAAACAUAGUCAAACUAACCACAGUAAAUAUCUCUAACACUCUUGCCUCUAUUCCACAGCUUUAAAGAAAUAAGUAUGAAAAAAAUAAUUUCCUAAUCAAUUCACUGGAUUCUAUUAGAGGUGGCAAUCAGGUCGGGGUUCGCGUUGGCGGAUCGGGUUGAUGCCCAAGUAUAACAGAAAACCCACUGACCCGAACUUGACCCGCCAACUCGAAACGGGUUAGGAUAUCUGACACGAACCCGAAAAUUUUGGAUUCGCAGGUCGACCCGAAAAUUAAUUUUAAUUUAUUAAUUUAUCACUAUAAUUUCUAAUAAAAUCAAUUUCUGACAAAAUUAAUUACAUUAUCAAGUAAUAAAAAUUUAAAUAAAUAAUUUCAAACCAAAUAUAAAAUAAAUUAAACGCUGUAAAAGUGUUUUAUCCCAAACCAAAUAUAAAAUAAAUUAAAAUAACAUAAAAGUAAAAAAUAAUAUAAUAUAUUAUUUGUCUAAAUAUAAUAAUUUCAACUUCACACAAGUUAAAUAAAUUCAUUUAGGAUUAAGUAAUUAAUGAUUUAAUGCCUUUGAAAAAAAAAGAAUGAUUUAGUUUAGUUAGAUAAAAUAAUUUUUAUGUGUAUUAAAUUAUUUUUAAUUCGUAAACGGGUCAUAUCGGGUCAUAUCAGGUCACCACGGGUUGACCCGAAAUCGACCUGUUUUUUUUUUUCGAGUUCAUCGGGUUCAAUCCGAUUCUGACCCGAACCCCCGAAACCUCAAAUUGACAGGGCGUCAACCUGUGCAAUAAUACUAAUAAUAAUAACCUAAAUACCACUAAAAAGCUGUCAAUAAUUAAUCCUAGGUACUGGAGCAGGGACUCUAGGUGUGCAAUGGGUUACUUGAUUCACCCUGUUCCCGAAGAGUUUGCUAAAUCCGAUAUAUCAGAAUUAAUUAGUUAGCAAAAAUCACUGAAUAGUAGACAGUGGCAAGUAGAGUCGUCUCCUCAGGGACUGGGGAUAUUUGUCUCUCUUAAAUUCCAAUUGGUAAGGGGGGAUUUCACCGGAAAGAAACUAAAAUCAAUUAAACAAUUCAACUAAAAAUAAAUAAUUAACUAGCACGAAUAUAGCAGGAAUUAAAUCAAGAAUAAAUAAAUUCUAGCCAGGGAUGCAACUACUCAGGCACAGUCCAUUUAUCUGAUCAUUGAUGCGAGUGAGGUUCACUUAAUUUAUUAAUAGGCUAGUUAUAGUCUGACGACCAAUUUUUCCUUAAAUUAUUGAUAACCAAGGUACGACCAUUGAUCACCCCUAACCAGAAAAUACUCCUAGGUACGACCGUAGGAAUUAAUUUCCCAAUUGCAUUAAUAUUAGAAAAACCUAGCCCUAACCAAUAACACGCUACGAGGGUUAUUUAAAUUAGAUUGCACGUUCCCCUAAUGUGUAAACACACCAGUUGCCACUAACAUUAAUCAAUCAAACAAUUACGGAUUUAAUUGACUAAAUUGGCACGAGGUUAAUAAAUCACAUCGAACAUCGGGCCCUUGACAUCCAAUUAAUAAAAUAAUCCCAUGAAAAUACAAGCAGGCAACGUGCAAAUAUUAAUAAAUUAAGGGACGCGUGAAAACUAAUUAGAUCUCACAGGUUUUCGGGACUGCGCCGUCGAGUUGACCCUUGACUAGAUGGAAGAUUUAGCCACGCCGCAUAGUUAAUUCACCACACGAAUUAAUAAAUUGCGAAGGCAUUGUUUUUGACUAAAAAGUAAGGAAUAAAGGAUGUUUUUCCCGUUGGGGAAUAUUGUCGAACACCUGGCGUGUGUCAGAGGCCAGUCAGGAGGAAAAAAGAACUAAAACUAAAACUAAAAGACUAAAACUAGAGAUGUUCUGCUACUCUACGUUAUCCCUAUUUAAGCAACAAAAGAAAGAUGACUAAAAUCUAUCUAGGUGGUCCCCACACAUGUGGACAAAGCCUUCAAAGUACUUCUUGCCCCAAGUCUCUUUCCGUAGCUUUCUUUUAAGAGUCCACAAUGACAUAUAGCUUGUGGUCCCCUACCAAUUCAAGGGCCCAAGAAUUGAAACCCUUAGAAGUCUUCAUAUUUUCCAUCAAAUCCCUUCUUUUUUGGUAGUUCCCUGUUUCAUCCCUGAAAUUAAGUCCAGAUACCAAAAAUGAGUAGAAAUCAGCAAUUAACACAAUAUUUAUCAGGGAUAGAAGGGAGAAUUAAUAAUAAAAUUACUAACAAAUUAUACCCUAUCAAUUCCCCCCACACCUAAAUCAUGCUUGCCCUCAAGCAUGGGGACAAUUCAACUCAACACAGGCUAGCUUUCACACUUUCAUUUCCAGCUGUGCUUAUACCAAAAAUCAAGAUUUAGCGGCUAAGUGUCAAGUCAUAUCUUACUCGGUUAGCUUCUGAGUUCACAGACCUGUCCAAUUCAUGGCUAUAUCGUUUAGGAAAUCCAAAUAUUAACUAGCAAUAGUCCAUAAUUAAGUCAACUGUCAACCAAAAUCUCAACAAUACGAACCAAGGAUCGGCAGGCUAACAUGAUCAUAAACUCACAUACUCUCCACAUCUGAUUUUCUCUUCUCUUUUUUUUCUUUUCUCUUUUUUUUGAAUUUUUUUUUUUGAUGCUUAGUCCCGAGCUAUUCAAGUCUUUUGACGUGAACUCUGACAUUUUUAGAUGAAAGAGCCCAGUUACUCAACUUUUCACAGCUCCAGGACCACUUACUCGUAGAUAUCGCCACUUUUUGACGCGAGAGCCGACACUUGUGGUGAAGGCUCCCGGUUACUAGGUAGCGACACUAGCGGAGUAAAGCCAUACGUUAUUCACCAAUAACACCAAAAUACCAAGUAUUUAAAGAUCAUAGCCUGCGUCAUGUCCCAAAAAUGGAGAACUAAGGUAAACAGGAGACCAAACUACACAACAAUGCCGGCAAAAUAUUUAUAAUGCCUAAACAAGUUAGCCAUAAAUUGCACCAAGUCGUUAACCUCAAGGUAUUCACCAACACAGCAUGCUUUUACUAGCCAUCGAAACUCAACUCAUAGUAUAAACUACAACUAGCGAUAAAGAAGUGAGCUGCCAACAUAUUCACCAAGACAAGAGUAAGGGAAAAUCACCUAAAAGGGAUAAAGGAGCAACACCUAAAACAGAAAACACUAAAAACAUAGGAAAACACCCCAAAAACGAAAAAUUGGCAAUAUCUAGCACCCAAACUGACCCCCCCACACCUAAUGGACACAUUGCCCCCAAUGUGAUAAUGGAAGAGCAGAAAAAGGGGAGGGGCAAGGUUACUUCCCUGAAGUCGUCAAGACAAGGGAGGGUUAGGCGGAAACUGCGGAGGGAACCCGGCCUGCUGCAUAAAUGCCGCUAGAUUCUGCGCCAUAUUGUGAAUGUUAACGUCCAUGUGCCUCUGCCGCAUCUCAAGCCGCUCGACUGUGUUGCGGAGCUGGUUCCAUUCCUCAUCCGUAUGGCCGGAAGGGGGAGGAGCGGAAGUCGAAGGACCGGGGCCACCACCGGAAGUGGAAGGGCGUGCAAACGAGGAUCGCAGAGGGGCAUUUACUGGUCCCGGGGGCACAAUCUCCCACCCGUUAUCACCCUCCCGGACCAAACCCAUUCGCUCCAAGCACGGGAUGUCCAAGGGCUCCAUUUGACAAGCAACAUGUAAAUCAUGGUUAGAGAGAUCAAGCAACUGCAAGUUAACAGCCAAAUGGGUGAUAUAUGACCCAAGAAUCAAGGGACGCUUCUUUUUUGUCAAAACAGACUUAAAUUGAGUAGCGAGCCAGCACCCCAAAUUAACCUUAAUAUUAUUAUGCAUGCACCAUAUGAAAAAGAACUCUGGCUUGGACAAUACACCCGAACUAUCCCGCCUACCCGAGAAACUAUAGGCUAGGAAACGCUGGAUGUAGCGAGAAGCGGGGUCCUUGAUGUACGAGCUCUUGGUCUGGCGAGGAUCAUAAGAGGCAGGGUCGACAGACAACGCCUCCCAUAUACUCCGAUAACGAGAGAAGAAAGGCUCUAUGUAGUCGCACGCACUCUCGGCAUACUCCCGAGAGGCGGCAUAGGACUGGUCAAUAAAGCCAAAAGCUAAGUUAAACUCAGUGAUCGACUGGUGAAACUCCUGACCCAUCAAUCGGAAGUGAAUAACAUUGGGGGUAGAGGCAGAAUAACCGGUAGUAAUGGUGAACUCAAAGGUGGCAUAGAACUCCCUAACCAACUCAACAAAGGCCGGAAGAUUAACAAUACGGGAAUAUGGGCGCCACCCAAUGCCAUGGAUCAAAUGGUGGAAGGGUUCGCUAAUAUUGAGAAGGCCCAUGGUGGCAGCAUCCAGAUAACGGCAGGGAGUGAUCUGCCGCUCACAACAAACAGCAUAUCGCUGUUUGUCGGCAGUCUUAGUGAAGUGCAGAUUGCCCCCAAAAUGUGCAGGGUCAGAAAUAUGGACGCCCCUCUGUCUCCCAAGGCGAGCUCUCCUCCCAGAGGAGGAAGGUUCGUGCGAGGGGUCAGAGACGGGAAUAUUGGGUGGAGGUGUUGGAGGUUGUGAUUUCCUAGGUGUUUUAGACUUAGAAGAAGAUCGGGGCUUCACCAUGGUGACCAACAGGCAACCCAAAACAAUAGAGUAAGCAGCAAAUGCAAGCGUCACGGGCGCCCCCAAUAAGCAAAUAUAAGCGUCACGGGCGCCCCCAAAUGUAACCAGCAAACGCAGCAAUUCACCACAAAGUAAUUGAGAAAGUUUAAGAAUUCAAGCAACAAAGCAACCAGUACCACUGGUGCUCAGACAGUAAAGUAUGAAAUUCAACGGAAGCCCUUAACCACAACAAAAAUCUCAACCAGUACCACUGGUGAGUCACAGGGGAAACUAAAACAAAUAGCCAACUCAAUAAAUAUAGACAAACCACUCCAACCAGUACCACUGGUUUACACACGGAGGUCAGACGGCCAACAAUUCAACAAAAUCAGAAAUACCCCCACAUAUGGUAGCAAUUAGACCCAAACCUGUCCAAAAUGGACCCCAAAAAUUUCUUAAUUCACCCCUCAAAUAUCGCAGCAAAAAUCCCAAAAUUAGCCCCAGAAAAUGCUUAAUUCACCCCCCCAAAUAUCACAGCAAAUUCCAGCAAAUUAAGGACCAGAAAUCUAUAAUGAAAAUGAAAAUUGCAAUACCUCCACCUGCCAAAUUUGGGCAGGUGGUGACGCGUGGCUGCGAGGGGCGCUUGACGGCUAGCUGCUGAGAGGUGGAGGCUGUUGGAGCUGCAUGUGGCACCGGCGAGGUGAGCGAGUGUCUGAGCUGGAGUGGCUUUGGUGGUGGCCGCACGGCGGCGGGCGUGGGCUGUGGCACGCAGCGGCGCGCGGCGGUCAGCAGGGCAGCGAGCUAGAGGGCUGCUGGUGUGCGGCGGACUGGGCUAGAGAAGGAGUCGUGCGGGCGCGCUGGUGGAGCUCUGGUCGGCAGCUGGGGCGGACUGGUGGUUGGCGGUACGGAGGCGCGCGAGAGGAGGAUAUCGGCGGCGCGCGGCAGUGGCGAGCGGCGUGCGGCGUGCGGCGCGGAAGGAAAAGAAGGAAAAGCAGGGCAGCGGGGAAGAAGGGAAGAAAGAAAGAAAGAAAGAAGAAAAAGAAAAAAGAAGAGGAAAGAAAGUUUUUUUUUUUUUUUACAAAUCCUCCGUAUCUUCAUCUUCAUUUUUCAUUCAAUUUUGAAAUUUUUUUUUAUUUUUUUUAAAUUUUAAUUGUAAUAAAUAAGAUUUUUUUUUUGGAUUGCAAAACAUGGCGUGGGCACGCCAAGAUUCGCCAGUAUCCACUGCCUUCGAGAGUUCCUUAAGCACCGUAACGCGUGCCCUCCUCGCGUGGGCACGCCAAGAUUCUAUUCCCUACCAGUGUCGCGAGAUGUUGAGAAUUUACCAACACGGCGCGCGCACGCCAAGAUUCGCGAGUAUCCACUGCCUUCGAGAGUUCCUUACGCACCGUAACGCGUGCCCUCCUCGCGUGGGCACGCCAAGAUUCCCUUUACUGAUUAGAGUUAGAAAACACCAAGAGUGACAAACACCCACGUGAGAAACGACAUGAUUUAAUAAUUAAGCACUAAAACAACAAAAUUAACCAUUGGGUUGCCUCCCAAAAGCGCCUUUCUUUAACGUCUUUGGCUAGACGUUGUCCAAAACUUUGCUUAAACUAAGCAAGUAGGGUCCUCCAAGUGCAUCAUCUCCACCCUUUCAGUUGGAACCCCUUCAUAAUACGGCUUAAGACGAUGACCAUUCACUACAAAUUUCUUCUCAGUCUUCAAACUUUAGAUCUCUACUGCACCAUAAUGAAAGACAUUAGUCACAACAAAAGGACCAAUCCACCGAGAACGUAAUUUACCUGGAAAUAACUUCAAUUUGGAGUGGUACAGUAGAACUUUUUGCCCACACUCGAACGUCUUCCUAGAGACCUGCUGGUCAUGAAAAAUCUUGUUUUUCUCCUUAUAAAUCAUAGCAUUCUCAUAGGCUUCAUUGCGAAUCUCCUCCAAUUCUUGUAACUGUAGCUUCCUUUGAACCCCGCCCUCUUCGAUAUCCAUGUUGCAUUGCUUGACCGCCCAAAAUGCUCUAUACUCGAACUCGACAGGGAGGUGGCAUGGCUUUCCAAAUACCAAACGGUACGGAGACAUGCCGAUCGGUGUCUUGUACGCCGUUCUAUACGCCCACAAGGCAUCUUCAAGUCUCCCACUCCAGUCCUUCCUAUCAGGUCGAACCAUCUUUUCCAAAAUCAACUUGAUCUCCCGAUUCGAUGCUUCCGCCUGACCGUUUGUCUGCGGAUGGUAAGACGUGGAGACUUUGUGCAAGACACCGUACCUCCUGAAAAGCGCAGCAAUCGUCUUGUUGCAGAAAUGGGUAUCCCGAUCACUUACAAUUGCUCGAGGCAUUCCAAAGCGGACAAAAAUGUUAGAUUUGACAAAUUCUGCAACCACUUUGGAAUUGUUAGUACGAGUGGACUUUGCUUCCACCCAUUUCGAAACAUAGUCUACAGCAAGCAAUAUAUAUAGAAAACCAUAAGACGAAGGAAAAGGGCCCAUAAAAUCAAUACCCCAAACAUCAAAAAUCUCAACAAAGAUCAUUGGGGUUUGGGUCAUUUGAUCCCUACGAGAAAUAUUACCUACUCUUUGACACUUAUCACAUGACUUACAAAAUGAGUAGGCAUCUUUAAAGAGGGUUGGCCAAUAGAAUCCACUCUCUAGAACCUUACGGGCAGUCCUCUUUGGUCCAAAGUGACCCCCACAUGCAAAAGAGUGACAAUAAGCUAAAGUAGACUGAAAUUCAUUUUCACUUACACAUCUGCGAAUGAUUUGGUCGGCACCACACUUCCAGAGGUAAGGGUCAUCCCAGAUGUAAGACUUUGCGUCACUCCUUAACUUAUCCCUUUUUGCCUUAGGCCACCCUGCAGGAAACUUGUCAGUAACUAGAAAAUUAACAAUAUCUGCAUACCAGGGCAAAGUUAAAUUAGCAGAAAAUAAGUGCUCGUCGGGGAAGGUUUCUCUCAAUGGGAUAUCGUCCUUGGUGACUUGUACCCGACUCAAGUGAUCUGCAACCAAAUUCUCUGCCCCUUUCUUAUCUCUGAUCUCCAAGUCAAACUCCUGUAGCAACAGUAUCCACCUUAUCAGUCGCGGUUUUACCUCUUUCUUGGUCAACAGAUACCGCAGGGCUGCAUGAUCAGAGAAGAUAAUAACUUUAGCACCAAGUAAAUAGGAACGAAAUUUUUCUAAAGCAAAAACUACAGCUAAAAGCUCUUUCUCAGUGGUCGAAUAGUUCAAUUGGGCUCCGUUCAAGGCUCGAGAUGCGUAGUAUAUAGCGUGGGCUGCCUUUCCCACUCUUUGACCUAGCACCGCACCCACUGCGUAAUCGCUGGCGUCACACAUGAUUUCAAAUGGGAGAUUCCAGUCAGGGGAUUGGAUGACGGGUGGAGAAGUGAGUAAUUUUUUUAACUUCUCGAACGCUUCUUCGCACUCGUUGAAUUCAAAACUGACAUCCUUUUGUAAAAGCCUGAAAAGUGGUGCUCCGAUCUUUGAGAAAUCCUUGAUAAAUCUGCGAUAGAAACCUGCAUGUCCUAGAAAAGAACGAACUUCCCGUACAGUUACGGGGUAAGGUAAAGCAGUUAUCACAUCUAUUUUAGCUUUAUCAACCUCAAUUCCUCUAGACGACACUACGUGUCCUAGAACUAUCUCGUGUUCAACCAUGAAGUGACAUUUUUCCCAAUUUAGCACCAGGUUAGUCUCAAUGCAUCUUUUUAAAAUCAAUGUCAAGUUAUCUAAACAAUCGUCAAAACUAUCACCAUAGACACUGAAGUCAUCCAUGAAUACCUCAAUUAUUCUCUCUACAUAUUCAGAAAAAAUGCUAAUCAUGCACCUCUGGAAUGUUGCAGGGGCAUUACACAACCCAAAAGGCAUUCUUCGAUAGGCAAAAGUGCCAAAGGGGCAAGUGAAAGUUAUUUUCUCUUGAUCUUCUGGUGCAAUUGCUAUUUGAAAAUAACCAAAGAAACCAUCUAAAAAACAAUAAUAGGCACGACAAGCUAACUUUUCAACCAUUUGAUCGAUAAAUGGAAGAGAAAAAUGAUCCUUCUUGGUCACUGCAUUCAAUUUGCGGUAAUCGAUGCACUGGCGCCAACCCGUAGGCUUUCGAAUUGGAACGAUGUCCCCUUCAUGAUUUUCCUCCGCAGUUACCCCUGCUUUCUUUGGCACCACUUGGACCGGACUUACCCAUGGGCUGUCUGAGAUAGAAAAAAUAAUUCCUACGUCCAGAAGCUUGAUUACCUCUUUCUUGACAACUUCCAUCAUGAUGGGGUUCAAUCUCCUUUGUGGUUGUCUUAUCGGCCUAACAUCCUCUUCCAGGCGAAUUCGAUGCAUGCACACAGACGGGCUUAUACCCUUGAUGUCUGCAAUUGUCCACCCUAUAGCUUCCUUAUGCUCCCUUAAAACCCGCAGCAGCUUGUCCUCCUCCGUGGGUGAUAAUUUAGAUGAGAUUAUCACUGGUAACGUCUCCUUUUCACCUAGAAAGGCAUAUUUUAAAUGGUCGGGCAGGGGUUUCAACUCCACUUCAGGUGCCUGCACGAUAGAAGGUAAUAGCUUUAGGUGUGGUUCAGGCACAAAUAUAGGAGCAACAUCAUACCUUAGAGGACUUUGGCCUAGUGAAUGCAAGGCUCCGACCAUUCUUUGCAAAUUGAUGUCUAACUCCAUUUCGCAGGCUGCUUCCAGAUUCAAAUGUUUGGUGAUUGCUACCUCCAAUUCAUCCCUGCCAUUAAUCUCAAAUACUUCUUGCACCAAAGGGUCAAUUACACUCACAGCAAAAACAGCAUUAGAAUGACACGGAUAUUUCAUGGCCUCAAAUAUAUUGAAAUGAACUAUUUCUCCAUCAAAUUCCAUCGUUAGGAUGCCCUCACUAACAUCAAUUCUUGUACGAGCUGUGCUCAAGAAGGGCCUCCCCAACAAAAUUGGUGAUGGAUUUGGAGAACGUUCAUCACCCAUAUCAAGAAUAUAAAAAUCAGCAGGGAACACUAAAUUGUUCACUUGCACUAACACAUCUUCUAUCACCCCAUCAGGAUAAGCAUUAGUCCUAUCAGCCAGUUGAAUUAUAAUGCCAGUUUCCUUUAAGGGGCCCAAAUUCAGAGAAGCAUAUAUAGCCUUGGGCAUCACAUUUAUAGAGGCUCCUAAGUCUAACAUGGCAUUCCUAAUGCUAGUGUUCCCUAUUUUGCAAGGAAUAGUGAACAUACCUGGGUCUCCGCACUUGGGUGAAGUUUUCUUUUAAGCACUGCAGAUACGUUCUCUCCCACAAUUAUCCUUUCAUCUCCCCUUAAUUUCUUCCUAUUGAUGCAUAGGUCCUUCAAAAAUUUGGCAUACCGGGGUACUUGCUUAAUUGCGUCAAGUAAGGGGAUAUUUAUCUCCACCUUCCUAAACAUUUCCAAAAUUUCCUUUUCCAUGUCUUGCUUUUUAGGCCUUUCCAACCUGCUAGGAAAAGGUGGUGGGUUAGGCUUCAUUGGAACCACUGGGUUACGUAUUACCUCUUUAUUGGUGCCGGGAGUUCCUUCUUCCUCAAGCUCCUUCUCAAUGCGGUCCUCAUUCUUGUCCUUCGAAGCCACUGGUGCUGGUCCUUCAAUCUCUUUCCCACUCCUGAGGGUCAUUGCACUUACAUUCUUGGGAUUCACCUCAGGUUGGGAUGGAAGUUUUCCCUUCCCCUGGGAGUCUAGUCGGUUGACAAUUGAGGCUAACUGACUCAUCUGAUUUUCCAAGUUUUACAUACGCGCUUUCAUCUCCUGAUUGUUGGCCUCAGUGUCCUGUUGAAAUUUCAUAGUAUUAGAAGCUAUGGUUUUGACCAUGUCUUCUAGGGACAUACCUGAGGCAGAGGAGGGUUGAUUCCUUGUUUGAUAUUGUUGUUGGAAACCCUGUUGUCUAUUGGGGAUGAAAUUUUGUUGCUUAUUUCCCCCAUAGCUUAGAUUUGGAUGAUCCCUCCAACCCGGAUUGUAUGAGUUGGAAUAGGGGUCAUACUGUCUACAUGGCAUGGGCAUGUUACCAGCCAUGUUUGCUUGCUCAAUUCCCUCUUCAUGUAACUGUGGGCACGAGUCAGUGGUAUGACCAAUAUUCGUGCAAAUCCCACACACUUUGGCCUGCUGUGCAUUUCCUACAGCUAUCUGUCGAACAAAUGAGGUUAAUUCAGAUAAUUGCUGUUCAAUGGAAGAUGAACUUACCUCGUUGACCUUUCUUGUAGGAACAUCUGCUCUCGUGCCAAACUGCUGGCAAUUCUCUGCCAUUCGCUCAAUUAAAUCCCAUGCUUCCUGGGUAGUCUUAUUCACCAGUGCACCACCACUUGCUGCAUCAAUGAUAUUCCUAUUGUUCAUUAGUAGUCCCUCGUUGAAAUACUGAAUCAGCAGUUGAUCACUUAUUUGGUGAUGUGGGCAUCGGGUACGCAGCCUGGUGAACCUCUCCCAAUAUUCAUACAAGGAUUCCCCGUGAAAUUGCUUGAUGCCACAUAUUUCCUUUCGCAAACUAGCAGCUCUGGAUGCAGGGAAAUAUUUUUCAAAAAAUUUUUUCUGCAUCUCUGGCCACGUGGUGAUAAUGCCUGCAGGUAGACAGUAUAACCAAUCCUUUGCCGAAUCCUUUAGAGAGAAAGGGAAGGCCCUUAAUUUAAUUUGUUCAUCAGUUACUCCCGAAGGUUUCAUACUCGAACACACCACAUCAAAUUCCUGCAUGUGUUUGUGGGGUUCCUCUCCUGGCAGACCAUGAAAAACAGGCAGCAAAUGUAUUAAACCAGGUUUUAAUUCAAAAGCUGCAUUCUCACUAAGGCGAGGAAAAGUUAUGCAAAGAGGUUGUUGGGUUAAGUUUGGAGCAGCCAACUCCCUUAAUGUUUGUGUGUUUGCCAUGUCGACGUUCUCUUGGCAAAAAUCACUUGAAGUGUCACCCAACGAAUCUGCUGGUUCAACUUCGGGCUCAGGUCUCUGAGCUGUAGCCCUGGAGUGCUCCUCUCUGAGCUGUCUGGUUUCUUUCCUUGUUCUGCGCGCGGUUUUCUCUACUUCAGCGUCAAAAAUCAAUUCACCUGUGCGAGAAGACCUAGGCAUACACUAGAAAAAUACCAGAAAAUUAGAGCAAAAAUGAAAUUUUAAAAAGAAACAAAUAAUAACGCCAGUCCCCGGCAACGGCGCCAAAAAUUGACAGGGCGUCAACCUGUGCAAUAAUACUAAUAAUAAUAACCUAAAUACCACUAAAAAGCUGUCAAUAAUUAAUCCUAGGUACUGGAGCAGGGACUCUAGGUGUGCAAUGGGUUACUUGAUUCACCCUGUUCCCGAAGAGUUUGCUAAAUCCGAUAUACCAGAAUUAAUUAGUUAGCAAAAAACACUGAAUAGUAGACAGUGGCAAGUAGAGUCGUCUCCUCAGGGAUUGGGAAUAUUUGUCUCUCUUAAAUUCCAAUUGGUAAGGGGGGAUUUCACCGGAAAGAAACUAAAAUCAAUUAAACAAUUCAACUAAAAAUAAAUAAUUAACUAGCACGAAUAUAGCAGGAAUUAAAUCAAGAAUAAAUAAAUUCUAGCCAGGGAUGCAACUACUCAGGCACAGUCCAUUUAUCUGAUCAUUGAUGCGAGUGAGGUUCACUUAAUUUAUUAAUAGGCUAGUUAUAGUCUGACGACCAAUUUUUCCUUAAAUUAUUGAUAACCAAGGUACGACCAUUGAUCACCCCUAACCAGAAAAUACUCCUAGGUACGACCAUAGGAAUUAAUUUCCCAAUUGCAUUAAUAUUAGAAAAACCUAGCCCUAACCAAUAACACGCCCCAUUAAUUUCGUGUUAGAUUCGUGUCGUGUUUUCGGGUCGUGUCAGAAAUUGUCACCCCUAGAUUCUAUAGAGAACAACUCUGGCAAGUAUUAUGAAAAGAUUGGGGUCUUGUACGGUUACAAUAGUAAUAGCAGAGUAUAUUUGAAGGCGCAAAUGUGUUUGAAAAGGAGAUUAUUAGAGAAAUUUUUUUCAAAAAAAAUACUAUAACACUUUUUUGAUGUGACAUAUAUGAAAUAAAAAGAUAAUUGAAAAAUGUGUUUGUAAUGCAAUUAAAUAAAGUUGUGCAAAUAAUAAGCUAUCCAAAUUGUGUUAUGAAAUUAGAUGGUAAAGAUUAAAUAUAGGAUACCAAUUUCAAUGUAUCAAAAAAUUUGUCAUAUAUUUUAUCUUAUUAUAUUAGUAUAUAAAUUUAUUAUGUUAAUGUUUACAUUAGUUAUGUUACUGACUUAAUACUGUCAUCAGUAGUAACAGCAAAAGCAAGCUGUGUAUCGUAUUAUCACCACUAGUCACAGUAAAAGCCUCUGAUCCAUUGUGGAAGUGUUUUUACGUUUUCACUAGUUUUUUCAGCCUCACGCGAUGCGUGAGGAUGCCCUGGGUCUAUGUUAAUCAAGAUCAAAUGAAGGCAAGUGAAUUAAUGUAAAAUGCUUAUGUAUUAAUACAUGAUAGGUGUUAAUAAAUGUGAGGAAUUUGAUUUUAAGUAAAUUGAAUAUUGAUGUUACUCGUUUACUCAUUUGAUUUGUAAUUUUCUCUUAGAUAGUCAGUCAUUACCUUAAGAUCUUUGCAAAUUCUUGAUACUAUAAAUAAAUGAUGCAUUCAUUUGAAAUGUACAAGUACAUACAAAUAUCAUAAAUGUGGUGACGCUGAUCACUUUUAAAAUUAUGCACACACUAUUUGUAUCUAGUCAAGAAUGAAAUAAGUUUAAACAAGUAAAACCCUUCUUGAAACUUAUUGUGAAUAAACACAAUGGUGAUGUCAAUAAUUUAAAAGAACAAUCAUCACAUUUCUAUGCAAUAAAAAAUGUCAAGAAAUUGAGAAUUAUUCGUGAUGUAGUAAAACAAAUAUGCUUCUAGUAAUUGUAGUAAAAAAUAUCAUAUUGACAGGUGUUGUUUCUUGUAGUAAUCUUUCCAAUAGAACGAGCCUUACAAAACUUCUUGCACUCAUUGCAAUAAUUUUUGGGUGUAGUACAUAGAUCAUCGUCAUCAUUUUUCUUCUUUGCAUCUCUUUUUUGUGCAUAGACUAUUAGUCAAUGACGAUGAACAUUUCCUUCUUUUCUUUUGUCAAGCAUUCUUUGAAGUAGAACAAAUUAUAGUAAUCUUGAGACAUGCAACAUGUAGUAUAUUUUACCUUACAACCUUAAUAGCCAAUUCAUAAUUGGACCUUAACUACCAUUUGAAUCCCGUAAGGAUGCCUGGAUUUCUGUCUGAAUUUGCUACAAAAUAUCUAAGUAUUUGCUUGAACUUGAUGCAAAUUUCUGAUACGUUUGUGGGAAUGCAUUAGUAGGAGAAUUACUUAGGAAGUACUAAACAAUAGCUAGGAACAACCUGGAGAAAUAUAUCAUACUCAGAUUCACUGCAAGGUAUUGUCCCUAUUUUCACAAAUGCAAAGCAAUAGUAUCCCUGCAUCUACAGAUUAGUCUUAGUAGGGACCAUCCAAUAUUGAUUUAUAAAUGACCAAACUACUUAUUCAAUUAUCCACCAAACUGAAUAGCUCGUAUUCAUAGCUUUCUAUCUCACUAGUGUUUUGGAGGAAACUACUUAUUGAUCUUAUUUCAGAAAAGAUUUGGAAUCCAGAGACCUUAUUCACUGCCUGAGGUAGUCUUUUAAACCUUUGCCACUUUUUUGUAUGUUUUUUUUCCGUCGAAGUUUUUGUGGUACUUGCAUGAUUAGGAAAUUAAACUAUACUUUGAUAAAAAAACAUGUAGCUUUGACCUACAGUAUGUCAAAAUCGCAAGCAAUUGAUAGAUAGUAUUCAAUUUCUGGUUUCUUUAUAUAUUUGGCUUGCAGAUUUUUCUUGCUAAGCAGACCAAGAAUUUUUGUACUUGUGCUUCAAACUUUACUGUUGUUGUAGUUAAGUAAUGGUAAUUUAUGUGAACAAUCACCUUAAUUUUUUAGAGGAUUGCUAAUUGAUUCCAUUCUUGGUACUCUGGCCUUUUAUUGUGGUCCAAUAGUUCGACAUAUUAGUUUUCAGAAGGAAACAACAAUCAUCAAAAGGUUUGUAUUUAAUUGUAAUUUUAGGGGAUAGCUGGAUAACCCUUCUUCUUAUCUUUAAACCCAUGAAUGGGUUAUGGAACGAGCAAAAUUUUCGUGCCCCUCCCUCCCCGGGCCUACUUCUGGCAUGAUAUAUCAACAUAGUGACGAUAUUGCCCUGAACUUCUUCGAAUGUCACAUUGUAAGAGCCACUGGAGUUGCUAAAAAUUACUCUAUAACCGGCCCAUGCCUACUGUAGCAAUCCCAACUCUCGCUUUUAGUAUAGUAAAGAUUUGACUCGUAUACAUGAUCUAUAAGAGUAACUAUUUAAUAUAGCCUUGUAUACAAGUUGUGUACAUAGCCUAUGAGAGUAGAAUGAUGCUAUAUAUAUACACAUACACAUACACACACUCAUCACCAGCUUAUCAUCACCUACGUGGAGUGAUGACGUGUAGCAAGGUUUCCUUUUCCAUCUUAAAGAAGUAAUGGCAUGGCAUGGCAAUAAUUAUUUGGAAUAUACAUAUCAAAUUAAUUAAAUUUAUAAUGCUUAAUUAUUCAUUUCAAGCUUACCUUAAUAAUUCCUAUACAAAAUUAAGUAAGGUUUAAUAUUUGUAAGUUUCCAAACUAUUAACUAGUUGUCAAUUUGGAAUGUUUCUAUCUUGACUAAUCAUUGUUGUUAAUUAAUUAAAGAUAGUAUAUUCUAGAGCUAAUCACUGGUGCUUUCUGCCAACGACCAAAUGGAACCAAGUAGGCGAAUAGCUAAGGAUUAAAUGAACCAAUGACAGAAGAGCUUGCAAAAUUUGUAACUAAAAAUGCUAAUGAAGUCUCCUUGAAUUCAUGGAAGAAGAAGGUGGGGUUGUAGGGAGGAUUGAAUUAAUAAACGUAAAGCCAAAAGCGUAAUUCGAGCAGAAAUAUUCCUUUCAAAAUGCUUUACAUAUUUGUAUUACGAAGCUCCAUAAAAAUUGAAAAUUAUUCAAACACAAAAUUUCCUAAAAUAAAAAGUACAUACACUCAAUUUUAUAAAUAAAUUAUUGAAAUAUAGCAGAUCAUAUCUACGUAGGAGGUGAUAGAUCGAUGAUGAAAAAUCGGUGAUAUAUAUCACUACUCAUGAGUGAUUGUUUCAUAUAUUGUCGUCCGAGAAAGUAAUGUCUUUAGUCUUUCUCAAUCACGUGCUCCAUAUCAUUUUUCCACAUCCAGCUUCUGUUUUAUUUAGUCUCUUUCUUCCUUCUGGCCAAUGUGUCUCUUUCUUCUUCCUGUUUUGCAUGUUUGGCCCAAUUCACACAACCCCUUUGCUGUAUAUGAAAAUGACCAAAUCGACAAGUUAGGGUGUGUGUGUGUCUUUAACUCUCAGUCAAAAUUAAUUAGUUGGGUGUGUGUCUUGUUCCGUUUCCGAAAAAAAAAAACAAGUUAGGGUGACUCAUCCAACUCCAUUAAAGGAUGAUUGGAUAGGGAUCCAAGUUGCACGGCAUCAACGAUUUCUCAGAUUCCUACACUGUGACAAAACACACGCCUAUGUCUGGCAAGAAGUAUGAUAAUGCUGCACGGCAUCAAUGAUUUUUCAAUAUUCAUUUUUUUUCUUUUCUUAUAUUUUUUGCCUUUUUCCAAAAAAAAAAGAAGUGAUCAAGUUUCAAACAAGUAGUAAUCCUUUUUGUUUCAUUUUUCUGGAAAACUAAUUAAUUGUAUGAUCAAUACAAUCGUACUAGCUACUGUUAAAUCAAUGUUUUGAGGGAAGGGUGAUUGUGAAACAAAAGUUUUUAGCUUUAUUUGGUGCUUGAUUAACAAAUGGCAGCAUAUAUCCGAAGAAGAUAAGUGGAUUUGGUCAUAUGCUUUGCAGCAUAUUUAUUAAAAUAUAUGUGCGUUCAUCCGCGUGGAAUCAACCAAAAAAAUGUGGAAAACAAUGAACUUAAGUUAGAAAUUAUUGCGAAUGGAUAAACACCUUUUUUUUAAAUUUUUUUAAAGGGCCGUAUGGAGUAAAUACAACCCGCAAUUUUAUUCUUUGUUCUUGGAGGAGCUCUUUUGCAAUAUAGGACCGCAUGUAGUACAUUUCAAAAGUGUUUGGGUGUCACAUGCAGUACAUAACUACAUAUGCGGCACCCCUAAAUGGGAUCGACACUUUUGUAUCCAAAAAAUGAUUUUAUGUGAGUCAAAUGGUGAUUUCAAACUAAAAACAUUGGAAGCUUAAGAUUAGGACUAAAUUUUGUUGAUUUAAAUUUGUAAGGCAUGUAGAAUUAAUAUUUUAAAAGUCAAAGACAAAAAAAAUCAUUUAACAAAAUAUGAAACAUUUUGAACGGUUUUCUAAAUUAAGUUCAAAGACAAUUGGUGGUUUAUGGCCAAAAGAAAUAAGGGAUGAUUUAGGAAUCUCGCUUGAGAUUUCUAACAAUGGGUUUGUUUGGAUUGUGUUUUAUUUCCCCAAUUUUAUCUGCUUACAUCAUCAUUACAAUUUCCAAUACACCUUUUUAUCUUCCCAAUUACCUUUUUAUCUCACACACAUCACAUCACAAAAAGUGCUACAGUAAAAAUAUUCCAAAUAAAACACAAUCCAAAAUAUUCAGCACGCUUGAACUUCUAAAAACAUCACUUACUUUCCUUGUCAUUCAAAGUGAACAUCACAAAUCACUAAUUGAUAUUUUCACCCUCAAUACUAUAGGUUUAUUUGGGAAAAAUACUUUCCAACUAAAAAAAUUAAUAUGAUUGUCUUCUUUUGCCUUUUUUUCUUUUUAAUUUUGCCCUAUCUUUAAUGCAAAUGCCAAAUAUAUUUUAGUCCCAAUUCAGAAUCUUAUAUAUUUGAAAGUGCAAUUUUUUUUACACCAGUUUACCUACCAUUUGUUUUGACACAAUCUGUUCAACUCAUUAAUUUUAUUGCCUUCAUAUUGUGAUUUUACUAGCAUAAGUAGAGCCUAUUUUAGGGUUUUUUUUUUAUUUUCUCCGCCCUCAAACAAAAUUUUUGGUUGUGCCUAAAAAAUUUCUGGCUGUGGCCUUGCAAUUAGAACAAACAAUUUUGUUCACUAAUAUUGAAAGAUUCAAGACUUCCCUCUUAAAUUUUAAGAGAUCUUACUUGUUCUUUCUAAUUCUUUACUUUAUAUUUUCAAAAUCUGUGCAUCAAUGUUUCUAUUUUUUUCACCUCAACUCUGUUCAUAUGCAUUUUCAGCAACAUAAGUAACUGUUAUUAUUUCAACAAUGAUGUGCUUAAUAGUUAUUGCUGCUAUAUUUAGUUGCAUUACAAUAACAACCACUAUAUAAUUUUUCCUUGGCUUUUAAAUCUUUUAUUAAUCCUCAUAUGGAUUUUGGGUAAUGAGUGAACAAGAAAGACAACUAAAAGGGCAAUUUAUGUUCUGUUUACUUAAAUGAAUCUUUUAAUCUUACUUUGCUCCUAGUUCCUGAACAUGUUACACAAGAGUUGAUUUAGGGGAGGUCAAUGAGAUUUUCAACAGUCUAGAAGUACAAAGUGAUAUUCACAAAAACCUUAGGAAGGUUUCUGAAAUUAUCCCAAGAAAUAAUUCAAAGCCAAUGCAUGUGGCCCCUACAGAUUAACCUUAUUAAACUCGACCAUGUGUAUAAAACCCCCCACCGGAGUUUGGCAUACAACCCCACUGGAGUCCAUUGUCAUACCCUAACUUGCUAUUCAGCCCUGAUGGAAAGCACUUGGCUACUCUUAGCCUUGGCAUGGCUUGUUGCAUUGGCUUUUCUCUCAAAAGGAUCCACUCACAAACGCCUCAAGCUAAAUCAUCCACCAGGACCAAAACCAUGGCCUAUUAUUGGCAACUUGAACCUCCUCGGUUCAAACCCACAUCAAUCCUUACACUUGUUGUCCCAGAAAUACGGAGAAAUCAUGCAACUAAAAUUUGGUUCCAGCCCUGUUGUUGUAGCUUCAUCCCCUGAUAUGGCAAAAGAAUUCUUGAAAACACAUGACGACAUCUUCGCCUCUCGGCCUACAACUGCUGCUGGCAAAUACACUAGCUAUAACUGCUCCGACGUGUCAUGGGCACCUUAUGGUCCGCACCAGUGUUUUGAAAACCGGACCGGACCGGCCGGUUCGACCGGUUGAACCGCGAACCGGCCAUGGCUCCGGUCCGGUUCACUGCCAGGUUUGACUUUGUCAAGAAACCGGUCAAAAACCGGUCGGACCGCGAAACCCGCUGAACCGGAUUUGAACCGGUUAUUUCCGGUUUUUGAGUUUUCCUUUUUUUUUUUUUUUUUUUUUUUUGCAAAAUGUAGUUAUCAAGAUUCGAACUCAAGACCUUUGUAAUAGAAGGCCAAUGUAGUAACCAUUGCACUAUCACAUCUUAUUAGUUUUUUUGGUAACUUAUUUAUAUAAAACAAACACUCAUAUUUCUUUUGUUCCAUUUUUUUUACAAAAUAUCAUCCUUUCAUGACUCUUUCUUUUUAAUCUUCAACACACACACACACACACUCUCUCUCUAUCAUCUUUUCUUUUGCCACUCAUUUUUUAAUCAAAUCUCUUUAUUUUUAAUUUAUUGAUGUUUUCUUCCAUAUUUUAAUUUUGUUUUUGUCCAUUAAAUUUAAAAAAGUUAAAAAAGAAUUAUUUUUCUUUAACCCAAUUUAUUUAAUACCACAACCACUCACUUUUAUCUCAUUUUUUGUUUCUUAUCAAAUUUGCAUUUCUAUUUUCAAUUCUCUUGAUUUUCUUCGAACUCCAAACUUUCUUUUUUAAAUUGUAAAUUUAAAUUCCAAAAUGUAAAUUAAAAUUUAAGUUCACAAUGUCUAAAUUUCAUAGACGUGAAUUUUGUAUAAUUUCAAAUAUUGUGAUAUUUUUGGAUUAUAUUUAAGAUUUUUUUGGUAGAUAUAAUUGAAAUUGAGAUGAAAUUUAUUUGUUUUAACUUAUAAUUUAAAAAAUUUAUUUUUAAAAAUCCAAGUUAUUCAAAAAUAGUAAACUUUUCAUCAUAUAAAGUAUUAAAUUAUCCAUUACAUGUCUUAUUUUGUGCACAUAUAUAUUUAUAUCAAUUAUUUUUUAAAAAAUUCAUUGAACCGAGGUUGAACCGGUCCGACCGGUUGAACCUCGACCCUUUCACUUCACCGGUUCGAUUAACGGUCCGGUUUUUAAAACAUUGGUCCGCACUGGCGGCAAGCUCGUAAAAUUUAUCUUUCCCAAAUCUUUAGCCAAAAACCACUUGACUCCUUCGAGAGCAUACGCAUUGAAGAAAGGCGUGCUUUCAUUUCUCGCUUGUAUGCUCUAUCAGGAAAGCCAGUAGUUAUGAGAGAUCAUCUAAUGCGUCUUACCCUCUCCACUGCAAGCCAGAUGGUUUUGAGUAACAAGUACUUUGCCCAAUCUGAAGAGGAUGGAUCUCUAGUUACCUUUGAAGAGUUCCAAGAGAUGAUAGAUACAUGGUUUUUGCUGGGUGGUGUGUUCAAUAUCGGGGAUUGGAUACCAUGGCUCGACAGAUUUGAUCUCCAGGGUUACAUAAAGCAAAUGAAAGAACUUGACAAGAAAUUUGAUAGAUUCCAUAACCAUGUGCUUGAUGAUCACCAGGCCAAGAGGAAAACGGAGAAGGAUUUUAUCCCUACGGACAUGGUGGACAUUCUAUUGCAAUAUGCUGAAGAUCCUGAUCUCCGGGUCAAACUCACCAGAGAUCAAAUAAAAGGGCUAAUUCAGGUGCUAUUUCUUCUCAUUGUUUAAUCAAAUUUUCUAUAUCUCUUUACCUCUUUAACUUGCUGAAUCUAAAAUCUAACAGUUUUUCUUAGUAUAACGUGCCAUUAAAGAUAAUUGUCUUCUCUUCUGAUUAAGAAGUUUUUUCCUUUCUAGAUUCAUAGUAGUUUAAUCUCUUUUAAAGGAUGACAUAUAUUUUUACCAAUAUUUGAUCAUGGCAGGACUAACUUUACCAUUAUUUGAUCAUGUCCAGGACUUACUGGCUGCUGGCACAGAUACCUCAGCGUCCACCGUAGAAUGGGCAAUGAAUGAACUUCUCAAACAUCCACGUCUCAUUGAAAAGGCGACCGAAGAGCUUGAUAGAGUGAUAGGGAGAGAUAAGUGGGUGGAAGAGGCUGAUUUCUCAAAGCUACCUUUUCUAGAGGCGAUCAUAAAGGAAACUUUUAGGUUACAUCCAAUAACAACGCUACUUCCACCCCAUUAUGCCAUUGAGGAUGGCACAGUAGCUGGUUAUCACAUUCCUAAAGGAACAACGGUGCUUAUAAACACAUGGAGUAUAGGGAGGAACUCAAAGUAUUGGGAUUCUCCUGAAGAGUUCAUGCCAGAAAGAUUUUUGGAGAAGGAUGUUGACAUGAAGGGACAAAACUUUGCGUUAUUGCCAUUUGGCUCAGGUCGACGGAGGUGCCCGGGCUAUAACCUUGGACUCAAACUUGUUCGAUCAAUGUUGGCCAACUUGUUGCAUGGAUUUAACUGGAAAUUGCCUCAUGGCAUGAAACCAGAAGAAAUUUGCAUGGAAGAACUCUACGGACUCACAACUCAUCCAAGGACUCCACUUGCUAUGAUCCCAGAACCACGUUUGCCGGUCAAUCUCUACUAGAAAGUAUGAUUUAAGGGAAAACUGAAAUAUGUUCCUUAUUGGCAAAAUAAACCAAACCUAAAAGUUUCUAUUUAUUUAUUUACUAAUUUUAUUGGUGUCAGAUUUUUAUUAGUUGUGUGAUUUAGAAAUUUGUAUUUUAUUUGGUAAUUUCUUAUGCAAGUGGUUUCUUUCUCAACAAGUUUGGUUGGCUAUGAAUAAGACAUUAUUUAGAAUAUUUUCUUAAGAGAGUCUAGAAAGAAUUAGUAAGGUUUUAUUAUGGUGUCACUUUUUUCUACUAUUUUGAGAUAUCAAUAAUAGCGUGAAUUAUUUAUUUCUUUUCUCUCUCAUUGUUUCAUCGUUCAAUCUAUAACCCUACACGCAUUAAUUAUUAUUAGAAGUUUAAAAUUUGGAAUCUACAAUUGGUAUCACGAGCUAGACUACGAGCUUAGUUUUGGGCAUUUCCGUUGUUAGAGAGUUAAGGCGUUUCUACUAUAAGAGAAUUAAGGCACAGAUUUAUCGAAAAGUAUUUAGUUGAUUAAAUUAGACCAUAAGGUUGGUCUUGAAGUGUAUAGUUGGUGAAAAAUUCGAUCAUAAGAUUGGUUUGAAAAUUAUUAGAUUAUUAUGGUUAUGACAAAGAUCAGAGACGAAUAUUGUCAGAUUUGUUGAUUGUUGCUGGUUGUUAGAUUGAAGAAUUUAAUUAGUUAAUCAGCCAAGGUGGCCAAGAAACUUGACAAAAGGGGAAAGAAUUUGUUGAUAUAUGUGAGUUAUUAAUGAUGGAUGUGUUUUUGGAUCUAUGUAAUGGUGAAAGGUAUAGUAUACUAAUGACAGCUUGUCGAGCCUGUGCAAUAAUAAUAAUAAUACCUAAUUACCACCGAAAGCAGUCAAUAAUCAAUUCUAGGUACUAGGGUUGGGACCCUAGAUAUGCAAUGUGUUACUUGAUUUACCCUGUUCGUGAAGAGUUUGCUUAAUCUGAUAUACCAGAAUUAAUUAACUGACAGAAUUUACUAAUUAGUAGACAGUGACAAGUAGGGUUGUCUCUUCAGGGACCGGAGAAAAAUUCGUUUCCUUUCGAGUCAAGACAAAUGAGGGGGGUUUUAGGAUUAAAUGCUAACUAAAUAAAUUAAAUGCGAAAAAUAAUUAAUUGACAGAAAUAAUUGGGAAAACUCUAGUUAAGGGUACACUUCAGAAAUGGUUCAGGCAACUGAUCAUCGAUUCAAAUGUAAUUCCAAUGUUUAUUAAUAGAUUGGUUAUAGUUGUCAUACACGCGAUAAACAACCAGCCUUUCCUUAAUUUCUCAAUAGUUAAGGUACAACUGUUAACUAUUUCUCUAACCCAGAAACAACCCUAGGUACGACCGUAGGAUUUAAUUUUUAGUUUGCAUUAAGAUUUAGAAAAGCCCAAUCCUAGCUAACAAACAAGCUACGAGGGUUUGCCUAAAUUAGAUUUUAUGUUUUCCUGACAUAAACUCAAUUACGCAAGUUGCUACCGGGAUGGAGGUAAUCGAACAAUUAUGGAUUCAACUAUCCCUAAUUAGCAAAAUAGCCUACGUGAAUAAUUAAAUAUUGCGCACUAUUCAAUCAUAUACAAAAGUUAUAACAAUUAAAAGCAGAAAACAUAUAAAUACUGAUAAAUGAAGGAAACAAUUAAAAUAAUUCAGGUCUCACAGUAAUUGCCGAAUCAAAUUUUCAGUUGUCCCCUUGACUAAAAAACGGAGAUUUAGCUACACAUCCUCAAGGGAAAUCCGCAGGACUCCCUUGAUAACCAUUGGUUCCUUCUCCAAAAAGUAACGAAAGAAGACAAAGAAAAGAGACAAGUCAUGGCCCUCCUCUCAAUUCCUAUUUUGUAGCUUCUUAAGGAAAACAAAACUCCUCCGAAUUUGUUGCUGGCCGAACUCUUAAUCACGUGGGAUCCGACUUACUCUUCCUAUUUUCUCGUUUGCUAAGGGAAACAAACUCCCAAUUGAAAAGGAAAACAUUCUAAAGAGAUAAUACUUAAUUGUUUCCUAAUUCAACUUUACAACUAACAAAGAUAAUUAAAGUCUUCCAAAUUCACCAAAGAUGUCCAUAUUUGACUCGAACUAGGAAAUCUCUAUGUGCGACAAAUUCUCGAGUCUUCUGGACUUGAAUGUAGGUCCCGAACAUACCACCACCAAAUUAGCUGGAAACUGCCCAUUUUAAUCAUGUUUUGAUUAUUUCCCUAUAAUUUAGCACCAUUAACCAAAUAUAAGUAGAAUCCAUCAAAUAAUGCAAUAUUUGGUAAAAUAAAAAAGGGAAAUAACCAUAAAAUUAAUGACAAAAAUCCAACAUAUCAAUUUCCCCCACACCUAAACCAUGCUUGUCCUCAAGUAUGAGAAUACGAAAUUAAGCAAUCAAAUUCAAACAAUGGCUAUUGCUCAAAUUUUUUAUUGCCAAGAUACAGUUAAAACAUAUGUCAUGUAUUAGUGGCAAUUUUCAAGAAAUAUCUCUCCAGUUAAAUUUCAAGAUCAAGGACUCUUUCAAUUUAUGACUAACUAAUCUAAAAAUAUAAAAUAUUCAACCAGUAUCCAUAAGCAAAUGGUUCGACUAUUGGACAAAAUCUCAACAUUAAAAUUCAUGGAUCAGCAGGUUAACAAUUCAUUCAAAUACUUCCACAUUUUUCACUAUUAACACAUCUUUUUUUAUAAAAUAUCCCCACACUUGAUUGAUGUUUUUUCAGGGGAAAUGCUUAGUCUUUAGCCAUUUUAAGUGUUUUGACAUGAAUUUCGACAUUGGCCAAAUGAAGGAGCUCGGUUACUCAGCCACCAUCGCUUAAAAACCACAUACUCAUAGCUACCAUGAAAAUUGAUACUUAUGGUGAAGACUUCCAGUUACUAGGUAACGAUACUAGCAGAAUAUAGCUGAAUACUAUUCAUAAACAAGCACCAAAUUAAAAUUUACAAUUACACAAACCCGUUUCAUUUCUUAAACAUGGAGAACUAAGAUUAAUAGUUAAAGCAAUUUGCAUUAAAAAAAUGCUAAACAAAUAUUUACAAUAUUUAGAGAUAUUAACCAAAAAGUAUAAAAGUCACAAAAUUUCAAAUAUUCACCAAAGAGAUAAUCUUAAACUUAACCAUGCCAUACUUAACACCUUGAGAGUGUAAAAUCUUAGCAAUAGAAAAAUUUGAAACAUCUAACCAUCGUUUAUCAGGAACAACCACAAAAAUGCACAAGACGUGGCAAAAAUUGGAUAAAAUUUAACAAAGUCAAACAAAAAUGCCUGCACUUACACUUUUUCAAUAAAAUACCAAUAUACUACUUCCCCCCCCCCACAAACCUAAAUCUUACAUUAUCCCCAAUGUAAGAGGUAAAGAAUAGAAUAUGAAAAAAAGGGACAAUAAAAUUUCCCUGAGCAUAUAAUGGAGGGUCUCAAGUAGCUAUAACAUAGGUGGAAAUGGUCGGUUCUUCCUUUUAUCAUUUGUUUGAGCAGAGAUGAGAACAAGUAGUGAGGAACUAAGUAAAGGGAGAGCGCCGGUUGUGAAUGAUGGCUAGCAGUGGUGGCUAAACGAAAACGGCGGCUGGAGCGGGCUGGGGAGGUACUCGGUGCGGUGGUGACGGAGCAGCGAUGGAGAGCAAAGCAUGCGAAGGCAGCAGCCGGAAAGGGGGGAAAAAGGAAAGAAAGAAAGAAAAAAGAAGAACCAUGGGUUUUUUUUUUUUUUUUGAAUAAAGGAACCUCUGUGUUAGGCGUGGACACGCCUAACUGCCUUCAAGUCUUCUGACCAACUGUCCGAAAUUAGGACCUUAAGUGUGACCACCCACGCUUAACUAUUAGAGAGUCUUCUAACCAAUUUUCGGAAAUUGAGUUCCUUAGGCGUGACCAUCUGUAGAGUCUUCUGACCGCAGAUGAAAAUUGCCUUCCUUGGGUGUGACCAUCUGGCGUGGGCAUUUCUAACUGCCAACUUCCUACCACAACAAUAACAAAUCACUAAACGACACUAACACUUAAUAAAAACUCCAAAAGUAGAAGAAAACUAAAACCAAAAAAAGCCUUGGAUUGCCUCCCAAACAGCGCAUUUCUUUAAUGUUUUUGGCUAGACAUCGCCAUAUUUAUUCACGGAGGAUAAAAUCGUGUAGCUCAUUUCAGUACUUCAUCUUCUAUGUAUCCGUGAUAACUCUCGUGAAUAGAGUAAUUCUUAAGCAUACGAGGUAUGAUUUUCCAUGAACUAGUAGAUGGCGCCAAACAAGUCAACAAGAAUCUUAAUUCUUCACUCACUCCUCCAUCACGAACACUUACUAGUUCGAGAUAUUUUGCCAUCGCAGCUCUUAACUUAUUCCUGUCAUAAAAUUCAAAAUCUUCUGGUAUAAUAAAAUCAAUUUCACUAACAGGAAUUAAAGAAUAAGAGUUAGGAAAAUAUUAAUUAAGGAAUGGAGGAGAUGUCACCGCAUUUGGAGAUUGUUCACUGGAUUCAUUCACUUGAACUAUAUGAUGUUGGGGUCUCAUUUCUUGCACUUCAACUUUCUUUUCAACUUAUUCCUGUCAUAAAAUUCAAAAUCUUCUGGUAUAAUAAAAUCAAUUUCACUAACAGGAAUUAAAGAAUAAGAGUUAGGAAAAUAUUAAUUAAGGAAUGGAGGAGAUGUCACCGCAUUUGGAGAUUGUUCACUGGAUUCAUUCACUUGAACUAUAUGAUGUUGGGGUCUCAUUUCUUGCACUUCAACUUUCUUUUCAACUGCAUCUUUAAAUUUUUUUUCUUGAGACUCUCGCAUUACCAUAUCAUUUGUCAGGAUAAUUACACUUUCAUAUUUCUCAUGGUCGAUAAUAGUCUAUAAGGGCAAUUCUUCACACAUUCGAGAAGUCAAUUGCGUUAUCCUAAAUAUUAAUUGAUUCACUUGAUCCGCCAAGUUACGCAUGCUCGCUUGUGUCUCCUGAUGAAAUAGAUAUGUGUUAAUAGCUAGUGAUUCAAUCAUUUCUUUAAGAGACAUACCUAACGUAGAUGACGUUUCUUGAGAUUCUUGUUGUUGAAAAUCCAUUGGUCUGGUCGCAUAAUUAAAAUUGAAAUCAUCCCACCAUCCUUGAUCAUAACCAUUUGAAUAAGGGUCAUACCACGUUUGACAUUGAGGUGAAAAAUUUUCAAAAGUAUUUAUUGGAGCACUUAGACCAUCUUGAAAUGCAGGGCAUAUGUCGGUUGAAUGAUCUGAAACAAAAUAAGUUUCAUAAUUUGCAACAGCCCAUUGAUGAUUAGAAAAAGCACGAGUCUCAUAACCUUUUCUAGAAAUAAAAUUCAGUCUAUCGCCAAAAUAUGGAUUGUUAGUAGCCAUAAACUAUAUAAAAAAAGAGAAAAAUAAAAAAAAUAAAAACAAAAUGAACUCAAAAAUAAAUAAAUUAAUCAGACACCAAUCUCCGACAAUGGCGCCAAAAAUUGACAGGUUGUCAAACCUAUGCAAUAAUAAUAAUAAAACCUAACAACUACGGAAAGCAGUUAAUAAUCAAUUCUACGUACUGGAGCAAGGACCCUAGGUAUGCAAUGGGUUACUUGAUUCACCAUGUUUCUGAAGAAUUUGCUUAAUCCGAUAUACUAGAAUUAAUUAACUAACAGAAUUUACUAACUAAUAGACAGUGGCAAGCAAGGUCGUCUCUUCAGGAACUGGAGAAAAAUUCAUUUCCUUUCGAGUCAAGACAAAUGAGAGGGGUUUUAGGAUUAAAUGCUAACUAAAUAAAUUAAAUGCGAAAAAUAAUUAAUUGAAAAAAUAAUUGAAAAAACUCUAACUAAGGGCACACUUCAGAAAUGUUUCAUACAACUGAUCAUCGAUUCAAAUGUAAUUCCAACAUUUAUUAAUAGAUUGGUUAUAAUUGUCAUACACGCGAUAAACAAUCAGUCUUUCCUUAAUUUCUCGAUAGUUAAAGUACGACCGUUAACUAUUUUUCUAACCUAAAAACAACCCUAGGUACAACCGUAGGAUUUAAUUUCUAGCUUGCAUUAAGAUUUAGAAAAAUCCAAUCCUAACUAACAAACACGCUACGAUCAUAUGUUUUCUUGGCAUAAAUUCAAUUAGAUCAUAUGUUUUCUUGGCAUAAAUUCAAUUACGCCAGUUGCUAUCGGGACGGAGGUAAUCGAACAAUUACGGAUUCAACUACCCUUAAUUAGUAAAAUAACCUACAUGAAUAAUUAAAUAUUGUGCAUCAAUCAUACACAAAAACUAUAACAAUUAAAAAUAGAAGACAUAUAAAUACCAAUAAAUUGAGGAAACAAUUAAAAUAAUUCAGGUCUCACAGUGAUUGCUAAACCAAAUCUUCAGUUGUCCCCUUGACUAGAAAACAGAGAUUUAGCUACACAUCCUCAAGGGAAAUCCGCAGGACUCCCCUGAUAACCAUUGAUUCCUUCUUCAAAAACUAAUGAAAGAAGACAAAGAAAAGAGACAAGUCACGGCCCCCCUCUCAAUUCCUAUUUUGUAGCUUCUUAAGGAAAACAAAACUCCUCCGAAUUUGUUUGCUGACUGAACUCUUAAUCACACGGGAUCCGGCUUGCUCUUCCUAUUUUCUCGUUUUCUAAGGGAAACAAACUCCCAAUUGAAAAAGAAAACAUUCUAAAGAGAUAAUACUUAAUUUUUUCCCCUAAUUCCACUCUGCAACUAACAAAGAUAAGUAAAGUCUUCCAAAUUCACCAAAGAUGUCCAUAUUUGACUCGAACUAGGAAAUCUCCACGCGCGACAAAUUUUCGAGUCUUCUGGACUGGAAUGUAGGUUCUGAACGUAUCACCACCAAAUUAAUUGGAAAUUGCCCCUUUUAAUCAUGUUUUGAUUAUUUUCCUAUAAUUUAGCACCAUUAACCAAAUAUAAGUAGAAUCCAUCAAAUAACACAAUAUUUGGUAAAAUAAAAAAGGGAAAUGACCAUAAAAUUAAUGACAAAAAUGCAACAUAUCAAUUUUUCCCACAUCAUCAACUCGGGCAUCCCUCUUUGUCGACUAUCAAGCAUAUUUUAUCAAUGUCUACUUUGGAUGUCUCAUCUCUACCCGAUCUCUAUUUUAAUUGUAAUUCCUGUCAGUGCAAAAACAGCCAUAAAUUACCGUUCUCUUCCUCUUCACUCUCUACCUCCUCCCCUCUUGAGGUUGUCUGCACUGACGUUUGGACAUCACCUAUUAUUUCUGUCAAUAACUACAAAUACUAUAUCAUCUUUGUUGAUCACUUCACCAAAUAUAUUUGGUUAUAUCCCCUCAAAUGGAAAUCUGACACACGUGACGUUUUCAUCAAAUUUAAGGCUCUCGCUGAAAAAUUCUUUUCUCGCCCAAUCAUCACCCUUUACUCUAACAAUGGGGAGGAAUAUCAAGCACUUUCUUCCUUUUUAACCAUUAAUGGGGUCUCUCAUCUUACAACUCCACCUCACAUACCUGAACACAAUGGGUACUUCGAACGCCGUCAUCGUCACAUUAUUGAAACCGGUCUCUCUCUACUCUCUCAUGCUUCCAUGCCUGUAUCAUAUUGGCCUUUUGCUUUCUCCACCGCUGUCUAUCUCAUCAACCGCCUUUCCACACCUACUUUACAAAUCGUCUCCCAUUCUUUAAACUCUUUGGUACUCUUCCUAACUACACUAAAUUUCAUAGCUUUGGAUGCCUUUGCUAUCCUUGGCUUUGCCCAUAUACAUCCCACAAACUUGCGCCACAAUCUGUGCCGUAUGUCUUUGUUGGGUACUCUCCCACUCAAAGUGCCUAUCUUUGUCUUGACACGUCUACUCAUCGUCUCUAUACUACUCGUCAUGUGAGGUUUAUUGAAACAAUUUUUCCCUUUGUAUCAUCUCACAUUUCCCUACCUCGUGGAUUUUCCUUCACCUUAUCCGAGUGGUGUUCUAUAACGCUACUCAUUGGCACUUCUGUUUCCUCCUCUUCUGUGUCUCCCAUCACCACUCCCACCAACUUUCGGGACCAAAUUUUCAGGCUCACACUUCCACCCUCUCACUGGCCACCCUGACAAUUGCAACUUCUUCCACUAGCCCCGCAUCUCCUACACAACCCAUUUCCUCUUCAGCAGUUCCCUAACCAGCUUUUCCCCGUGUCAUCAUUAUCCGUUCCAAAAAUAACAUCCAUAAACCACUUCACAAACUUAAUCUCUCGGCUGAGCUCCAACCCACCACCAUCACUCAAGCUUUGAUGGAACCCAAGUGGAGACAGGCUAUGUCUGAGGGGUUUGAUGCUCUCCUUCGGAAUGGAACUUGGCAACUCAUCCCUUCUCGUCCUGAUCACAAUGUGGUUGGCUGCAAAUGGGUCUUUUGCACUAAAUAUAGACCUGAUGGUUCGGUUGACAGGUAUAAAGCUCGGUUGGUUGCCAAAGGCUUUCACCAACGUCCGGGUGUUGACUACUCUGAAACCUUCAGUCCUGUCAUGAAGCCUACUACUGUUGGUCUAGUCCUUAGUCUUGCGGUUAGUCGAGGUUGGUUGUUCAAACAACUUGAUGUCAACAAUGCCUUUCUUCAAGGCAGGGGAUGUGUUUUUGUCCCAACCUCCAGGCUUCGUUGAUCGUGAUCAUCCUCAUCACGUUUGUAAGCUACGCAUGGCCAUUUAUGAUCUCAAACAGGCACCCCGUGCCUGGUAUCACGAGCUGCGCACAUUUUUUCUGUCCUCUGGCUUUACUAACUCUAUAGCCGACCUUUCAUUGUUCAUCUUCUCAGUCACGGCGUUGUCUUUUAUCUCCUGGUCUAUGUUGACUACAUCAUUAUCACCGGCGACAACUUUCAAGUUGUGCAAACCUUUAUUGAGCAGCUGUCUCACCAAUUUGCCCUCAAGGACCUUGGUCCCUUAUCAUAUUUCCUUGGUGUUGAAGUUCUUUCUCACUCAGGUGGUCUCUUCCUCAGUCAACGCAAAUAUAUUGCUGAUCUCCUUCAUAGCACCAAGAUGACUGAAGCAAAGCUUGCCUCUAUGCCUUUGGCAACACAUCCACCUCUCACUCUACACUCUGGAACCAUUCUAUCUGAUCCCACUGAGUAUCGCAAAGUCGUUGGUAGUCUUCAGUAACUCUCCCUUACUCGACUUGACUUCGCUUAUACGGUGAACAAGCUCUCUCAAUUUUUGCACCACCCGACAACUGAUCAUUGGACUGCCCUCAAACGCCUUCUUCGGUAUUUAUGUUGCAUCUUGGACCAUGGCAUCACCCUUCAUUGCGCCUCUCCUCUGGCAUUACAUGGCUUCUCUGAUGCUGAUUGGACGGGUAACAAAGAUGACUUCACCUCUACAAGUGCCUACAUUAUUUAUCUCGGUCAUAAUCCCAUCUCUUGGAGCUUCAAGAAACAACGGACUGUGGCUCGCUCCUCUACUGAGGCAAAAUACUGCUUAGUGGCCUCUGCUGCUGCCAAACUUCGUUGGAUUUGCUCUUUUCUUAGCCAGCUCAGUGUCACUCUUGCAUAUCAACCAGUUAUUAAUUGUGAUAAUAUUGGUGCCAUGACUCUAUGCUCAAAUCCGGUCUUUCACUCGCGCAUGAAACAUGUGGCCAUUGACUAUCAUUUCAUUCGAGAUCAAGUUCAAAAUCGUCUGCUACGUGUGUCCCACGUAUCUGCCUCUGAUCAACUCACUGAUGUUCUCACCAAACCUCUCGCUCGCUCUCAAUUUGCUUCCAUGAAGCUCAAAAUAGGACUUGCUUCACCGUCGUCCAUCUUACGGGGGCAUUAUAAGAAUCCUCAUCCUUUACCAACUGAUACUAGAUAGAAGGUAGAACUCUAACUACUGAUUACAUAUAGAACUCUGUGUAGUGUAGGUUCCUAUUUCUGGUGUAACUCUCCUACCUUUGUGCUGCUAUACGUGUAUAUAUUGGGUUACUAUGAAUGAGACAAUAUACAAAAAUUGCUCCAGUCAAUGCCUCUUUGUUUUGGCUUCUUCAAAAACUACAUUGAAUAGAAGAACACAGGAUUCUUCUGACAUUAGGAUACAUGGAUCUUAAUUAAUGUGGCGCUUCGUGAGAAUAAACCAUUCAUUCCCACAUAUUCUAAUUCGUCAAACGAAAUGGUUGCUUAUGAGCUGUGCGAGUGAUUUAACCGCUUAACUUUGAUACUCAUUAAGUCACAUAUCAUCAAAGCAUUAGGGUUUUAAUUACUAAUUGUGACCAAGUCAAAGCUUACAUGAAGAUAAUUGAUAAACAAUUUGUAAUAUCUAACAAAGCCUUGACUAGCACUCUUACGAAGAAAUUUGCCAAAUUGGGUGAUCUAAAUUACCAAAUUUGCCAAAAGUGGAAUGUGAAAUUCCUCCAAAAUUCGUGGAAGGAAAAGAAAUAAUCAAGACUUCAACAAUGGAAAGGGAAGCAAGAAUAACGCUAGGCAAGACGGCAUGGACUUCAAUUGUUUUUGUUUUUCUAGUGUUCAAUUCCCUUGAAGUUUCAAUAUUUGGAUUGUAGUUUUUUAGGAAAAAUAUUUUACAUUUUUCAUAGACAUAUUUUUUUAAUCAUCUUAGUAUCUUAUUUACAUCAAAUUACUCGCAAGCUUGAAACAACCCUCUCGAAUUAAGGUGUGAUAAUGCUGCACGUCAUCUACGAUUUUUCAGAUUCCUACUUCUUCUAUACUUUGACAAAAGACAUCUCCAUGUAUGGCAAGAGGUCUUAUAAUACUGUACGGCAUCAACAAUUUCUCAGAUUCCUACAACUUCAAUACUUUGACUCUGCUUGAGAUUCUAAUAAUUUUACUCUGCUCUUCUCAAAUUUAAAUAAUUAUGCUUACCUCUCUUAACAUAAUAAAGUAUCUAUAAUGACCUUUAUUUAGUAGACAAUUCACAGUAUAAUACAAUAUAUUUGUAAAAUCCAAAAAAAAUCAUAUUUAUCUAUGUCUUGCCUAACUCCUCUCUUCUCUUUUCUAGUUAUUAUACUAUUUUACCUCUCUUUUUUUUUCUUUAGUUUUAUAGAUAUUACCAAAUUGAAAUUGUAAAAUUAACAGUUCAAUUGAGGGAGUAAAUUAUGUAUCAAAUUAAAAGGAAAUGAAGAGACUUGGAGUGAUAGAGAAAAAAAAAUAAUGAAAUUAAUGAUUGAAACAUGUUGGAGGAUCAAAGAUGGAAAAUUUACCAUAUAUUUUUUUUGUGGCAAGCAUUGAUAAUCCUUUGGAUAGUUGCUUGGAUUUGGAACUAGAGUUUUUACUUAGGCUGUUGUUAUGAAUUGGGAUGGUCAAUUUGUGCAAAGAAUGAAAGAAAGAGAUCGAGUAUACUGUAUUUUUCUUUUUUCACUAUUGUAGUAAAUGGUAAUUUAGGAUUUUUGAGAAAAAAUCUAGUUUGUUAGACCUAUAUUAUUAUUUAAAGAGUAAAGUAAGGAGUUAGAUGUAAUCUUUUAAAUUUGAGGGGAGCUCUUUGUAAUUAUGAAAAACCUUAAGGGAGGUUCAUGAAAUUAUCGCAUGCUUUGACAAAAGACGUGUCAAUGUCAGGCAAGACGUGUGAUUAUGCUGCACGCAUCAAUGGUUUUUCACAUCCCUACGACUUCAAUGCUUUGACAAAAGACAUGUCUAUGUCUGGCAAGAAGUGACAUAAUAUAAUAAAGGGCAAAUUUUUCAAACAGUCCUUCAACUUUUUAACUAAUUUUUAUUUGGUCCUUCAUCUUAAAAAUGUGAUAGAAUGAUCCUUCAACAAAAUUUUUUAGACCAAAUUGGUUCUUAUAUGGCAUAGCAGCCAAUAAAAAGUUGGAUCAAAGUGGUGAUGAGAUUUGAAUUUUCUUGCAUGUUCCAUCAUGUAGGGACCAAUUCGGCCUAAAAAAUUUCGUUAGAGGGCCAUUAUGUCCCAAUUUUAAGAUGGAGGAUCAAACAAGAAUUAGUAAAAAAUUUGAAUGACUAUUUGGCAGAUUUGCUCGAUAAUAAAAUUGAAAAGCUGGGGUGUUUGGAAAAUAUUUAGAGGCUUUUAGCAAAGUGUAUUAAUGGAAAAAAAAUGAUUUGAUGGCCUAUUGAACUUGAAGAGGACACGGCAGCUGUGGAAAUUAAGUUCAAAGACAAUUUGUGGUUUCUGACCCACAGCAAUGAGUGAUAUUUUUUGGAACCUCUCUUGGGAUUCCUGAUAAUUAUUUAAUAUUCUUAAACUUUUUAAAAUAUCACUUAUCUCCCUUAUCAUUCAAAGUCAACAUUACAAGUCACCAAUUGAUAUUUUUACCCUCAAUACUAUAGGUUUAUUCUGGAAAAAUACUUUCCAACCAAAAGAAUUGGCAUGAUUUUCUUCUUUUGAAUUUUGCCCUGUUUUAAUGAAAAUGUCGCAUGUAUUAGUCCCAAUUCAGGAGCUUAUAUUUUUUAGCAUAAUUCUUUUAUGCUAGUUUACCUACGACAUUCCCCGCAUUAAUUUCAUUGCCUUCAUAUUAUUGGAAGAGUUUGUAUUUUCACUAGCGAAGUAGAGCUUGUUUUAGGGUUUUUUUUUCCUCCGCUCUCAAUUUUUUUUUUCUUAGUUUUGGCUCUCAAAAAUUUCUGGUUGUAGCCUCGCAAUUAGAACCACUUUUUUUUUUUUUAACUAAUAUUGAAAGAUUUGGUGAAUUGGAUGACUUCGCACUUGAAUUUCAAAAGACCAAUCUUGUUCUCUCUAUUUCUUUACUUUAUAUUUUAGAAUCUGUUCAUCAAUGUUUCAAUUCUUUUCACCUCAACUCUCUCCAUAUGCAUUUCCAGCAACAUAAGUAUCCGUUCCGAUUUCAACAAUAAUGUGCUUAAUAGCUGUUAUUGUUAUAUUUAGUUGCAUUACAAUAACAAACACUACACAAAUUUUUCUUGGAUUUUAAAUCUUUUAUUAAUACUAAUACGGAUUUUGGAUAAUGAACGAACAAGACAACUGAAAGGGCAACUUUGAAAUAAAAAUAUGCUCAAUUUACUUAAAUGAAUCAUUUAAUCUUACUUUGUUCCUAGUUAGGGGUGGUAGAUGAAUCGAGUUGCUCGCAAAGAAUUUAGUCAAAGCUCUACUUGAACUCGAGUUUGACUGAUACUCGAGUCAAUUAUUGAAUCGAAUUCAAGCAUUACCUAAAAACCUACAUAUUUUUAGAAAAAAUUGUCUUACCAAACGGAGCCCAUAUUUUUAGAAAAAAUUGUCUUACCACUCGAACUCGAAUUUGAUCUUAAUUUGCUUCUUGAGCACCUUUAUCUUUCACAUGAGCCGAACUCGAGUUUCAAAGUUGAUGAGCUCAAACCUGAGUUUGAACUCAAGUAAUGUCUUCAAGCUCAUCGAGCUCGAGCUUGAAUACAUUCUGUAUUUGAGUUUGAUUCCGUUCAUUGCCAUUCCUAUCCUAGUCAUUGAACAUGUUACAAAAGAAUUUAUCUAGGGGAGGUUAAUGAGAUUUUCAAAAGUUUAGAAGUUCCAAGUGAUAUUCACAAAAAACCUUUGGGAAGGUUUUCGAAAUUAUCCAAAGAAUCAAUUCAAAGCCAAUUGAUGCAUGUGGCGGAGAUUAACCUUAUCAAACAUGACCAUGUGCAUAAAGCCCCCACUGGAGUUCGGCAUUCAAACCCCCACUGGAGUUCAUUGCCAUACUAACUUAUUUCAGCCCGGAUGGAGGCUUGGCUACUCUUAGCCUUGGCAUGGGUUGUUGCAUUGGCUUUUCUCUCAAAAGUAUCCACUCGCAAACGCCUAAAGCUAAAUCAUCCACCAGGACCAAAACCAUGGCCUAUUAUUGGCAACUUGAAACUCCUGGGUUCAAUCCCACAUCAAUCCUUGCACUUGCUGCCCCAGAAAUAUGGAGAAAUCAUGCAACUAAAAUUUGGGCUGGCCUGUUGUAGUAGCUUCAUCCCCUGAAAUUGCAAAAGAAUUCUUGCAAACACAUGACAACAUCUUCGCCUCUCGGCCUACAACUGCUGCUGGCAAAUAUACUAGCUAUAACUGCUCCGACUUGACAUGGGCACCUUAUGGUCCAUUCUGGCGACAAGCUCGUAAACUUUAUCUAACCCAAAUAUUUAAUCCAAAGCGACUUGACUCCUUCGAGAGCAUACGCAUUGAAGAAAGGCGUGCUUUCAUUUCUCGCUUGUAUGCCCUCUCAGGAAAGCCAGUAGUUAUGAGAGAUCAUCUAACACGUCUUACCCUCUCCACUGCAAGCCAGAUGGUUUUGAGUAACAAGUACUUUGCCCAAUCUGAAGGGGAGGGAUCUCUACCUACCUUUGAAGAAUUCCAAGAGAUGAUAGAUACUUGGUAUUUGCUGAGUGGUGUGUUCAAUAUUGGGGAUUCUACAUAUUAUGUCAACCAAAAUAGAAAACUUAUCAAUGUAGAUGUUUGAAUAUAUUUUUUUUCCAUUACAAAUUGAGACACUCGCACUUGCUGAAAUUUUAUAUAAGAAAAGAGAAUUAUAUAUAUUUCCUUGUUUUUUGGAAUCCAUGACCUUGAUCUAGCUUCGACGAAAUACUCUUUAUUAUAUUCUUUUCCUUUCUUUGUAAUUUUCUUCAUGAAUCCACUUUUGAUGCUUUUCCGUCAAUUCUGUCCGCUUUUUAUUUAAUUAUAAGGGAAGUUAAUAAACCGCAAAACUUGCAUUUUCACCUUAUUGUGCUUGACGAUAAAGAGUAGACAGAUUUGACCUCCAAGGUUAUGUAAAGCAAAUGAAAGAACUUCACCAGAAAUUUGAUAGAUUCCAUAACCAUGUGCUUGAUGAUCACCGGGCCAAGAGGAAAACGGAGAAGGAUUUUAUCCCUAAGGACAUGGUGGACAUUCUAUUGCAAUACGCUGAAGAUCCUGAUCUCCAGGUUCAACUCACCAGAGAUCAGAUAAAAGGGCUAAUUCAGGUGCUAUUUCUUCUCGUUGUUUAAUCAAAUUCCUUGGUCUCUUUACCUCUUUAAGUUACUGAAUCUCAAAGCCAGCAGUCUUGCUUAGUAUAAUGUGCCAUUAAACAUAACUGUCUCCUUUCUUCUAAUUAAGAGUUUUUUUUUUAUUUUCUUUCUAGAUUAAUAGUAUUACAAUUUGUAGUAAAGUAUCAACAAUAUUUGAUCAUAGAGACACUAACUUUACCAAUAUGUCAUGUUCAGGACUUUCUUUUUUUUUUUUUUUUUCUGACGGAGUGGGUAUCCGGGCCUUCGGCCCGACUAAUCCCACUCCGACCCGAGAAGGAGGCCCUACUCCUCAGACACGGUAGGCACCAGGCAGACUCGAACCCAGGUGGGGGACGGACAACGACCCCUGAAGAGGAAGCCGUGACCGAACGAGCUGCCUGGUGAGGGCGUCAUGUUCAGGACUAACUUUACCAAUUUGUUGCUGACCAUAACGUGCUAUUAAAGAUAACUGUCUUCACCCUCAAAAAAAAAAAAAAAAAAGGAUAACUGUCUUCUUUCAUCCUUCUGAUUAAGAGGGCUAUGUUGAAUUUUCCAAGAUUCCAAUACGAGAUUUUUGAAUACAACUAUGAUAUAAACGCGUACCAUUUAUAAAACUAAUCUCUGAAAAAAAAAACUAUUAAUUAGAUUCAUAUUGAUUCAUUGCUAUUUUAAUUCUUUAAAUCUUAGGCUGGCCUUUCAAAUCAACAUGUAUUCUUUUAUCCUUAAAGAGGAUUCUUCAAUUUCUCUCUGGUAUCUGGGAUAUACGAACUAUUUUGCAAUACCAAAGUAUACGACAUAAAAGUGCAUGUGAUCCGGGUAUUAUAACUAUAAUAUAAAUAAUUUUUCUAUUAUCUUUUGGUAUUUCUAUUUUAAUCCAUCAUAAAAAUAGAAAUUAUUCACAAGUCUCUAUACAUUAAAAGUUCAUAUCUUAUGAAAUAUAUUAAAAUUAUAAUUAUAAUUGAUUACUUAAUUAAAUUUAAUUUGAUUUGACAAUUUGUAAUACAUAAUUAUUCAUAUACAAGUCUAGCAUUGAAUCUAGGAUCCAACAGUUUUUUCCCUUCCAAUCUGUUGUAAAGCAUGAUACUUCACCAAUAUUUAAUCAUGGCAGGACUAACUUUACCAUAAUUUGAUCAUGGCCAGGACUUGCUGGUUGGUGGUACCGAAACCUCAGCCCUUACAGUAGAAUGGCAUUGAAUGAACUUCUCAAACAUCCACGUCUCAUUCGAAAGGCAACCGAAGAGCUUGACAGAGUGAUAGGGAGAGAUAAGUGGGUGGAAGAGGCUGAUUUCUCAAAACUGCCUUUUCUAGAGGCGAUCAUAAAGGAAACUUUUAGGUUACAUCCACUGGCAACGCUACUUUCGCCCCGUUAUGCCCUCGAGGAUUGCACUGUAGCUGGUUAUAACAUUGCUAAAGGAACAACGGUGUUUAUAAACACAUGGAGUAUAGGGAGGAACUCAAAGUAUUGGGAUUCUCCAGAAGAAUUCAUUCCAGAGAGGUUUUUGGAGAAGGAUAUUGACAUGAAGGGACAAAACUUUGUGCUACUGCCCUUUGGCUCAGGUCGGAGGAUGUGCCCAGGCUAUAACCUUGGAAUCAAACUUAUUCGAUCAAUGUUGGCCAACUUGUUGCAUGGAUUCAACUGGAAAUUGCCUCAUGGCAUGAAACCAGAGGAAAUUUGCAUGGAAGAACACUACGGACUCACAACUCAUCCAAGGAUUCCACUUGCUAUGAUCCCAGAACCACGUUUGCCGGUCAAUCUCUAUUAGCGAGCAUGAUUUAAGGCAAAAUUGAAGUAUGUUCCUACCGUAUCAAUCAAAGGUUAAACUCAAUUGUAUCAUGCCCUUUUGAUCACUUAGCUCAAUUUAGGUGAGAGCUUGGGAGUUGGGACAGAGUAUAUUUGACCUAAGGAAACUUUGAAGGGAAGAUACUCCUUUUGGUGAUUUCUAUUGUGAAAUAAUACAAAAGUCACAAUCAUACUGGUUUUCUUUUCUUUCUUGAAAUUGCUUUUGGUGAAUUCUAUAUUGUGAAAUAAAAGAAAAGUCACAAUAUAUUUUUUGGCUAAAUAAAAAAAAGUCAAAAUAUCGCAAUUAUGACGUGUGGAAGAAUUGACAUGGAAAUAUUGAAGACUGCACAGAGGGGGGAAAAACUGGCUCUCUUGUUAGCAAAGAAGAUAGGUACGCAACGGAAUUAAAUGUAACAUCUCAAAAAUUUGACAAACAAACAAGGAGGCCCUCAAUUAGAGCCACAAGUCUGUUCAAAAGGUAACAUUACCCAAAGCAGAGUUGGCACAACUUACUGGAACAGAGAAGCAGCAACAUUAAACUUUGUGCAACGACCAACUUUAUGAUUGGUUCGCACAAGGCCUAUAAAAAUGCCAAAACGAAUCUGACCUCUUGACUUCAUACUACCAACGCGUUACAGUAAGGCAAUGCUAACUAUGAACCCAAUUCCAUGCAACUUCAAGAAUCUAACCGAAUACAGAUUGAACAUAGACGAGUUUGCCCAAUUUAAGUAAAAACUAGGGGUGUGACCUUAAUUAAGUAAGUAGCUCACGAGUUUGCUCUAUCAAAGUUCAAGCUCGACCUUUGCAUUAACUAAGUUCGAACUCGAGUUUGAACAUUUUGAGCUAUUUGACGAGUUUAAUCAAAUUCAAUCCAAUUUCACACACAGACAUACAUUUUAAUUUUUUUUAUAUAUUAGUAUAAAAUGUCUAUUUUAUCUCUUAUUUAAAAUUAUAUAAAAUAUAAAUUUAUAUUUCUUAAACUUGAUUAAACUCAAUUAGGCUUGAUGAGUACAAGUUCGAAUUCAAGUAAUGUAAAACAAAGUCAAGCUCGAGUUCAAGUUUAACUUUCAAGAGUUCAACGAGUUCGACCUCGAAUUAGAGUCCAGGUUUUUAACUUAAUGCACUAUUCGAGUUCAUUCGACUUGAUUGCACUUGCAAGUAAAAUAGCUUUUAAUAAAUAAAGCCCUAAUUGGCUUAGUAUAGUAGUGCUAACAUUAUCUUUAUUAAACUAAACACAAAAACUAAUCGAACACUUUGUUGCGGUGUAGAAAAUGUGCCACUCUAAGGGUCCGUUUGUUUCGGGUGAAAAUAUUUUCCAGGAAAAUAUUUUCCUAAUUUCCCGUGUUUGGUUGCACAAAAGUUACUGAAAAUAUUUUCAUAUGUAAAAUAUUUUCACUUAUCUUAUGGAAAACAACUUCCCUUCCAAACUUAUUGAAGUUGUUUUCCGAAAUGCAUGCAUCCCGCCUGUAGUAUGUUCCAAACUUACUGAAAACAUCUUAUAGUAUGUUCUUUUUUUUUUUUAGUGUAAAUAGGAGGACUCGAAUCCAAGACCUCUUCUUUACACUCCCUCCCCCGUACCACCCAACCCAACCCUCCCCCUAGUAUGUUCAAAAUAAAAAAAAAAACCUCAUCCUGCUCAUCCUAUGCUAGUAAUUAAUUAUGUAUAAUAGGGACAUUUUUUUCUAGAGAAACUUUCAGCAGUGAGAGUGCAAGAUAUAUGUCACAAUAAGCAUUGCAUGUGAUUGAUAUUUGACACUAAAUGGCCAGCAAUUUGUUUAUUGCUUAAUGAGAUAUUUUUUAUUCAUAUAUACAUUUCUCCAAGAUUUUUUAAAGUUAAACAAUGAGAUAAAUUUUCUUAUUUUGCAUGGAAAGAAGUAUGUAGUUAUAAUGUGUAGAAAGUAAAGAUAGAGAUAAAAGUGAAAAUAAUUCAAAAGUUAAACAAACACCAGAAAAAUGAAGUAAGAAAAUAUUUUCAAUAAGCUAACCAAACACCUGAAAAUGAUGAAAGGGAAAUGAUUUUCAUGGAAAAUUACUUCCACGGAAAAUAUUUUCCCAAGAAAAACAUUUUACUUCCAACCAAACAGACCCUAAAUUGUAAUUAUUACCAAUCUUCAUCUUCGCGCAUAGGAAGGGAUUAGACUUAUAUUUAUGUAUAUGAUAUGACUACUUAUUUUGCUUGAUCGAAGAAUUCAUCCAUAUUCACCCAUAUAUACCAUUAGAGCCAUCACAGUCUUGAGUCUCUUGACAUGAUAAUCAUCUGGAUCGAAGCAAUUCUCAAGAAACCAAGAAAUAUAUUUUUCCACUUGACAUUAUUUCCAAUAAAAUUUUCAAUUGCACAAUUUCCAACAAAUUUAGCCACCCCAGAAUUGAAUCAAUAAUUUCUUUCUCAUCAAAAUUAACACUUUUAGCGAGAAAUAAUUCAUUCUCAAUUACACAAAAUAGUGAAUAGGAAUCAAAAUUUCUAGCCUCUUCUAAAAAGGUCCUACUUUGUAUCAGUUAAUGGUAGUUGAACUCAUUCUCCCCUCUCUAUUCAUAUUUUGACGUUCUAAUCACCUAGAUCAUAUUCCGAAAAUGAACGGAGUUGGCAUUGGUUUUGGGCCAAAUAUAAUUAAAUGAAUAUGAAUACUUCUCAAAUUAAGUUCAAUUAGAAAAUGUGUUAUAUUAUCUUACCUGAAUAUUGCAUGAAAAAAUAUAAAAUUUUUGUACCAUAAAAGUUUUACUGCAUGGAUUGAAUCUGUUAAUAUUGUAAGUAAAUAGGAAAUAAACUAUAUGGAAGAAAGUUCUUAUUCAAUUAAUACAAUAAAAUGGCUAAGUGGGAGGAAGAUUUAGGUUAAAAAACCAAAACAAAAAAGAAAAAAGCGUUAGCAAGAGCUUAUUAAUUUCGUUGAGGGAUAUUGAAAUCAUGACUUUGGCGGAUACGAUUAAUAUUGGGUUAAUUACAUCUACCUCCCUUGUGGUUUUGCCAAAUUACAAGUAGACUCCCUAAACUUUGAAAAAUAACAAUCAUCCCUUUUGGCUUUGACAUUGCAUAACAAAUUGAUCCCUCCCAUUAGUUUACUAACGGGUUGUUGAUCCAAAUCAGUGAAAAGGUAAUACAAAAACCCUACACUGCCCCUCUAGAUGUUUUUGUAUUUUAAUAUUUUAAUAUUCUACUUAUUUAUACUAUCUAAGAAAAAGACAACAUCUUAUAAAAGCAUAAAAAAAAAAAAAAAGGGGGGGGGGGGGAAUGAAGAAAGUAUCAAUCGGCAAACAAGGAAAGGCCCAAGGAACCCAGCAUAUACACCAUCAGGUCCAUCAUCGUUGUCUUUGUCCUCUGUCUUCCCUUUAUCCCCAUAACUCAUGCCACCACGAAAAUUCUUCGGUUCCUUCCUAGAUGAACUGAGACAAUGUUCUAUGGCUUUCAUGAUUCAUGGUUCUUCUAUCCAUAAGCCACACACCUAUCAUUCCUUAUUUGUUUUCUAUUUUAGAACUGCACUGGGUUUCAUAUAUACAUAGGUAUGGACCUAACCCUGCAAAUAGCCAAUUUAAGCACUUCUUGUGCUCGUGAUUUAUGAUUUGCAUUGAUAAAUUGCCUGGUAGUGGGAGCGUUUUCAGCAUAGGGGCACAAGUUGGAUCGAGGUCAAGAUUUUGAUUGGAAAUAUCCAUUUAUUUGCGUGAUUUUGGGACUUGGAUGGGGGAAAAGUAAGUUGGCGGUAGCUUUGGGUGGUAGUGGUCAUUUAUAGUGAGAUUUUGGGGGUCAAGCAUUUGAGGUUACAGCAGUUGGUGACGAUUAUGGCUAGAUGGUGGUGGAGAAGCAGUACUGUAGAUCUCAAGAACCUUCAUUUACUUAUAUUCCCUAUCUUCUUCAAAUUAAUUUAUUCAUGGCAAACUAUAUUGACAGGGUGUCGAAGCCUGUGCAAUAAUAAAACCUACUCAAACUAAAAGUAAUUUCUGUAGAUAGUGGUAAGCAGGGUCGAAUCCACAGGGACUGGGAGUAAUUGUUUCUUUUCAAGUUCACAAUAACAAAGGGGGUGUUUUUGUGCAGAAAGUGACAAUAAAAGAAGUUCAAAUAAAAUCUAAGAAACUACUAAAAAUUAAAUAACAAAUUACUAAAAUCAAAUGAGUGAUAAUUAAGAAUCUAGCCAAGAAAUAACUUCAGCAAUUGUGCACCUAAUUGAUCAUCGAAACAAAGGCAAUUCCAAUUAUUUAUCAAUAAAUAGGUUAUCACUACCAAACAAGCGAUGACAGUCAACCCCUCCUUACUGUGUCGGUGGUUAAGGUACGCCAGUUAAUCACUACUCUAAUUGAGAAAUAAUCCUAGGUACGCCCAUAAGAUUUAAUUUCGUAAUUGCCUUACGUAUUAGAGGAGCUCUAUUCUAACCAAAUAACGCACUACCAGGGUUAUUUUAGAUUAGCCCACGUAUUCCCCUAACACAAACCCAAUCAUGCCAGUUAUCACUAUUUUGAGACAAUUAAACAAUUACGGAUUUAACGUCCCAAUUGACAAUAGAUUAUCAAAUUAAUUAAUUAUCCGGAUCCAAGACAAUCAAUUAAUUAAACAAUCAUAAGCACUGCAACUAAGGAAUAUGCGAAUACCAAUAAAUAGAAAAAAAGAUAAAAUUAAAUCGAUCUCACAAUAUUUUAGGCGAAUCAAAGCAUCCGUUGUUCUUUGACCAGAGCGAGGAAAUUUAGUUCAUAAUCGAUGAACAAAACCCACGAGAAAAGAAAGCAAGAGUUGCGGCCAUCAGUCCCAAAUGAGCGAGUUCACUUCGUUAUCUUUAAUAGAGAAAGUAAGCUACUGGAGGUACUUUAUUGUUUGCUUGCUUCUCCUACGUACGGCUGAAAAGAAGACUACUACUCCAAGCUAAAAAAGGACAAGUCCCUACUAGAUGACGAAAAUGGAAAAGUCAAAGAAAACUAAGCUAAACUAGAAGAACGGAAAACUAAGAAGAAAAGCAAGACAGUGGCUGUCCCUCCAUUCCUAUUCUCUCUAAUUCCUCUCUGUGCGGCGGCCUCCUUCUGGAGAGGAAGAAGAAGACCCCUCAACCCUUCGUUCCUUUCCUCCUUUUAUUCUAUCUUCCGCAAAUUACUAAAAAGGACUUGUGUCUCCUUGUUCCAAAAAUAUUCUGGGUGCCUGCUACUUGAACUCUUUCCUGAUAACUGUCAAAUCGGCACUUAUUAUGGUAUUUUCGUUCUACUCCCUGAAAUAUAUGCAAAAUACUAAAAGUGAGUAGAAUCUAACAAUUAAUCCAGAUUGGGUCAGGUAAUAGGAGAAAUUAAUAAUAAAAUAAAUGAUAAAAUCGCAACCUAUCAUAUAUCAACUUUGGCAUAAACCUUUCUUAUUUUUACAAGAGGUUAAUUUUGUCUAAACAAGAGAAAUUUUAACACCAUUUAGCAUCGGUUAAGUCGAAGGGGAUGAUUGUUAUUUUUCAAAACUCAAGGGAUCUAAUGGUAGUUUGGCCAAACUACAAGGGAGGUAGAUGUAAUUAACCCAUUAAUAUUUUUAUCAUGGAUUAGACACCAUUGUUGUUGGAGGAUUGUCCAAGACUCUUCAACGGGUCUGAUCAGAGAAAUGUAAAAACAACAACGUAAGGAAUUGCCUUAAUAUUUUUUUUCCACGCUUCACGCGGGUUGCUUGAUUAUCCGAAAAACCAUGAGAUAGUUGCUCCCAAUAUUCAGUGAUACAUGGCCAACAUAGUUGUAGUAUUAAGACAGUGGAUAGACAUAUGUGCAAUCAAGUAUUAUUGAGGAAAAAAUAAUUGAAGUUGACCUAAUUAUAAGCUAACUACUUGUAAAUUGUAAUACCAUUAGAGUCACUUAAGCUACAUAUACAAGAAGUAAUUUCUUUUCCGGGAUGAAAAUUUUUGCACACAGUCACGCAGUUGUAACUACUUUCCCAUGGAAAGCAAGGGCUCCGGCCGGUUGGCUGCAGGAAGAAAACUUCUGAUAUUUGCAUUCUCGAGUUGACAUUUUAUGCUUCUGCGUUAGAUGCCAGGAGAAAAAGUUAGAUACAUCCUACUUUAUCUCACAUCGCCGAUCAUUUUUCAGGGAUUUAUCGCACAACGAUUUCACAGGAAAAAUUCCAGAUUGUUUCGGCCAAGAUGCCUUCCUUAAGAACAAUGUAAGUACUUUUUUUUUUUUUUUGUUCAGAAAAAAAAAAUCUUAAUUGAUCAACCAAAACUCAAUCAUAGGUCAAAACAGCCUCAAGCAUUUAACAAGAACUGCCUAGCUAAUAGGCACACGUUCACAAACAACAAAGUAACAAAAAAGCUAGGUACCUAUGAUUAGUUAAUCAUUAUGUUGUGGGGUUAAUAACACGCUGCCAAAAAAAAAAAAAGGUUCUAAUAGUUCCCUAGGGUUCUAUGUAUCAGAAUUCAGUUGUUAAACUUCUAAUCAUCGUCAUCAGCACCGUUAGAAAACGGACAUCAAUUUUUAGAUUGAAAUGGCAUGACUAAACGCCAAUUUCUCAAUGUUAAUGAGGCUGAUAUCUUAGACAUAGUCCUUACAUGUUCAUGAUUAUCUAGGAUAAUGUGCUUUGCAAAUAUGUAACUUAUGUUCAGCCAGUUAGCAUUUAAUCAUAAGUCGGGUUAUAGGCGCUUAAAGCAAGAAUAGAAGAUUAUGUGAGUUUAUUGUCAAAAUAACUCUUCUUCCAAAACAUAUAACCCAAGUAACUUAAUUUUAAAAUUUAUUACGUUUAUGAUUCUUUUUUUUUCUACUUAGGCUGCAUACAUAGUUAUUAAACCCAACCCGGGAGGGAACCCGGUGAACGAGGUGGGUCAACGGGUUACUGGUUCAACCAGUGGGUGGGUGGUUGAACCGGUGGGUCACUAAAUAUAUUUAAAUAUUAUAUUUUAUAAUUUUAAAUAUAAGAUAUAUGAUAUAAAUUAUAGUAAAUAAUGUCAUAACAAAUGCUCAUAUAAUUUAAUUUGCUAUAAAAAAUUAAUUCAUAUAAGAAUCAAUAAAAUAUAAAGUUAUUUAGUAAUACACCAAACUUCAAGUAUAAAAUUUUAUCUAUGUUUAGUGUAAUUAUCUAACUUAUUUAUAAAUUUUAAGUGCAAAAAAUUAUUAAAAAUAAUAUAUGUUUUUAAAAUGAAUUAUGUAACAUGUUAAUUUUUAAGUCCAUUUCAUAAGUUUGGGGGUCAUAAAUUAUUAUUAAAAGAUUCCAAAUUAAUUUGUUUUAGAGAAAUAAAACAGAAAGAUAAAAUUGAUAAAAUGUUUAUAUAUAAUAAGUAAGCAACCUUAUCACCAUCUCGCAAGGUAGCCUAGCGGUUUCGUCGAUGUUGCUUUGUACCAGAGGCACAGGUUCGACUCUCAGCACUGCCAUAAAAUUUUUAUAUGAAACUCGGUUCUUAGACACAACCGGCCGGGUUUUCGGUUUAAUCCGGUCGAACCGGCGGUCCGUUGACUAAUCAACGGGUUGAUUACUUAAACGAUCCAAUUGAAAAUCCAGCCUGGUCCCAUGUCCGGUUCGACCGUCGGGCCGGACCGGGUUUAAUAACUAUGGCUGCAUAUGUGCCAGGAUGGAGAUAAAGGCAUAUUCCAUUUCUCUUUUCCGUAUAAUAUCUUUUCCAAUUUUCUUUCUAAACCUUCCCGCAUUUUUUUGUUUCAUUAUCUUUCAUUUGUCAAAUGUAAUUCUAAGAAGCCAAUAUUUAUAUGAACAACAUCUAAAAAAUAUGCUUCUCAAAUCGAUAAUCUCAAGGGAAAUAAAAAUUAUUCUCUUGUCCUUUUAAGAAGUAGGAAGGAUAAUAUAAACAAAUAUGAUAGUCUUGAAGUUUUGUAAUUGCUUACAAUUUUCAUUGAAAUUUUUGUUGCAGUUUUUUUUUUUGUAUUUUUAAAAUUUAUUUUUUGAAAAAAAAUAUAUGCAAUGGGUUUGAUACAUUUUAAAAAAUUCAAAGACCAAUAAUAGCAAGGUCAAUAAUGGUAGAAUUUUGAAAACAGUACUGAUAUAACUGUUUUAAUUUAAAUUUUUUUUGUGUCUUUCCAACCCAUUCUACACCCAGUUGCCAGGUUUAUAAUACGAACUCUGAACUUAACAAUAAAAAAGGCUCUAAAAGGUGGCGCUACUUUAUUCACAGGGCUAAACUGCCUUAGUUUACAUUUUUUUUUUUUUUGGUUACAUAUAAAUUUUCAGUAGUAGAUUAGGAUGAGCGGUUGGAAGGGAAGAAAUAGAAGUUCUUAUCUUGCAUUGACCUUAGUGCCAUUAUCGGUCAUUGGAUACCCGAAUCAAGAUUCAAAGCUCCAUUUUUCCAUAAACUUUAUUGAUACAAGAUUAACAAUACAAUGACAAUUACUUAAUUUGUAGAGAAUCUUACUAUCAAUUGAAGACAGGUGGGUUAAUAACAAAUUUUAGUGAAUAUGUAUUAUUUAGUAUUUACUUAUUAAAAGAUUCAUAUUAUUCGCAUUGAUGAUAUAAGUAAAACCGAUCCAGUUCUGAUCCCUGUACACUGGUCUAUGGUCUAUCUCGGACCUCGAAAUAUGGACCGGAUUUGGACUUGGACCCGUGCUUUAAGAUGAAUAGGCCGCCAUGGAUCUUCACUGGCAAAAAAAUUGCUUGGAGUAUAAUAAAGUUUAAUUUCGUGAAAAGUUUGUUUAGGAUUUGAUUAUAGACCGUUGAUAAUAUUUUACUACAAAUUAAUAUUUCGAUUUAAUCAUAACCUUAUUCCUGAAUUUUAGAUAUAUAUGAAAAGUAAACACUUGUGAUUUCUUAAAGAUUUCAUUUACGUUUGUAAUCAUGAAUAUGUUCCAAAAAAAAAAAUAUCACACUACUGAAGCUCAACUCGAAUUAUAUAUAAACAAGCUAUAAAAGUGUAUUUAGAUAGCAAAUUAAUUGAACAAAACUCCAAAACUACUGCACUAUUUAAAAUGGUUGUUUUUGACAAAUUUCAAUCCAUGAUCAUUAGCUCAAUCAACCAUAAGAAUCCCCAAAUUGAGUUCACUUUUAAUAACUUUAGGCAUUUUAUUCUUUGGUUGUUGUCAAUCAUUUCUCGAGAUGUCAUGUCCCUUGGGUUUGUCGAACUCGUGUGACGUCGGCGUCAGUUAAGAAUGCUUGGUUGUCUUCCGACGGGAAAUUUUGCUUUUGCUUUUGCUUGGUUGUCAUGUCCCUUUACUAUUGCUUCCGUUUCUGCCAAGACCCCUUUCGAGUUCUAGUCGUGAUCGUGCUCGGUUGUAUCCUAAUAGGAAAUUUUGGAUAACAAAUCACCUCACAGGAUUCCACUAAUCACUUGACCUGAAAAUUGAGGUUUUGCCGAUUUUUUGGUUCAUCUCCCCAUGUCUAGAAACACCUUUUUUCAUGGUAAUUUCCUUUUGAUUAAUCCAUACAUAAUAAUGUCGAACGUUCAUGUUAAUCGAUUGUCGUCGAAACUUAUAAUUUGCUAAUAUUUGCAGCUUUUUUCCAAUAUCUACAAAUAAAAUAUAAUCACUUUUUUAUUUUUUUUUAUAUGAUAAUAGUCAUACUAUGAUCAUCAUUUAGUUGGGAAAAAAUGUGUUAAGUAUUACAAAGAAGAAACCGAAAAUAAAAAAUUUCGAAUUCGAGACCUCCUAUUUCAUAAAAAAGAGAAAAAAGAUAACUAUGAUCAUUAUUUAGAACGGCAAUGUCAACAUCCUUUUGUUGUAUCCGGUAAUUGCUGCUUCGUUUCAAGCAAAACUAUCAAUAUCUACAGUUUGUAAUUUUAUGAUAUCGUAAUUGUAAAGAAAUUUCAUUCUUCUCUUUCCAAUUGUCCAUAGAUUUUCUAUGGAAGCUGUGGCUCCGGUGAGUUUUCCAUCAGGGCUCCGUAGAUGAUGGUGCAUCUCAUUAGACCGCAGAGUCUCCAAUCAAACAGGAACCAGUGGCCCCCAUGCUUUCAGCUGGAUAGGCCUGGAUUUUCUCAGCCGGGGCCCAGCAAAAGUUGUGAAUGGCCUACCGUAGACCCGAUCGCGCAAGAAAUUUUUAAUCUUCUUGGGUCUCUCGAGUUGACUGUAGAACAAGUCAACAAGUCAGAAUUUAUUAAUAAUUGCGGCCUAUUUUUAACUAUUUCAUUAAAUCUAGCUGUCGAAAAAAAAAAGUUUGGAAUAUGCUGCAGCUUAAUACAUGAAAAUAUUGUUUGGGAUUGAUUGCGCCUUUACUAAACUAAGUUUUACUAGAAUUGUAAGUUCUUGACUAACUAAGUUUUUUAGAAUUUAUAACUUCUGAGAAAUUAUAGUUUCUUCUCGCUACUAGAUUGAGUACAUCUUAAGUCUGGCGAUUAGGGGUGGGAAGGGUGUGGACAGAAAUAGAAGGUAUAAAAAAAAGCUAUAGUCAUGACUUUGUCCCAAAAAAAAUCAAAUUGCUGAAUCUCAAUUUGAACGAUAUAUUUACAAUUUAUUGCUAAGACGUAUUCGGGUAUUAAAUUAAUUGAAUGAAAGAAUCGUUCUGUUUGAAAUGGUUUUUUUUUUUAGAGAAUUUUUAAAAACGUUUAGUAUAGCCACAUUAUUGGAAGAGUGUAUGUAUGUAAGAUAAGAAAUUAUUAAAAGGUUUUCAUAAAUGAUCCUUCCAAACAAAAACAGUUUUCCAUUUGCUUUAACUUAUUAGUUUAACCUGCGAAUUUCCUCUCAGAUAAAUGAUGAACAAGCUUUAAGUUGGACAAAAUUUUCUUCUAGUUUAUGCAGGAAAGUUAAAAUUCUAAGACAUGAACAUGUUAAAGGGAUCUUCUUUUCUGCCUCAGCUUGUUCAAACUUAAAAACUGGUCAGGAAAGACUCAAGUUCGUCUACAAAAAGCUAUUCAACGAUUAGAGGAAGAAUAUUUUGGUAGUAGUACUCAAGGUUGUAUUCAGAAACUCUUGCAAAAUUGCUUCUCCUGAAAUGUUUCCAAAUUCCAGGUUUAAAUAAGACAAGAACUUGCGGUCCAGAUAUUUGAUGCAAACCAAAACACAUGAUGGAAAACGUUUGAUUUACGUUUAUAGAAAAACAACCCUGUAUUGACCGUAACAUAGGAGUAGAACAAGUCGAGGGUUAGAUUUUACUUCACAUAUUUAGAUUUUUUUUUUUUUCCCUUUACCAGAGCAUAAUAUAAUGGGAACUAACUUUUUUAUUUUCCAAAAAAAAAAAAAAAUUUGCAUCGCUGGAAAUAGAUGAUAUGAGAAGCUUGGACAGGAACAAGAAGUCAAGAGGAAAAUAGAGAUAAGGACAAAAUUAAAAGUUCUGACAUUUUUUUUUAAUUAACAAUAAAAGGUAAUAUGGCUUGACAGAGGGGCUAGGCAAAGUGCAACAAAAUAAGCGUUAAGAAGUAAAGUGCAAAUAGUGCUAACUGUUAAAGAGAGCUUUGUGCCUUUCAGCCAUGGGAUUUUUCAAGCAUUUACAGCAGGCACUCAACUGUCUUUCUGGUACCACAUUAUAAAUUUAAACCGUUGGCAGCUAGUUUUUCCAAACAUAAGCAGCCCAUCUUUUUUCUUGCAACUAUAACACAAUUGGCUGCAUGUUCGGCAGGUUCACGAGUUCACAAAACAUCGCCAUUUUGGCUUCAGCAAUGGUGUGGAUUUUCUUUCUUUCUUGGGUAAUAUGUUUUUCUCGUAUGCAAGUCCAUGCUGCAGGAGAAGGCAAAAGGCCGCUGAUUUCCAUGAAUGGUCGCAAUUUAUCUGAAAAAGAGCUUAAGUUUGAGGAACAUGCACGAAGGGAACUUAUACCAGGCAGAUCCAGUAAGUCCUUUGAUAUAUAUAUAUAUAUUCUUUGCAGCUAUCCUUCAUCUCCAAGCAUUGUCAGGCACUAUUCUUAGCGACAUCUAAAUAAUUUAUUGUACGUCUAUUUAGUGAUUCCACUAUAUGCCAUUUCGUUUCCGGUGAGAUACUUCUGUCAAGAAUUUUAGGCCUUUGUACGUUAAUUUGGUCUUGCACUGUACAGACACAGGCACAGACAGAUAUAUUCAAGAGCUCGUUUGGAUGGGUGUUUUUGAGAAUAUUUUUGUAGAACUUUAACUCUAGAUAUGUGUUUUAUAAAACCAUUUGAUAUGGUGCUUUAAAAAUGUUUUCAAGUGUUUUUGGGAAUGAUUUUAAAACUGAUGAUUAGCGCCAUCCUCUUCUCACCUCUACCCUGCCCUCCGAUCUCCACUCUCUCUCCCCCCGCUUCUUUUCUCCACCUCUGGCCACCCUCGCAUUCCAUCCCCUCACCCCUCCUAUUUUCCACCCUUCCUUGUCAGCUCUAAAAAAAAAAACCAUCAAAUCACCCCUACCAGAUUGCAUAGAUCUUUCAUGUGGCCAUAUCAUAAAAGGGACGAGGGCGCAAGGGAAAGAGGGGGUGUGGUACUUAUAUUUAGAGAUUUAAUUAAACCCGAAUUAUGAGUAGCAAAGAAUGAUUGCAACAUUCAUUUUCUGAGGGCUUGGGGACAAAGCCAUUAAGGGUUUGUUUCGAUAUGUUUCAACCACCUUUUGAUUUCACAUACAUCAUAUCACAAAAAUGUUACGAUAUUUCAACAAAUCUCCUGUCCAAACACACUCAUUGUUUCUAAUUUUGGUUGAAUAGAUAAGUCCAAAUGCACAGAUUUGUCGAUGACUUGAUUGAUUUUUGUCUGCAGGUUUCAUCAGUAUCGACUGUGGCAUAGAAAAUGGUAACGAUUAUACUGACAGCGAAACUGGAAUUAGUUAUACAUCAGAUACGCAAUAUGUUGAGAGCGGAGUAAACAUGAAAAUAUCUGAUUUAUUCUUGUCUCAAACUCAAAAUUAUCAAAAGCUGCUGUCAACUGUUAGAAGUUUUCCUGAAGGAAACAGCAGUUGCUACAGGCUGAAACCAACAGCAAAUGGUGGAGGCAACAAGUACCUGAUUAGAGCAUUCUUCAUGUACGGAAAUUAUGAUUUCAAAAGUCAACCACCACUUUUCAAACUCUACCUUAAUGCAAAUGAAUGGGAUGAAGUAAAACUGGAAAAUGCUUCUCAGAUUCUGAUCAAAGAAGUCAUACAUAAUCCUCCUACAGAUUAUAUACACGUCUGUCUUGUCAAUGUUGGCUCCGGAACACCUAUCAUUUCAGCACUUGAGAUAAGAGAGUUGAACAACACCAUCUACGAAACUAUGUAUGAUGAUUCGCUAAUCCUCUACAGAAGGUUAGAUGAAGGUGCAAGUUCAACGAUUAGCAACAAAUUCCGGAGGUAAAUAAGGUCUAUAUAUGAGUAAGAAUAUAAUUAAUUAUUUGAAUAUUGUUCUCUGCAUUUUAGACGGAAUUAAUUUGGUUUUCCAAUUCUUCAUUUUCAGGACUGCAUGUCUAUUUUUUUUAUUUUAUUUAUUAUUAUUAUUUUCUGUAGUUUGGAAUUUUCAGCAUUCAAAACCACACUAAGCUCAGGUGCCUGUUUAUUCAAGGGCAAAAAAUAGUCGAAUCCUUCUCAUUAUCUUUUAAUCCUGUAUAACUCUUUAAUUUUUUUUUGGAACUCAGAAUUUUUAAGACUAGUGCUCAAGGUUCAAUUACAUACGAAGUUAAAAUGGCUCAAAGGUCUAUUAAUUAGUAGUCCAACUUCUUCCAUGUCACUUUCCAGCAACUGGCAACUUUAAGUUGAAACCCAGACCCCUCAAAUCACUCCUAAAUCCCCAUCUUUCUCUCUGUUUUUUUUUUUUGCCAAAACAAGACCAGAGCAAAACAAGAUGACUUUCCCAUUAAUGUGAAAAAAUAGAUUCCUAGUAAUUACUACAAGAGGCACCUAGUUUAGUUGUUAAACAGUGUUUUGAAUUUCAGAUGGAGUUGGCCGAUUCAAUUGAUUGAACCAUGAACAGUCAAUGCCUCGUCAAAGCCUUCUCGAUGAGCUGGUCAAACUUAGUUAAAAACUGGAUUUGACCAGGAAGAUCAGGAAAAGAUCUGAAAAAUUGGUUUCUUCAAUUUCUUUUUGGUUUUUAAUUUACUUUCCUUUUUGUUUUCUAGUUUUACAUUUUUUUUUUUGUUGAAGUUUUCCUUAACUAUUCUUGUCUCGAGUUUGAUACUCAAAAUUUUUGUGGCAUUUAGGUUUGACAUUUGAAUAAUUUGGACAACUAAUUCUUUCACCAACUUUUUCGAGUUACCAUCUUAGUUUGUAAAUUUUGCCAAUUAAGUCUCAUGAAUUUAGUUAUGAACUCAUCAGUUCAGAUUUUUGUUACAGAAUAUGUAAUUAAAAAAAGUUUGUGGCCUUAUUAUGACUAGGCAUAUUAAUGGAUCGGGUCUUAGCCAAAUUCAACCCAAAUCCAAUAUACUUGGGUAGGGUUUGGAUUUAAUUUCUCAAAUCCAGACCCUGAAAAAGCGUUUUAAGUCUGGGUAGGUCUGAUUUUCUAUAAUUCACAUUCAAAUCCAAAUUCAUACUAGACACUACCCAAACCCAUGUAUAUAUAAUUAAAUUAUAUAUAUAUAUAUUAGUAAAUUUAUAAAAUAUUCUAAUAUUCUAUGGUUAUUAGAUCAAAUACAGUAAGACUUUAUGAUUGUUUUCUUUUUUCAACCUAAUUCUAGUUGUCAUUGUAAUUAGUACAAAUUUUUUCUGAAAAAGGAGAAAAAGUAAAUGUAAAUAAAUGAAAGAUUUGAGGUAGAUAAAGUUGAAGUUUUAAAAAUAAAUAGAACAAUCGACAGUAGUUAUAUUUUUGAGUUCAUAAUAUUGCAUUUAACUUCUUGAAUAUUAAUUUUAUUAUUUGAAUAUAAAAAUUGGAUGGUGUUUUUUUUUUUUUUGAAAUCGAUAUAUUUUUAUAUAUUUAUUUUAGUGCGUUUACAAAAAUAUAAUGGAUACCCAUUAGAUACCAAAAUCCAGAAGAGUCUAGGUUUGAACUUAUAUUUUCAAACCUAGAAAAGUUUAAGUCAGGGUUUGGGUUUAGGUUUGAAUCUAACUAAAUUUAAUGGGUCUCGAUCUAAAAAAGAGAGAUGUAAUCCAAAUCCUACCUAUUUACAUGCCUAAUUAUGACAUUAUCCAGUUCUUAAGUAAUUUUUAGACCCCAAUCCAAACCUGACCUCGAAAACUUACUGUCUCCUCAUCCCUAAACUCAAUCGAGUCAUUACUCAGACCGAGUUUCAAAAUACUAGCAGUAAGAUGUUAUACUUUUGUUGUGCAUGCAUUUCUAAAAUUUCUUUCAGGUACCCGGAUGAUCUCUAUGAUCGUAUAUGGGAAGUCCCUGACUACCAGCCUGACUGGGAAACAAUUAACACAGCUUCUUACAUUAGUGAAGAAUAUCUUGACAACGCCUAUAAACCUUCACCAAUCGUCAUGAGCACUGCAGUCAGGCCUGUGCAUGGAAGUUCGUUAGUGCUGUCUCAAAAUGUUGAUCGCAACCAACAAUUCUACUUGUACAUGCAUUUCCUCGAGGUGGAAGAUCUCCCAUCGACUCAAAUGAGGAAGUUUGUCAUAUUUGUGAACAAUAAAAUCUGGUCCUACCCUGUUGUUCCAGGCAGUGGUCCAAAUACUAUCUACAGCAAAUAUUCCGUGGGUAGUACUGAUACCCUACUAUUCUCAAUCAAUAAGACAAAUGAUUCUACACUUCCCCCAAUUCUCAAUGCCGUAGAGUUCUACAUUCCCAAGAAAUUCCCUAUCCUGCCCACAAAUCAAAGUGACGGUACGCCUAAAUCUAAUUCUUUUUGGCAAAUCUGAUGUGCACUUAAAUCUGCAGUGUAUCUAAAAUCUUUUUUUUUUUUUUGACAAACGAUAAACUCAUAUAUAUAUAUAUAGCAGUGUAUCUAAAAUCUUAUUAAUCUCUUUUAGUUCAUACUUCAUACUCAAAUUCGUUUUGAUACAAAUUAUUGGGAGAUCUGCGCUAAUUACAGCAGUUCUUUCAAUUAUACUUAACAAAAAAAAAAACAAUUGAAAAUAUAAAGAAGCAAUGCUUAAAAUGAAGAAUUUUAUUAAAUGCUUUACAGCCCUGAAUUAUAUACAUCAAUUUUUUGUUCUUAGUUGAUUUCAGGAUUGUCCCUUUCUUGUAGCGAUUUAUCGUGUAUAUUUUUGUGUAAUUUUACAUAAAAUCAAGAUACAGAUUCAUCGGCGUUAUGACCUUUUAUACGCCAUCUUUUUUUUUUUUUUAUUUUAAUGUGUACAUACGACGAAUCCUUCUAUAGGGCUGUAAAAUUUUUUUUCCUCUAACUUUUUUUUCCCCCGACAAACUCUAGUUGACGCCAUGAUCAGCAUUAGGUCAACAUAUGGUGUAAAGAAAAAUUGGCAAGGAGAUCCAUGUGUACCCGAGGAGCUUAGGUGGGAUGGACUAGACUGCAACACCAAUGAUCAGGGUUUAUACAGAAUCAUUUCAAUGUCAGUUUGUGUUUCUACAACAAACUUCAUUUUUUGUAAUUGAAUGUGAAGAUGACUGCAUCCUUUUCUGCUAUUUAACCAUGUUGACGGAACUGAAUUAAAGCAGGAACCUAUCCUUCAGCGGGUUAAAAGAUGAAAUCGCAUUCUCAUUGUCUAAACUUGAUUCACUCCAAAGCUUGUAAGUAUAUCUACUGCCAUAUGUCUUAUUUCGUACAUUUACUUUUUCUUUUAUCAAAAAUUACCAAUUGCUUUUGCCGGUUAUCUUUGACAAUAAUUGUGGGCAUUUUCUCUUUUGUUCAAAUUUGAUGCCGUUUAAAGGAUGUGUUUAGUUAUACGUAAAUGGAAAGUGCCACCAGAACUGGUAGAACUGGUACUAGUGCAACUACUAUUAGAGCCACGUAAGCUACAAUUGCAAAUAAUUGUUUCGUUUAUGCAAUGAAUUCUUUUGCAAGUAAUCUUGACGUUGUACCUAUUUCCUGCGUAAAGCAAGGGGUUCCCAUUGGCUUUAGGAAGAAAACUUCUUGUACUUUUUUUUGGAAGAAAAACUUCUUGUAUUUGCAUUCUAGAGUAGGACAUUUUAUGCAUCUGAAUUUGACUAAUAAAGAAAAAUUAGAUAUAUAGUACUUUUAUCUCACAUCGACAAUCAUUUUUCAGGGACAUGUCACACGAUGACUUGACAGGAACAAUCCCAGAUUUUUUGGCCAACAUGCCUUCCUUAAGAACAAUGUAAGUUCCUACAAGAUUUGCCUCAAGAAAAAAUUGUAGUUUUGAUCCCUAAUGUUUGGCCUAUGCACCAAAUGUUUAGGCCAAAAUAAAUCUAAUCCCCAUAAUUUGUGAUUUUAAUUAGAUUUAGGACAAUUAUUAGAAAUAGAAUAAUGACUAAUGGCCAACAACAAAUUGUUAUUAAUCAACAACUUUGACUUUGCACUUUUGGUCUCAAAUAUUUUGACUUUGAAUCAUCAUAUUUUCCUAAAUUUUAAAUAGUGAUAUUAAGAGUUUUAGCAUGAGUUGUAAUUAAACUUCUUUUUCUUCUUUUUAUUUUUAUUUUUAUUUCAUUUAUUCAUGUUAAUAAUAUAUCAUAUGUUUCUUUUCUUUUGCAUAAUUAGUCUUAAAUUUGGUAUAAUAUAUAUAUUAUUAUUUCUCAGUAUUAAUAAUUAAUUGAUAAUGAAUUUUUUAUUUUUAUUUCUAAUGAUAAUUACAAACUUAAUUAAAUAUCCCUUUCAAAUAUAAGGAAUGUGCUGAUCUUUUUUUAGGCCAUUUAAUAUGUUAUCAGUUGAAUUUAAAAUAAAGUAGGCAUCUUAUGUAUAUUAUAUUAAACAUUAAAUGAUUAUCACAAUAUAUAAAUAUAAAUUCUUUAAAACUACAAUAUUAGAACGUUAAAUUUUAAUUGGAAAGAUAGACAACAAAAGAUGAAAUAUAGUUUUCUUAAGGUAAGUAUCAAUGUGAAGUAAUUUUUUGAAUUCUUUAAAAAAAUCUUUUAUUUUUUGGUGUCUUUCCUACCAAUUAAAAUUUAACAUUCCAAUAUUGUAGUUUUAAAGCAUUUAUUUUAAUAUCUAUGCACCUUAAUAAUCAUGUAGUUGUUCACAUAAUGUGUAUAAAAUGGCAACUUAAUUUCAAACUCAAUUCAUAAUCUAUUAAAAUGCCAAAAAAAAGAUCAACUUAGUUUACAAAAAAGUAUAUAGUUUUAUAUUUUGAAGGGAUAUUUAAUUAAGUUUUUAAUUAUCAUUAGAAAUUCAAUUAAUUAUUAAUAAUGAAAUAAUAUACAUAUAUUAUACCAAAUUUAAUACUAACUAUGCAAAAGAAAAAAUAUAUAAUAUAUUAUUAGCAUAAAUAAAUAAAAAAUAUAAAAAAAGAAGAAAAAGAAGCUUAAUGUUUUAAAUUGUCAUUAGUUAAACUUUAUGGUUCAAAAAUAUAUUUUAGGUUACUCUAUGUAAAAGAAUAAAUUUCAAUUUCUUCCGUAGAGAAGGAUGGGGGACAGGAAGGGAAGAAACAGAAGUUGUUAAGGUGUGUUUUUCUCUUAUCUUGCAGUAACUUAUCUGGAAACAAGCUGGAAGGCUCAGUCCCUGCACUUCUUCGUGAUAAAAUGAAAAACGGGGCAUUGGCACUCAGGUAUUUUAAAUUCUAGACCAUGACCCUUUUUCUUUUUGUUCUAUUCUAGGGGAUGACUUAUUUAACUACACAUUCGUUGAAUAGAAGGAAAGUCCUAUGGGAAAGUGAAGUGAGAUAAAGAAAAGUGAAUAUGAGUUUCCUAUAUAUGUUUGGUUACUAAGAAAAAUAUUGAGAGAAUAUAAGAAGUUAAUGACAGUUAAUAGCAGUUAUUCAAACUUUCGUGAGUUACUUUCCUCAAAGUCCUGCGAAUUUUGUGGGACACAAAGUGCAGGAAAAUGCAAGAAAAAGUUUCAAUAUUCCUAACUUUCAUUCAUUUCUUCACACUUUUCCGAUAAACAAACACUAUAUUUCACUUUUAUUUGAGACAUAGCAUCCCAUAAUGUUUUUAGAUUGUAUCAAUGAGUCACAUUUGCUAAUAGAUCGAUCUAAUUAAAUUCAAGUGGGAGGAAAUUGGAAUUGUAUACCCAGAUAACGCCAGAAAGAGACAAAAAUUACAUACAAGUAAUUUUUGCUCAUUUGUUUUUUGGUUAAAAUGUAAUUUUUGUUCUUUUUCUUUUCAGUUAAAAAUUAUUAUUCUUUUGUUCCUUUUGUGCAAGUUUGGAUGGAAACCCGGAUCUUUGUUUAUCAGGCCCUUGCAAGAAGAAGAAGUCUCAUAAGCAGAGAUUGAUCGUUAGCAUCGUUGUACCGACCAUAUCAUGUCUUCUUGGCAUAGUAAUCGCGGUUGCGAUUUUCAAGCACAGAAUAAAAGCCGCCUCAACGAAGGGUACUCCUUGAUAUCUCAACUGUUCAAAAUUGCACUACUACUCCUUUCAAAAGCAUAAUAUUUUUGUUUGACGUACAAUUUUAUAAGAUUCGAGGGUUCAAAACAUAGCCAAUUGCAAUGACAGGAGUGAUUCGAGAUCUUUGUUAACUUAAACAUCGGAACACUGAUGUAGUACAAGAAAUGCCCAUGAGGCUAUGAGGAAUUUGGUUGUAGGGGUAUGAAAUUGAAAUGGGAUGGUAAUUUUAUCAAUUAUUGUGUUUGGAAAGACAAAAGAGGCCUUUUUACCCUCUGGUCCAAUUGUUGAAAACGUAUCAAUCUUUUUUGGGUCGCUGCAACAAUUCCUAAUGUACUAAAUCUUGAGUUAGAGCACCCUUAGGCCAAAAAAGUUCAUUAGAACACCUUCUUGAUUUAUUGCAAAGCAGGAAUUUGUCCCUAACCUCAGCCAAAAAAGUAACUUCAACGGAUGUUUACAAAAAAAAGGAGGGGAGGGGGAGGGGGAGGGGGGUGGGAGGUUACAUCGGUAAAUUUAUUGAUACUGCUAGAACCUAAAUAUUCAUUCGUGUUGGAAACUAAUUAAUAUUCAUUCAUGAGAAAAUGAAUUAUUGCAUAUCUUGUAUUUAUUAAAGGGAUAAUUUCAGAAACCUCCCUUGAGGUUUCUUACUAUUUCACUUAGUUCCAUUGAUGUUUUAAGAAUUACACUUACCUCCCUUGAUUUGACACUUUGGUAACCAAACUUUAAAAUAGAGUAAAAUGUUUAAUGAAUACCCUAAAAUGCCCUUAUCUUACAAAGUUCAAUUUGUUCUUCUAAACAAAAAGAGUAUCAAGUUUUCAUGCUAAUAUUUGUUAUUCAAUAAUCAACUAUAACAAUAAAUCUUUUGCUAUAAUAGGGUAUUUUUCGUAGUGUUUUACUGGGAAUAUAAAUUCUUUUUAAGAUAGAGAGUGGUAUUUUGUUUCUUUUAAAGUUUAUGGACUUCUUUUUAAAUGAAAAUUUAUGGAUUGGUUUAAUGGUGGAACUAUCAUAAUUUUGUAGUGAUUUUGGGCCAUUUGUUUUUAAUCAUUGUUGACUUACCCUUGAUUUUGAUACCAAAAAAAAGAGCUACCAAAAAAUUGGAGAAUAUUAAAAGUAAUCAAAAAAAUAUUAAUAGUUUAAUGUAAUUUGAAUAGAUAUUAGGGACAACAUUGAUACUUCUCCCAUACUUCUAAUAAAAUAUAAGAGAAAUGAAUAAGAAGGAAAAUGGUAAAAAAAUAUAAAAUCCUCAAUAUUAAGGUUAGUAUUGCAUAAACAUGGCAACAAGAAAGUUUUAUUAAAAAUAUUAAGGUUAGUAUUGUCAUUUUAAAUGGACAAGGGAGGUACGUGUAAUUUUUGAAACCUUUGGGGAGCCAAGUGAAAUUAUUAGAAACCUCAGGAGAGGUUUCUAAAAUUAUCCCUUAAUUAAAUACUAAUGCAUAUUUCAAGGUUUAUCAUCAUUGUAAAAAUGUAGUUAUUAUUUCAAUAGAAAAUCUAUUCAUGUUUUGGUAUUUGCUGCAGUGUUUUGACGAAUAUUCUUACAUUAUAGUAAAAGCAUGUGUAUUAGUUCUAAAUAAUUUGUAUGAUAGUUGAACACUUGGAAUAAAUUAAUUAUCUAAAAGUGAUAUUAAUGAAUACAUAAGAAUACUAUUAAUAUUUUUUUCUUAAAUUAUUCAUAGUUGCACAACUUCACUAUUAACCAAAAAAAAAUACCGUGCUAAGGCACAGGCUAAUAUACUAUUAAAUAUUGUGGUUUUCAUAAAACUUUAAAUUAAUCUUUUAUACAUUGUUAGUGUACAAAUUUUUUUACACUAACAUGUAUAGAUACAUGCCACAUGUUCAAAAAGUGAAUUUUAAAUUUGUGCAGAAAAAAUGUAAUAUAUAUUUAAAUCCACUAGCGUGAAUUCUUACUUUGACAACGUAUAAAAAAAAUAAUCCAAAAUCUUUGCCAUUUGGUGGAGUUGGAAAAGAAAACAUUUUGAUGACGUCUAAAAUUUGCCCCCAUUAGGUACUUGUGAUGAACUAAAGAAAGAACAAGGAGAGGGUCGUACUAUCGUUGAACUAAAGAAAGAACAACUAUUGAAGACAAAAAGUACAAUGUUCAAGUGCUCUGAGAUAAUUGAAAUUACCAACACCUUUCGGACAGUUAUUGGAAGGGGAGGUUCUGGAAUAGUUUAUCUUGGAUGCUUGGAAGAUGGCAGCAAUGUUGCUGUAAAAAUGCUGUCUUCUUCAUCAGCAACCCGUGGACAAAAGCAGUUUCAAUCAGAGGUAAUCAAGACAAUUUGGCACUAUCUACCCAUUUACCUAUAGGGAUAAUUUCAGGAGCCUCUCCCAGGUUUCAAACAAUUUCAUUGCUAUCCCUUAAGAUUUCAAAAAUAUCACCAACCUCGCUUGAAACCUAUAUCCUUGUAAAAAUUUACCGAAUUAAAAAAAAAAGAAACAAAAAAAAUGAUUUUAGGUGUGAGAAGAUCAUUUGAUUUCAAAGUGCUCCUCACCUAUAAUAAUAGUUAAUUUAAUUAUUCAAUCUAACUUAUUGUUUCAUUUAUAAGGCUGUUACACAUGAUUAACGAAAAAAUUUCAUCAUUUGCAACCAAAAGUAACAAAUUUUGUAUCAAAAUUUUUGACUUACCUUAAGAUUCUUGUUAUCAUCAUGGUAUUAAGAAGAGACAAUGGAAAACCAAAUUCUCCUCACAUCCAAUUUUUUAUGAUCUUUAAGAACAUAAAAAAAGCUAGUCUAGCAUUUGAUCCCUUUUCUAAUGCCAAAUUAAUUUUAAACGUAAUAAAAUUAUGGGUAAUUUUGUUUUUAAAUGGCUUAAUUAUUUUUAAUCAAAUUAUGGUUAAUAGUUUGUAAACAGCUUAAUUCUUUUUCAUGUUUGAAUCCUUUUAUUUAUUAUGCACAUUAAAUAUGAUUCAUUUUAUUUGUCAAGUACAUCAAUUGAAAAAAUGCCCCCCUAUAUUGGUUCUCUUUUUAUAUAGCAAAUUAGUUGUUUUUUUAAUUUCAAAUUAUGGUUAAUUUAAUUAGCAAAUCUUUUAAUUGUUUCUCUCCUCAAAUAUGUGUAAAACAUCUUAAAUUGUAAGGAUAGCAGAGUCAUUUCACUAUUAAUGAUAUAAGCAUUGGGUCCCAAAUUGCUGAUAUGAGAAGUAAGUGAUAUUUUUAAAACCUCAGGAGAGGGCAAUGAAAUUGUCAGAAUCCUCAGGGAAGGUUUUUCAAAUUAUCCCUUGCCUAUAUCGAAUGGUAAAUAAUCAUCGGUUGUGGAAUAGGUAUUCUAGAAGUUUUGCGAAAAUUUUUCUAAGAUUCCCAAAUGAAAUACAUGUUUUAAUUAUUUUUUUAUUUUACAUAUAUCACAUUUAAAAAGUAUUACGGAAAUGUAGUUUUCAAAAAAUACGUUUAGACAAAGUAAUCUAAAAGAUAUGUCCACAGUUAUACUGGUUUUGAAAACAUUUUCUAUGAGGCAAAAUUAUUAGUACAUAAUUGAAUUUUGGAUUUUUGGAAAUUUCUCGGGCUUGUGAUUUAUAUUCCUUAGGUUAGCCCGUUCAGAGGAAGACUGUACUAGAGGACAUAUCAAUCAAAGUCAGAAUUGCUACUACUCAUUUUUCUAACGGACUUUGUUAUAUUAUCGACGAAGGUGGAAAUCUUGAUCAAGAUUCAUCACACAAACUUGGUAUCUUUUGUCGGAUAUUGCGCUGAAGGAAGAACUAUGGCUCUAAUCUGUGAGUAUAUGGCGAACGGAAAUUUAAGACAACAUUUAUCAGGUAUUUUAGCCUCUAUGUUCAUGCUUCCUACUUUUUUUGUGAUAAAAUAUAACUUUUUAUUCCAUGAAAUCUAAACUAAUGCAAAAAAAUACAACGAACAUGUCACAAAUAUGGUUAAUCUAAAAAAUCAUUAAAUUUAAUAAAUUUUUAGAAAAUAACAAAGAUUACAUUGUGAAACUCCAACUGAUCAAAUAAAUCAGGAGCAGCCCAAUGAAGCUCUAUGCAAGUUAAGACCAUCAAAACUGCUGUUUAACUGGUUCAAAGUCAAAGUCGAUGUUGAGAUCAGAUGAAAUGAAAGGAAUCCCAUAUUUGAUAUAUAGAUGUGAAAAACCCUUAGAUCUAUUAAAGAAAUAACAAAAAACUAACAAAACUCCAUAAAAAGAAAAAAAAAACUCUCAUUAGGAAACCCUAUGAGUGAGCAAAACUCACAAUAGAAAACAUUAGGAGAAAGAAAACUCUUACUGAGAUACUUUAAGAGAGACUUUAUUGAAUAUAAAAAAAAAAAAAAGGUAAAGAGGGGCAGACCUUGGCUUGAAACCAAGAUCUCGCUCCAUGGAGGAAAAAACUAUUUGAAGUCUUUGGAAAGAUAAGGUAGAGAAAUUUUGGUUAUGUUCAUGCUUAUUUCAAAACCAAUGGACCUUUCAGAAAUUAGAAAAAAUUUAUGAGAGCGUUUAUAGUUGUCCAAAUCAUCUAAAAGAUAAAAACAAAUACUAUAAAAGUUUUGAAUAUGAAAUUCGAGUGAGGAGAAAUAAGAAAAACUUAAAGUGGUAAAAAAAAUAAAGAAAAUGUACUGGAAAACAAAAAAAAAAAAACUAAUAAAAACUGAUUAGUUUGACUUUUGUUCGAUUUUCCCUGGUCAAACCCAGUGAAAUGCUAUCUUUUUUUUUAAAGAAAGUUUGGAUCAAACAACUCACUAGUCCCCCAUUCAACCAAUUGAAUUGGGUGGUGCAAUUUAAAUUUUAAUUCACUGCUUUUACCAAUGGGAAAGACUACUUGGGGUCAAAAUUACUAGAAUAUUUCUCAGAAAAAAAUACAUAAAAUAUUUUGGAAAAAUUGCUGCAUCUAAUGUUUGAAAACCUAACCGAACCGUUUGGUUUGACCAAUCAAAUUGUGAACCGGCCAUGUUUUCGAUCUGGUUCAAUGAUUAAAUCAAAGACUUCAAUUGAACUGGUCAAACUCGGUCGGCUCAACCAGAUUGCACUAAAUUUUUUUAUUUUUAAAAUAAAUAUUUCGGCUUAAUUCAAAAGUUUUAAUACUAAAAUAAAUAAAAAAAUUACUAAACCUUUGAACUAGGAUUGAAUCGGUCAUAUCGAUUGAACUACAAACUAGAAGUUCUUUCGCUUCACUUCCAAGUCCAAAUUUAAAAGCAUUGGCUACACCAUGGACUAUAAGUUGUACUAAGCAACAAUACGACGUAAGCAACAAUCAUAAAUUAAAAGAUAACUGGCCUUAAUUUUAGGGGUUCUAUAUUUGUGUCUAUCAUUUGGAAAUAUUGUGAUUUUAAGUUACUUUUUAUAGGUAAACUCUUCUUUCACAUUCUUUUUGAUAAGGACUAAUUCCAUUUGUAUGCUUGAAUUUAUUGAUGUAUUAACAAUUGUGUGAUGUCCAUCCACAAAAUGAGGCAUGUGCUAGUUGAUACUUAAAGAUUUUUUGGAUUACGGUAUUGAUCAAGUACUCAAUUUCAAUCCAAAGUAUAUCAUUCAAGUGUACGUGUGAAGAAAAGAUGUUUAGGUACUAAAGUAUGAUCACAAGCAAUAAUUUAGGGUGCCAACUGUCAAUCCUUAUAAUUUAAGAGCACAAUUUGGUUUAAACUCUUUACUAUUCCCUAUUUUUUAUCUUGUGUGUGAAGAUUAUACAUAGAGGAAUGUGGCUGGUAAGUUUCUUUACUUAUUGAUUCUUAUUUGAAUGACUUUCUUUGAGCACAGGGAAAAAUCUUAACCCUUUAAGCUGGAAAGAGAGAGUUCACAUUGCAUUAGAUGCUGCACAAGGUGGUUUUCAACUCAGUCCAUUCUUUUCUCUUUUGGGGUUUCGGGGAAUUAUCAAGUGGUAAUGAAGUCAAUACAUGGUAAUGACCACAAAGUUUCAUCUCAGGUUUGGAGUAUUUACACGAUGGAUGCAAUCCUCCAAUUAUCCAUAGAGACUUGAAAAGUGCCAAUAUACUAUUGAACCAAAAAUUGCAGGCUAAGCUUGCUGAUUUUGGGUUGUCUCGAAUUUUUGCAAGUGAAAGUGAUACUCAUGUAACAACAGCAGUGGCUGGAACAGCAGGUUACCUAGAUCCAGAGUAUGUAUUCAAUAUGAAGUUAAAUUUUUCUAUUUUCCUAAGCUGCCAUUCUAAAACGGUUUUUCAAAUCAUUGCAAUCCUUUUCCUAAUUGAUAUAUACAGCUUUGAGUAUACAACUGGAAUAGUUAUUUACAACUUAGGAUGAAAAUAUUGUGAGAAUAUGGACACAAUAUACGAGUCUUCUAUAAAUUAUGUUUGGUGAACUUUGCUAGAAACUAAAUAUUCAUUUACACGAAAAAGUUCUAUUUCUACUUCUUUUGUAUUUAAUUAAAAACAAAGAUGCAGUUGUUGAUUUCAAUGCCAAAGAAUACUUGUUGCCCAUUUAUUGCAGCAUUUGAUGAGCUUUACCACAUUAUAAUAUAUCUAUGCAUAAAAGUUUCAAAAAAAAAAGUAUGAUAGUUGAACAUUUAGAAUUUAAGAAAUUUUUUAAACAAUAUGAAAAAAGAUGUAAGCAUAUUAUAAUAUUUUUUAGAGGCUCAUAAAUUGUGUUUUCCAUUCUCAAAAUAUUUUCGUCCUAAGUUGUAAAAAAUAUUCAGUAAAACUAUAUAUUCUUAUUCAAGUUUAUAAUCUAGAUUUUAUGAUGAAUAUUAGUUUGUGUUUGACUGUUCGCCCCUUCUCUAAACCAAAAUCCGGGUUCCAUCCCUACCAAACUAUCUAAGAAUUUUUUUUUUUCAAGAUUUUGUAUCCUUCAAAGUAAAACUAUAUAUUAUGUGCAUUGGUGUCCUUUAAUGACAUCUAAAUUGGCUUUCAGAUAUAACUACACCUUCAAGUUCAAUGAGAAAAGUGAUGUUUACAGCCUCGGCAUCGUUUUAUUGGAACUGAUCACUGGAAAACCAGCCAUCAUAAAGGGCACCGAUGAUGUCAAUAUUCACAUUGUUGAAUGGGUGAACAAAAGGGUAGAAAGGGGAGACAUUCAUGAAAUUAUGGAUCCAAAACUGAAAGGAAAGUUCAACAUAAACUCUGCCUGGAAGUUUUUGGAGGCCGCCAUGACGUGUACAAUGGCAAUGGCUAGUCAGAGGAUGAGUGCAAUGGAGUUACUUGUUGAACUAAAGCAGUGUUUGGCAAUAGAGCUAUCUGAAGAGAUAGCAUCAAGGGCUGCAGAUUUUCCGCAGGAUGGUGGCCUUGAGAUAGACACCGCUCCAAGUCCAAGAUAGGUCAUUCAUGAUCAUUGCUUCUCUACCUCUUUCUGCUAUGAGAUUGGUGGUGCAGCCCAGCUGCCAUGUACGUCUGAGAGAAGAAAUUGCAUUUGCAAACAUUUCAUUUGUGUUAAAUUUAUUAUAUUCUCUACCUCUUUCUGUUUUGUAUUUUAUAUUUGAUAAAUUUCAUGCCAUUAGAAGAAUAUGUUAACAUUAUAAUCUAAAUAAUUUUGAUAGUCCCUGAUAGGGUAAAAGACAAUUCCCUAAUUAAUUCACUCGAUUAUGCAUCAAGUGAAUGUAAAAGUCACUCACCCUCCUUACAUAGUAGUCCUUUGAUCAGCUUCAUUGAUUGGGAAAAACUGGAAUUUUGUAACCCACUCACAAUAUCUUCCAAGGCUUUAGUUGCUAUCAAUCUCAAAAGAGAGUUUAAACACCCUGCAAAUUCUUAAUGUUUUCUUUCGACUGCUUAUAAGUUUUAGGAAUUAAUUGAAUCUAAUUAGUUUGAGUUAUUUCUUCCUAAACUUUUUUUGUUGUCUACAUUCAUAUCAUCACUUAAUUUCUCGUCCUUUUUUAAUGCCUAUGCAUAAUGAUUAGAUAAUCAAUUGUUAAAUUACUUUUGUUACCAGUUUUCGAUAAGAUUAUUGUUUAACUGUUUAAAUGAAAAUUAGCCACUUCUUUAGUCAUGCAUACUAAUGCAGUUUUACUUGCUAAAAUGUGCAUCUAAGAGGAAUUAACACUAGACGUUCCUUUUUUCCCCUCAAACAUGAAGCUUGGCCUAAAGCUUACUAGAUCUAAAACCUAUGAACUGAAUAUAUUGAAGCAGAAAAAUAUUGGAUGUCACACUUGAUAAACAUUUUUCAGACAUCAAACAAGAGCACAAAAAUUCACCAAUCUAGGAAACCUAGGCUCUAUGUUUGGGCAUACUUCUUUGUGGUAGAAACUCUACUACUCAUUGAGGACUCUACUUUAAGAGAAAAAAAAAAGGACAAAAAUAUCAGCAGCCGCUAAACUAUUCGUCAGAUCAUGUUUUGGCUAUCAAAUUAUUUUUCGUUAGUAAUUGGCCACUAAAUAAUUUAAUCAAUAAACCCAUGUCCAUUUGAUCUAUAAUUGCUUUUAAUUUAUAAAAUUAGCAGUACAUGUGGCAAAAUGCGAGGGCAAUUUUAUCUAACAACUAUGUGACCCUGUUCUCCCCUUAAUUUACUCAAUUGGGAGCCCCAAAUCUUCAAUCACAAAUCGAAGAAGCCGAAAAAGAAGACGAAGAAGCUAGGCACUCUCCUAAACCCAUAACAAGAGGAGAUGUUAUAACAAGAGGAUUUAGUCUUGGAAUGUAAAUUGCAGGGUGAGGGAUGUUGCUUUUGGGAAUGGUAUAAUCCAACAGUGUAGGAAAGAUCAACUCAAUGAUCGUGGGAACCAUUGGAAAGACAACCAAAAUUUAGAAGCCAGGAAUCAAGCUCCGGACUUCAUACAUGAAAUUGGUUGGCUCCUCCGUAGAAAUAAGUUGAAGUUUAGAUUGAGUCUACAAGAUUCCAACUUGGAUACAUUUCCUUUCCAGCGAUUCAGAUGGCCUAUAGAGUUCUCAGUCGAACAUGACUGGUGUACAGUGGUCAAGAUGCUUUUGAAUGUUCUGGUCAACAAACUCAUGGGUGAAGAAAAACGCUCUUCAAUUGAAAAUGCAUUGCUGGAAAAUGGGUUGCUCCAUAGAGCUGUUUGGCAAAAUUGUAGGUCCAUGGUUAAGUCCUCCUAAGAUACCCUCCAGAUGCAGAACUGAAAAAAUUAAGUCCAAUCUGCUAUUUAUUUAGACCGAUGUUAGGGCUUGACUCCUCUGCACAUAGCAGCCGGAUGCGAUGGAGUUGAGCAAGUGUUGGAUACAUUAACUGAUGAUCUUGGACUGGUACGGCCCUUCUUAAUAUGUAUAUUGUUAUUAGUGGAACAUUACUUUUGGAAAUGGAAAAAUACUACUCAGAUCCCCCAGUGGAAAAAUACGACCCAUGCUAAUAUCUUUGAUUUGUGUUUGAAGAUUUGAGGCUCCUAAUUGAGUCCCUAUUUUUCUUCCACAUAAUGUUCCAUUCGGUGAUUGUUUGAGGAAAGAAAUUUAGGGGAGAAUAGGAUCGCGCAGUUGCUAGGCAAAAUUGCCCCUGCAUUUGGUCACAUGUACUGCUAAUUUCACAGAUUAAAAAUAAUUAUCGAUCAAAUGGUCACGGGCUUACUGAUUAAGUUGUUUAGUGGUCAAUUAUUGACGAAAAAUAGUUUGAUAGCCAAAACAUGAUCUAACGAAUAGUUUAGUGCCCGCUGAAGUUUUUUGCCAAAAAAAAAAGGUUAAAUGUUACCCAAGUUGUAGAAAUGUUUAGUAAAUGCCUUUUUUCUUUCGAAGAAAAGUCUAAUGCAUUCUCAGAAGAAAAAACUAAUGAUAUUUUACUUAAGUCCAAUGUCCCUUGAGUGUUAUAUUGUUGUUGGAUAGGUUUUUAUUUGUAAUUUUUUUUAUUGCAUCACAAAUAGUUUUUCAAUCACAUUUUUAUCUUACUAAUCACAUUUAUAUUUCACAUAUAUCACAUUGAUAGUGAGACAAUUAUGUAUGUUAUUUGAUGGUAUUUGGUCUCAAUUUUGGCCACUUAUUAUGCAAAGUAAUGGGUUUCUGUUCCUAAUUGGUAUUUGUGUCAGUUGCAGGCAAUUGGUGUCAAAAGUGGUGAAAAGAUGCCAAAUUCCAGAAGACUAUUCAUUCUUGAGCGUGCCCACGCCAGAGACCGCAGAAUUAUGUCCAAAAGACGGACCGAGAGAAUCAUCCCGGGAAGCUGAGCUAUUCUUGGCAGACGUGUUUUGAAGCUGCGUGGGAUUAGGAAACAUCUUUAGAGAAUACCUUUGGCAACAACUCAAUGAAAAAAAUAAGGAAGCUAUCAUUUAUAGAAACAAACUCUCGAAGCUAUCCUUUAUAGAAACAAACUCUCAAUUGGUAAAGGGUGGCGGGGAGAUUUUAAAUAGGACAUCAAUAGACUAGAAGUUUUUAUCUUUGAUCUUGGAUCUUUUUCCUUUUUUCCCUCUAAACGGGAGUUAGAGACUCUUUAGCCGCUGUAUUCUUUUUCAUCAACAAAAGUACAUUAAAGCCUGGGAUUGCAUCAUCCUUAUGAGACAAGGCUAGGUUCCUUUACUUAGUUGAGAAAUAAUCAAGGUCCGGUGCACGGACAAUUGUGAGAUCUUUUUAAUUGUUCUGCGUGAUUUUAAAUUUUGCAUUCGUGAGUAUUUAAUUAUUCCUUGUUUUAAUAGCCUAUUGUUGUUUGGAUCUAUUGGAUUAAUGUAAUCAAUUAUUCAAUUGUCUGAAUAGUAUACUGUCAAUUAGGACAAGGGUGCAUAUCACUUGAUUUGUGGGGUAUAUGUCGUACCCACUUUUGGUAUGACCCAUAUUCAAAUGUGGUAAGACCCUUAUUCAAAUGGGUACGAUCACGGAUGGUGGAACAACUCUAACUUUAAUUAUACGUCAGAGCCAAUCAAUUUUCAACAUCAAUAUCAACAGCAACAGCCAUCAUCCAUGCCAGGUAUGUCUCUUGAAAAAAUAGUUGAAUUAAUAGCUACUAACAAAUAUCAAUUUCAACAGGAGACACAAAGGAUGAUUAAAAAAGAUGGAAUAUGAAAGGCGUUUGACGGGUAUUUUACAUACGUACAAGUUAAAAAAUCGAAUUACACCCGUUCACUGCAAGUAUACAGGUCAACUAGUAGUUUAGGGUAUAUAUCGGGUCGAUCCCACAGGGAAGAGUGAACAAUUACCGGUAUUACUAAAGUUUCUUUAUUAUUUAGACUAUCAAUGAAUUAUAAGAAAUUUAACCUACUGAAAUUAUACAAAAUAACAAAUAAAAGCUCCUUAGGUUGUGGUAUCCCUAACUACUCAUGCAAGUGCUACAUUUGGAUCAUUGAAUACUACAUUUAGGCUAGUUAUGGUGUAAUUUCCUUAAACAUGUGAAACCUACUUUCGUAGUGAAUCAACUAUACUCAUAACUAAUCCAUACCUAUUUUCAUGGUUAUGAAAUUAGCUACAAGUUCAUUUCUUCAAUGAAAUUACAUGAAAUGAAUCACUAAAAACCACAUAAGUGCACCUCUACUUUCGUGAGUGUACUCCCUAUGUUUAGCACUUCUUGAACUAGUGUUAAAUCUCAAUUUUCAUUGCAGAAACAACACCUUAGAUAAUCACAAUCAAUGGUACCAGAUUAAUCAUGAUUUAAAGAGCUAAAGUGCUAAAUAACUUGCUCAAAUCUUAGCAAACAAAUAACCAAAUAAUAAACACUAACAAUCAUAGAAAGUUCAACCAAACCCAAGGUAUAAACUUUAAAACACAUAAUGAACACAAAAUCCAGAACUUGUAUAUUAACUAAACUUGGAAUCAAAUACAAAAGAUAAAGAGUUUGGAAGGAAUACAACCCUUGUCACAUGAGCUUUCUUCCUUGCCUUCUUCAUCCUCCAUCUUCAUCCUAAUCUAGAUAAUAAACAAGAAUGGAUGAACUAUACUACUCUAUACUAAGCUAAACUAAUACUAGGAAGAUGAAAGAGCUACAUUUCUGCAGACUCCAAGCUUCUCCCGUAUGUCUCUCUAUCUCUUACUCUAUCAUCCCCUUUUCUCCAUUUUGCAAUGAAUUUGGCUAUUUAAUGAUGAAAGGUGGUCAAGAAAUGAAGCUUUACACUUUCUCCUUACAGCUGGUAAUGUCUCUCACAUGUCUAGCAUCACAUGUGAGUUGGUGGAGGUGAAAUUGAGUUUUACGCGUAUAAAGCAGCCUUUUCUGACCAGUGAUCCGAGCUGCUACAGUGCCUCGGAUCCGUAUGGAUCCGAGCUCGGAUCCACUAACCCAGAAACAGCCGAGGGUUCGGAUGAAUAGUGGAUCCGAGUGUGGAUCACUUGCUCUGUUUUUGGCCCAACUUCAACCGAUCUUUUCUUGAUGUUAGAGGCUGAACCAGCUCAUGUGUAAAACACGAAAGUUGUAGCCUUUUGAGUUAUCUUUCCAAUGCAUCAAGAAUCACCUCAUUUGGAUCUGUGUAGGCUGAGAUAUGACUGAAAUACCCUUGUCUGCUCAUUGCCCUGUUUCAGCUUCGACCAACAGAAAUUAGCUAAUGUAAUUCGGCUUUUUGAUUUUGAAAACCUUCAAACUGGAUUCGGAUGUCUUCACCAAAGUUGUAGAUCUAUCUCUUAUCUUCAAAUGGGUUCAAGAAUCAUCCCAAUCCGAUCAUUGUAACUCAAGUUAUAGCCGAAAUACGAAAAUGUGUCAAAACUGUCAAAAUACACAAAAUCCAAGUAAAAAGUGAUAAAAACCUCAUUUAAUUACUUAAAAGCAUUUUUCACCAAUUAUAGCCAAAAUGAUUCAUAUUCUUCCAAUAAUAUAACCAAAGUGACUAAAAAUAAUAUAAAAUGUCAUACAAUUAUUACGUAAAUUAGUCACUUAUCAAAUUCCCCCACACUUAAAUCAUUGCUUGUCCUCAAGCAAUUCACACAUAAUCAAAUGCAAUGAUUCAAGAGGUGAAACAAUAUAUGCACUUUGUCCAAUUUAAUUCCUCAAGACUUGGAAAAUAAUCAUUAUACAAUUAUUCAAUUUACACUAAAUACUUAUAAUAUCAAGUAAAGGAAAGAUAAUUAUACCCUAAAUUCAACAAGUUAAACUUAAUCUCUUACCCUAACUUAAUUUUACAAAUAAGCAAAUCACAUAGUCAAUUUAUAGCUUUCCUCCUCCUAUAAUCAUCUUUUUCUCAAAAUUCUAUAACUAAGAGGGAUUUAUUCACACAAAUUUUACUUAAAUAGUGAGAAUGCCUUUUUACGCGAAAAUCGACACUUUUAGGUGAAGAUCCCGGUUACUCAACAUUUCACUUAUUCAAGUUGCUAUGCAUACUCUUAAUUCAAGUACCUUUUUACGCGAAUGUCAACAUUUGUUGAUGCCAACUCCCGGUUACUCGGUACAUGAAUCAUUGGAGUAGAACAAUUUUUAUUUAUUUUCUUUUUUUUUCUACUUUUUUUUCUUUUUCAGAAAUAAAGGACAAUAAAUAGAUAUUCCCUCUUAGAAAAUAUAUAAGAAUAAUCAAAGGAGGAGUAUAACCUUUAUCGACUAUAUCAAUCACUUACUUGCAAAAUUAAGUAAAGAGAAGAAAUCUCAUUAAACAUGUAAAAUUAUAGGCAUAAUUUUCCUCACUUUACCAAAUAUACUUUCUAAAAUGUAAAAAUUCUAAUUGCAUAAUACUAUUUCCAAGUUAAAUGAGGACUAAACCUUCCAACAUACAUAUAAAGUUUCAACAAUUGGAAGAAUAAGGUUGGAACAAUUAGCCCUUUUUGAAUGAAAAUGCAACAUUUGAAGAACUUUUGGGCCAUAGUGAAAUAUUGGAAAAGAUUUUAGAAAAAUUUUGAUAGAGUUUCUCCUUAUAAAUGGAUCCAAACUCCCUGCCAACAAACCCAAUUUCAAGCAAUUAUCCACAUGGCAAAUAAUUCAAACAUAAUUCCAACAUUUCUAAGCAUUUAAAUCCACAAAAUACCAUCACAUGGCAAGUAAAUGCAAGUUCAAUACUUUCCUCCCCCACACUUAAACUUCACAUUGUCCUCAAUGUGAGAAAGGAAAAAUAACGAAAAUAAGAGAAAGUAAUACUUCCCUAAUGAACUUGCGCGAUCCGAAUCCAUGGUAAUGUGAUGAAUUUCCAACUUUACUUGAAAGAAUGGAGAUUUCAAUUAAUGCACCUUGAAAAAAAAACAAAAAUACAAUUCUUAAGAAUAAAAGCUUGCAACCAACAAGAAGAAAAGUGGAGUUGAAGGAGGAAAAAGAGGGAAGAAUGAGGAAAAGUGGUCCGAGGCUUCGUUUUGGAAAGGAUCCGAGGUCGGAUCAUGAUAAGUGAGCUCAGAUCAAGAAGUUCGAAUUUUUUUCUGAUUGCAGAAGUGGAUCCGAGGCCUUGGAUCCAUAUGGAUCCGAGCUUGGAUCCAGAAGCUCGAAGUUUUCUCUGAUUGCAGAAGUGGAUCCGAGGCCUUGGAUCCAUUGAAUCUGUACUUAUUGCAGAAUUUUUGCAAUUUUCAGUUUGACCUCAAUUCUUCAAAAUACACCCUAGAUCAUUUCUAUGUCAAAAUAAACCAUUCACGCACAUAUAAAAUGAUCUAAACAUGCAUUCUAAACCUCUUUAAUGCAUCAAAAAUCAUAAUUACUGAAUUUGAGGUAUUGAGAUCUUUGAUCAAACUUCGCCUUUUUCACCUCAUUUGGUCACUUUUCCAAAACCUACAAAUGAAAAACAACAAAAUUACUCAAACUUAUACUUUAAACAUAAAAUCACUCCAAAGUAAAAUGAACUUAAACAAACAUUGGGUUGCCUCCCAAUAUGCGCUUCUUUAAAGUCAAUAGCUUGACUAUUUCUCCUCAUUUUUUCAAGGAGGCUUAGUUAACGAAUAAUCCACCAUUUUAAGCCUUGGUGGAUCAUUGUAAGGUGACUUAAUAGAAAAAGCCACAUGAUCUAAUGAUCUGAGAGAUGGAAGUGACUUACAUAUUCCAAGUGUUUCAUAGAUAUUACCUUGAAUAUGCACCACUUGAGAACUUACCAAAGGAAAUGUCAUGAGAGUAUCUUGGGCAGGAAUACCUUUAAAACCUAUACUUUCAAUGCACUCCUCAAGAGGGGUGAAAAAUGAGUCAUUAAAACUCACCUCUUGAGACUCAAAGUUAGUUCCAAAGAUAUUAUCAUGUGAAAUGGAUAUUUGCUCAUUAAAACACACUUGAGAUUCAUCAUUUUCAUCAAGAUGCGACCCAUUUUCACAUACAACAUUCCCACCAUUCAUGCUAGGAUCAUUUUACAAAUUAUUAGAGGAAAUAACUUCACACAAUGCACUCAAUUGCUCAUGUAUUCGACCAAAGUGAGAAGCUAAUUCAUCUAUUCUUUCCUCAAUCCUAUCAAAACGAUCGGAAGUUGCAUUUGCUAGCUUUUCUAAUGCUAAAUCAAAUUGAUUAGAAAAAUUUUCUACAGCUAGCUCCCAAGAUACAUUAGAAUCAUUAGCUAAUGGUUCACUUUCUAACUCCCAAGGCAGAGGUGCAUUAGCUAACUUCUCUAUUGCCAACUCCCAAGAUGGUUUUGAUUCAUAUUGGACACUUUCAGGUUGGUAAUUAUAAAAACAUGAAUAAUCACUAUAAGUACAUUGAUCAUCCCAACCAUAAGCAGGAGAAUUGCUCCAAUUAGCACUAUAUUGAUCAAAACAAGGAUUGUAAUGCUCUAAUUCAUCAUAAUAAUCCACAUUUUGUGCUUGCAUACAUGUAUUAGUAGCAUGAUAACCUCCACACAAGUCACAAAUCACAUGAUAAGAAUUAAAAGCAUUAACAUUCCUCCUUUGCUCAAUUUCAUGCAUCAUGGUGUCCAUUUGAACUUGUAACUUAAUUACAUCAAAUUUUGCCUUUAAGCACCUUAAACCAUCUUCAAAAGACAUACAUUCAGUAAAUUCUUGGUUACCUCUGUUGAAGGAGCUUUGCACUUGAUAACCAUCCAUUGCCAAUCUUCCACUUCUCAAGCAUUGUCCUCCAAAUUGACCUACCCUUCUCAUUACCUAAAAUUGCUUUUAAACAACUCAAAAGCAAAAUUAGUAAGAAAAAUAGGUAAUGAAACACAUACACAUAAAAUACAAAAAUAACAGAAAAUAACAUUCACAGUAUAACUAAUAAUUAUGUCUAAACUAAUAAAGUUACUCUUCACACCGAUAUUGCCAAAUCUUCCCCGGCAACGGCGCCAAAAACUUGACGGGUAUUUUACAUACGUACAAGUUAAAAAACCGAAUUACACCCGUUCACUGCAAGUAUACAGGUCAACUAGUAGUUUAGGGUAUAUAUCGGGUCGAUCCCACAGGGAAGAGUGAACAAUUACCGGUAUUACUAAAGCUUCUCUAUUAUUUAGACUAUCAAUGAAUUAUAAGAAAUUUAACCUACUGAAAUUAUACAAAAUAACAAAUAAAAGCUCCUUAGGUUGUGGUAUCCCUAACUACUCAUGCAAGUGCUACAUUUGGAUCAUUGAAUACUACAUUUAGGCUAGUUAUGGUGUAAUUUCCUUAAACAUGUGAAACCUACUUUCGUAGUGAAUCAACUAUACUCAUAACUAAUUCAUACCUAUUUUCAUGGUUAUGAAAUUAGCUACAAGUUCAUUUCUUCAAUGAAAUUACAUGAAAUGAAUCACUAAAAACCACAUAAGUGCACCUCUACUUUCGUGAGUGUACUCCCUAUGUUUAGCACUUCUUGAACUAGUGUUAAAUCUCAAUUUUCAUUGCAGAAACAACACCUUAGAUAAUCACAAUUAAUGGUACCAGAUUAAUCAUGAUUUAAAGAGCCAAAGUGCUAAAUAACUUGCUCAAAUCAUAGCAAUCAAAUAACCAAAUAAUAAACACUAACAAUUAUAGAAAGUUCAACCAAACCCAAGGUAUAAACUUUAAAAACACAUAUUACACACAAAAUCCAGAACUUGUAUAUUAACUAAACUUGGAAUCAAAUACAAAAGAUAAAGAGUUUGGAAGGAAUACAACCCUUGUCACAUGAGCUUUCUUCCUUGCCUUCUUCAUCCUCCAUCUUCAUCCUAAUCUAGAUAAUAAACAAGAAUGGAUGAACUAUACUACUCUAUACUAAGCUAAACUAAUACUAGGAAGAUGAAAGAGCUACAUUUCUGCAGACUCCAAGCUUCUCCCGUAUGUCUCUCUAUCUCUUACUCUAUCAUCCCCUCUCCUUCCUUUUGCAAUGAAUUUGGCUAUUUAAUGAUGAAAGGUGGUCAAGAAAUGAAGCUUUACACUUUCUCCUUACAGCUGGUAAUGUCUCUCACAUGUCUAGCAUCACAUGUGAGUUGGUGGAGGUGAAAUUGAGUUUUACGCGUAUAAAGCAGCCUUUUCUGACCAGUGAUCCGAGCUGCUACAGUGCCUCGGAUCCGUAUGGAUCCGAGCUCGGAUCCACUAACCCAGAAACAGCCGAGGGUUCGGAUGAAUAGUGGAUCCGAGUGUGGAUCACUUGCUCUGUUUUUGGCCCAACUUCAACCGAUCUUUUCUUGAUAUUAGAGGCUGAACCAGCUCAUGUGUAAAACACGAAAGUUGUAGCCUUUUGAGUUAUCUUUCCAAUGCAUCAAGAAUCACCUCAUUUGGAUCUGUGUAGGCUGAGAUAUGACUGAAAUACCCUUGUCUGCUCAUUGCCCUGUUUCAGCUUCGACCAACAGAAAUUAGCUAAUGUAAUUCGGCUUUUUGAUUUUGAAAACCUUCAAACUGGAUUCGGAUGUCUUCACCAAAGUUGUAGAUCUAUCUCUUAUCUUCAAAUGGGUUUAAGAAUCAUCCCAAUCCGAUCAUUGUAACUCAAGUUAUAGCCGAAAUACGAAAAUGUGUCAAAACUGUCAAAAUACACAAAAUCCAAGUAAAAAGUGAUAAAAACCUCAUUUAAUCACUUAAAAGCAUUUUUCACCAAUUAUAGCCAAAAUGAUUCAUAUUCUUCCAAUAAUAUAACCAAAGUGACUAAAAAUAAUAUAAAAUGUCAUACAAUUAUUACGUAAAUUAGUCACUUAUCAGCGUUACUUGGCAUCUACAAUGAGUAAAUUGAUUUUUCCAAUUUAUAAAGAAUUGCCCUCAUAGACCAUCAACGACCUUAAAGAAUAUAAGAGUACAAUUAUCCUGACAAAUAACAUGGAAUUGCAUGAAUGUCAAGAAAAAGAAUCUAAAGAUGCAGUUGAAAAGGGAAUUGAAGUACAAGAAAUGAAACCACAAUAUCAAAUUGUUCAAGUGAACAAAUCCAGUGAACAAUCUCCAAAUGCGGUGACAUCUCCCCCAUUCAUUAAACAAUAUUCUCCUGACUCUUAUUCUUUAAUUCCUAUUAGUGAGAUUGACUUUAUUAUAGUAGAAGAUUUUGAAUUUCAUGACAGGAAUAACUUAAGAGUCACGAUGACAAAAUAUCUCGAACCAAUAAGUGCUCGUGAUGGAGGAGUGAGUGAAGAAUUAAAGUCAUCACUUGUUUGUUUGGCACCAUUUACAAAUUCAUGGAAGACCGUACCUUGUGUACUUAAUGAUUACUCUAUUUCCGAGAGUCAUCAGGACUAUACAGAGGAUGAAGUAUUGAAAUGAGCCACAAGAUUUUAUCCGUCGUGAAUAAACCGGGCAAUGUCUAGCCAAAAACGUUAAAGAUAGACACUGCUUGAGAGAUAAUCCAAGAACUAAACUCUUUGUUAUUGUUAUCUCUCAUCAUCAUCAUCAUCAUCAUUAUUAUUAUUAUUAUUAUUAUUAUUAUUAUUAUUAUUAUUAUUAUUAUUAUUAUUACUACUACUAUUAUUAUUAUUAUUACUACUAUUAUUAUUACUACUAUUAUUAUUAUUAUUACUACUAUUAUUAUUAUUAUUACUACUAUUAUUAUUAUUAUUAUUAUUAUUAUUACUACUACUAUUAUUAUUACUACUAUUAUUAUUAUGUCUUAUUCCCAGUGCUUUAUUGGUGUUAGACAGAAGACUGUGGCUUCCUAGGCGUGCCCACGCUUUGCAGGGUUGCUCCAGAAAGCUGUCGACAAACUGGUGAAUAGAAGACUUUAGCUUUCAAGGCGUGCUCAUGCUUCAUAGAAAAUUUCAUGGGUACUGUUACAAAGAAUGGGCAGCCGACUUACGCUUCUUAAGUGUGGUAAUGCUUCUCAACCAAGUACCGCCGCCCAGGCCGCCACUUGAUAGGUCAUAAUUUGUUGCUAAAUUAAUAAUUAUUUUUUCUUUGAUUUUAGCCAAAUAUUAUUUUAAUUGAUAGAUUCUAUUUAUAUUUGGUUAAUGGUGCCAAUUGUAGGAAAAUGAGCAAAACGUGAUUAAAAGUGAUAAUUUUUCAAUUAAUUUGAUGGUGGUACAUUUAGGACCUACAUUCAAGGCGGGAAGGUCGGGAUUGAUAUUGGACAGUCUCCCAAUCCGAGUCAACUUUCUAAUUUGUUAGCUGCCAGGACUUUUCUUAUUUCGGGGGAUCAUUCUCAAGGAAAUGGAAAGGUGGAGGAAAUUGAUUUGUAAUAGGAAUCUUUUUAAGAGUUGGAUAGGUAUUAGGAAACCAAUCAAUUAGGUAAUUGGGAGGAGGCAAAUUCGGCGGCAAUCAAUUGAGCAUCUAGGUGGCUAGAGACGAAAAAGGAAUCAGCAAUUUCUUGUCUUUUGAUUUCCUUUGCACGGAUUUGAGGGAGAAAAAGCCGAAUCCCGUAUAAUCAGGAGUUUAGUUUUCCUUAGGAAGCUACAAAAGAGGGAUUGAGAGGGACGGCUAGAGAGUUUUUUUUCUUUGUCUUCUUUCGUUAGCCUUUGGGGGAGAAGGAACCAAUGGUUAGCAAGGGACUCCUACAGAUUUCCCUUGAGGAUGUAUAGCUAAAUUUCUAUUUUCUAGUCAAGAGUACAACUGACGAUUUGGUUCGGCAAUUACUGUGAGAUCUAAGCCGUUUUUAAUUGUUUCUUUCAUUUAUUGGUAUUUAUAUGUUUCCUACUUUUAAUUGUUAUAACUCUUGUGUAUGAUUGAUUAGUGCACAAUAAUUAAUUAUUCAUAUAGGCUAUUUUGCUAAUUAGAGGUAAUUGAAUCCGUAAUUGUUCGAUUAUCUCCAUCUUAAUAGCAACUGGCGUAAUUGGAUUUAUAUUAGGGAAAUAUACAAUCUAAUUUAAACAAACCCUCGUAGCGUGUUUGUUAGUUAGGAUUGGGCCUUUCUAAAUCUUAAUGCAAACUAAAAAUUAAAUCUUACGGUCGUACCUAAGGUUGUUUCUGGGUUAGAAAAAUAGUUAAUGGUCGCACCUUAACUAUCGAGAAAUUAAGGAAAGGUUGGUUGUUUAUCGCGUGCAUGACAACUAUAACUAAUCUAUUAAUAAAUAUUGGAAUUAUAUAUGAGUUGAUGAUCAGUGCAUGAAUCAUUUCUGAAGUGUACCCUUGGCUAGAGUUCUCCCAAUUAUUUCUUUUAAUUAGUUAUUUUUCUGCAUUUCAUUUACUUAGUUAGCAUUUAAUCCCAAAACCCCCCGUUUAUCUUAACUCGAAAAGAAACAAAUUUCUCUCCAGUCCCUGAGGAGACGACCCUACUUGCCACUGUCUACUAGUUAGUGAAAUCAGUUAAAUAAUUAAUUCUGGUAUAUCGGAUUAAAUACACUCUUGGGGAACAUGAUAAAUCAAGUAACCCAUUGCACACCUAGGGUCCCUACUCUAGUACUAAAAUUGAUUAUUGAUUGUUUCAGGUGGUAGUUAGGUUUUAUUUAUUAUUAUUGCACAGGUUCGACACCUGUUACCGCUGCUCGCCAUUGCUGUCUCACACUCUCUCGACGUCCAUCCCCCCUGCAUCCUGUGUACUUGGAGAUUUUUAGUUCUGCGCCUUGGCGGAUGUCCUUUGCAGGUUGGAUGAAUAAGUUGAUUAUUUGGAUGACCAUCUCACAGCCUUGCAACUUCAUUCUUCUAUUCAAACACAAAAUCUGGCAGCCUUCUUUGCCCAUGUUGAAUUUCAGCCGCCUCAUUCUCUUCCCCUAUAGUACUUUCGCGGCAUCCUUUCAGCAUUCAGGGAAGUUCUAGAUCCUUUCUACUUGGUUUUUAUUUUUCUUUGCUACAUUGAGGACAAUGUAGGGUUCUAUUUUUCUACUUGGUUUCUAUUUUUCUUUGCUACAUUUGUGGAUGUCCUUCACGGGUUGGAUGAAUAAGUUGAUCAUUUGGAUGACUGUCUCACAGCCUUGCAACUUCAUUCUUCUAUUCAGACACAAAAUCUGGCAGCCUUCUUUGCCCAUGUUGAAUUUCAGUCGUCUCAUUCUCUUCCCCUAUAGUACUUUCGCGGCGUCCUUUCAGCAUUCAGGGAAGUUCUAGAUUCUUUCUACUUGGUUUCUAUUUUUCUUUGCUACAUUGAGGACAAUGUAGGGUUCAGAUAUGGGGGGAGUAGUUGAAAAUUGCUAGAAUUUGAUGCUAUGAUGAUUAUUGCAAUUACUCUACAAGCAUGAGCAGUGAUAUUAUGUGGCUAAAUGUCUUGUCUUCUUAAUAAUGGAAUUGAAUCAUGAAAUUUGCAAGAUUUGGCUAUUAAUAUCCUAUUGUGAGCUGUUGAGCCAAUGAGUGUUGCAUUGAUAACUGCUAUAUUUUCUUUCAUUGAAUGAUAUCACACAUGAUUUGAUUGUUCUAGAACUUGCUUUGUUAUGCAUAUCAAGAUCACAUUCCUGAAUUUGAUGCAUUAGAAUGAUAAGGGCACUUAGGCUAACCAUUUUUGCUUUCUAAAGACCAACCCUUGUCAGAUCUCCCCUAGUUGACCAUGGUUAAGUCUAUACCUUUUCUUUGUUUAAUAACUCAUUUUGUCACUCCUAAGCCCCUUGUGUUUGAACCCUCUUUGUUUCUAUCCCGUGUCAAAGGAAUGCCUUGAUAUAAGUGCAUGAUGAUUUCAAAUUAGGUUGAAAGGGGAUGAUUGAAGUUAACGAGUGUGUCUAUAUCCCCAUGUAGUUGGGCGUAUUUGAAACCAAAAAAAAAGAGAAAAAAAGGGGCACACCAAGAAAAAAAAGGGAAAAAAAAGAAAAACAAAAGAGAAAACAAAAAAAGAAGAAAAAAAAAAGAGGUAUGAAGUGCUAAUUGUCAAUAUGUGAUUUGUUGAGAUGAUUGGGUGAAUCCCUUGGUUGUGCUGGCACUUGCUAAUUUUUGAAAAAAUUUAUGGGAAUGCUUUGGAAAGAUCAAUGGAAUGAAGAAGGAAAUUGGCAUUCACGUAGUGGGUCAAUGGUAUUGCCUUUGACAUAAUGAGUUUAAAUUGCCUGUUUGAUCCAACCCGUGCCUGAACCCCGUUACAACCCACAUCAAGACCCUUUGAUUUUUGCAUUAAAUUUGAUUACAGUGGUGGCGAUGUGAUAUAUUAGCAAGCAUAUGAUAAUAUCACUUUAUUGUGUGGUGAGAGUGACCAUUUGUGUUUCAUGUCGGUGUGGUGAGUAGUCAUAUACCAUUCUAUAAGAGAGGGUUAAGUCUUGCAAUUUCUGAAUUUGAUGACAUUGUUAGGAGGAUAGGACACUUGUGCUCGCAUGUUGGACUGCUACAUGUGUGUAGCUGUAAUUGUAUCUCUGAGCUUUGAAAUGUUUGAGAACAAGCAUUGUCUUGGUGUGGGGGGAUUUGAUAGUGAGACAAUUGUGCAUGUUAUUUGAUGGUAUUUGAUCUCAAUUUUGGCCACUUAUUAUGCAAAGUAAUGGGUUUCUGCUCAUAAUUGGUAUUUGUAUCAAUUGCAGGCGAUUGGUGUCAAACGUGGUGAAAAGAGGCCAAAUUCCAGAAGACUAUUCAUUCUUGAGCGUGCCCACGCUAGAGACCGCAGAAUUACGUUCAAAACACAGAUCGCGAGACUUAUCCCUGGAACUGCCGCUAUUCUUGGAAGGCGUAUUUUGAAGCUGCGUGGGAUUAGGAAACAUCUUCAGAGAAUACCUUUGGCAACAACUCAAGGAGAAAAAUAAGAAAGCUAUCAUUUAUAGAAACAAACUCUCGAAGCUAUCCUUUAUAGAAACAAACUCUCGAUUGGUAAAGGGUGGUGGCGAGACUUUAAAUAGGACAGCAAUAGACUAGGACUUUUUAUCAUUGAUCUUGGAUCUUUUUCCUUUUUUUCCUCUAAACGGGAGUUAGAGACUUUUUAGCCACGGUAUUCCUUUUCAUCAAUGAAAGUGCAUUAAAGCCUAGGAUUGCAUCAUCGUUAUGAGGUAAGGUAGGUUCCUUUACCUACUUGAGGAAUAAUCAAGACCCGGUGCAUGGACAAUUGUGAGAUCUUUUUAAUUGUUUUGCGUGAUUUUAAAUUAUGCAUUCGUGAGUAUUUAAUUAUUCCUUGUUUUAAUAGCCUAUUGUUAUUUGGAUCUAUUGAAUUAAUGUGGUAAGUUAUUCAAUUGUUUGAAUAGUAUACUGCUAAUUAGGACAGGGGUGCAUAUCACUUGAUUGUCUUAAAAUUAGUGGCAAACGGCACAAUUUUAUUGCCUCGCAAGCAGUCUAAUCAGUGUCGUAGGAAUAGUUAAUCUAGUUUAAAUGAACCCGCAUGUGUGUUUGUUAACUAGAAUUGGGUCUUUCUAAUUCCUAAAACUGUGAAUAGAUUAAAUCUUUCGAGCGUCUCUGGCGUUAUCUAUUUUAUAAGGGGGUAGUUUAAGAGCGUCUCUGAACCACCAUAUAAUUAAGGAGAGAUUGUUAGUUUGGCGGUUGUUGAAUUGUUAGAACCAAUUUAUUUACAAACGUGUAAACUAUUCCAGGGAUCUGUGAUCAAUUGCGUGAGUCGGUGCCGAAAUGAUCUCCUUGACUAGGUUGUCUCAAUUAAUUGUCUAUUAUAUUCUUUAGUUACUGCACUUUCUUGCGAUUCGAAAUUCAGUACUCUUACAUCUUUAAUUUGUUCUUCUUGUCUUCCUUUCUAAAAUUCUCCAAAUUCUCUGUGUGUGAUAAAUCUACCAGUUCCCUGAGGAGACAACCCUACUCACCACUAUAAUUGUUCAGUUUUGGGAGUAGAUCUUGAUAUAAAUUUUAUUUUUGGUAGUUUGACAGCCACCACACAUCAUCAAAAAGACUACAAUAUCAUUCCUACAUUUUCUUUAUAGAUAAUCUCAUAUCCUAACAGACUAGAUGUUAAAUUUCAAAGCCGAAUGUUGAUAUGUGUCCAUGGACAAAACUUUUGCUAUGUUAAACGAACCAAUUAUAAAAUGUUAGAAAAAGUACGCAAUUAUAAAAUGUUGAUAUGUUGUUUCAAUUAUGGUAGGUGGUGUCGUAGAACAAUUUAAUACAGAUAUACAUCAUUUGCUUUUGUAUAGUUUCACUCAUAUGCAGGUCAUUAUCUCAAUUCUCAAGCUUGAACAGAGAUUUGCAAUGUUUGCUGGCUGCUCCAAUUUAUAAACAAAAAUGUAAUUUACAUGCACAUCCUGAGGGAUGGGGAGCAGAUUCUUACCGCUCACCUAAUGGGAUUAUUGGGCUCGAAAGCUUCCAGACCUGUACCUGCCAUUUUGGAUAUAAGAGUAAUUUUAUAAUAAUAAUAUAUUAAAUAAUUACAAUUAAAAAGCUCGAUUAAGCUCGACGAGUUCUCGAGCAUUGAUUUGGAAUACUCGAACUCAACUCGCUUGUUUUAUCAAGCCACUCGAACUAGAGUCAAAUACGGUCAACUUGAGUUCGAGUCAAGUUUUUGACCGAGCUGCUCGCGAGCUACUUGCGAGUAGCUCGGUUCGAUUACACUCCUAGGUCCAAGGUACUCCUCGGAUGAAAUUCAGCCUAGAUGGAAACGAAGAUCCAAAUUGUUCUCGAUUUUGGCAAAUUGUAGUUUUACACUCUCUCCUGCUUAUAUGCAUUCUUGGGCUAUAAACGCGAUGAGAGAGCCCGCAAAUUUGGUCAAUCCAUGUGCCAAGAAACUGAGAGAACUUUAAUCCUAUCACUUGUUGUUUAUUUCUUUGAAGCGGCAAGAGGAGAGAAGACGCAUAAGUAAAUAUAAUGUGAUUUGUAAAAUACGUUGCAAAUGGUUUCUUCAAUGUAUCUCAUUCCAGCUUAAUAAUUUUUUUCUUUCAAUUCCUCCUCUCAAGCAUAAGGUUUGCACAAUCUCACAUACUGAAGUGGCAUUUCUCCUCACUCAAAAAUGAUUUUCCAACUUAAUAAUUUUGUUUUUUGUUUUUUUCAAUUCCUCCCCUCGAGCGUAAGGUUUGCACAAUCUCACAUGCUUAAGUGGCAUUUCUCCUCACUUAGAAAUGAAUCCAGAGAUGUUUUAGGAAGAAAAAACCUCAAGAGAAUCCACCAAAAAGUGUAAGUCAAGAACUCAGUAUUAACCUAAAAUGUUAAACUAAUAAAUUCCAAGCCCUUACAUAUUAAGAGCUAUUUCUCCAUUUCUCAAACCAAUAUGGGAUACAAUUCUCUAUCCAUGAAACUAAUAAUUUCCUCCUUUCUGAGUAGCACUUCACAUUGAACCCAAUUUUACAAAAUCUUUUUUGAACCUACUUUAAUACUUAAUACAAGCUCAUUUUUACAUCCAAUGUCACUUUUUCUCUCAAUCAUAGAUUCAUUCUUCUUCAACAUAAGUCCAUCUUAACACCCAAGGUCACUUUUUCUCCCAAUCAUGAACCCAUUCUUUUUCGACAUCCAAAUUAGAUAUCGGAUCCCUGCCAAUUCUUAGCUUCUUGUUCUAAUACCCACGCGACCUCCUGCUAAACUCUUGGCCCACCCAGUCCAACACCAACCAAAUUCCUUGGCACUUUAGUCUACCACUAAGAACAAAAUUUCACUUGUCCAACUCCGAAAAGAAUCCACUUGGUAAUAAGUAACAUCAGCCAUACUCAUUGACACUUCAAUCUACCACUAAGAAGAGAAUUUCACCAGUCCACCUCGGAGAAAAAUCCACUUACUAAUGAGUAACCCAGUCUAGUACAAACCAAAAUUUGGACCCUUGCCAACUCUUAGUUAAGGGUGUUCAUCGACUGAUAAUCGGAAAUUUGGUAAAAAAAUUUUCAGUAAUUCGAGAAUCAAUUUUUUAAGGCCAAUAUCCGAUUAUCGUCCAAACUUUAGUUUGGUAAGUUGCAUCAGAGAACCAAUAAUUCAGUAAUAUCCGAAAUGCAAAAUGUCAAUAGUGAUUUAAAAUAUUUUAAUUUUCUCUAAAAGGUUGUUGUAAAAAAAUAAUAUCCCAUAUGUUUUUCCAAUAAAAUUCAAUCAACUUAUCUCAAACAUUGAUACACAAAAAAUAGUAAUAAUAAUUAGGUUCAUAAUUCUAAGUCGUAACUCAUAAUCUAAAUUCUUAACAACAUUGAAAUAAACAAGAACUCCAAAUUAAGUUGUCAAGCUAAACUCCAACAUGUUAACCUCCAACAAAAUUUGACUUUCAAGUACAGUUAUAGUUAAGUUAGAUAAUUAGUAAUUACUAAUUAGUAUUUAGUAAGAUUAAGAUUUACUCUUAUAUUUAGUAAUAUAUAUAUAUAUAUAUGCAUGUAUACACACACACACACACACAUAUUGUACAUGUCUAUAACAUUAUAUUAUAAAAUUUUCAAUAAUUUAGCCACUAAUUAGUAAUCUAUAUUUAAUAUUUUUCUCCCAAACCACUUUACCAAAUAUUAUAUUUUGGUUCUUUCAAAUUCCAUUAGUUGUUUCGAAUUCCAUUUUACCGAAAUCCAACUUCAAGAAGAAUUCACUUACUAACAAUGUUGAACUCCGACUGGAUAGUGACUCAACUAAACUAUUGAGUCAAGGGUCAAUUGGUCGGAUUGGUCGGACUGUUCUAAAAAAUCCGCUGACAUCGAAAUGAUGUCAUAAUUAUUUUAUAUUUUUAUAAGUUUUAGAAAUAUUGAAAUUAAGUUGUUAGUUAUAUUUGGCCAACCAUAAAAAAUGUAAAUUUUCUAUAUACACCUAAUAAUUAUAUAUAAAAAUGUAAAUUUAUGGUUAAAAUAUGUCCAUUCUCCAAAACUACUUGAAAAAUAAAUUAAAAUAAAUUAAUGCAAGUUAGAAUCACUUAUGCUAAAUUGAUAAGAUCAUAGGGAUAAAAAUAUCCUGAUUUAAAGAUCAUUCAAGAAAGCGAGUGAUUUUGAUAUUUACACUAAGUAAGUGGGUUUACUCAUUCCCAUCAAUAAAUGAAAGUGUUACAAUUUAGGUAACUUAAAUUAUGUUUGGGAAAAAGAAGAAAAAAAAGUUUGAGAACCGAGUUAACUAGUCGUAUCGGGUCACUGGUUUACGCGAUUUUUGACAUUUUUGACUAAUUUUUGACUAAAGAGGUUUUGUGCUACAAACCAAUUCAAGAAGAAGGCUAAUUCAUGGUCGGACCGAUCAAACCAGCUAGUCCAGACCAGGUCUAACAGCAUUGCAGUUACUAAUGAAUAGCUUAUUAAAGAGCACCCUAAUCUUGUAAGAGAAACUCUAAUACUACUUAUUAGGGAGCAAAAACUUGAAAGAGCCUACCAAUUAAAGAGCCAAUAUAUAAGUUGAGAAUCAAAUGCUGAUCUAAAAGUUUAAAUUGUUAAGUCUCGGGUCAUUAGUUGCAAAUUAAAAACUCUUUCUCCAUCUCUCAAACCAAUUUAGGAUAUAAUUCCAUACUCAUGAAGCUAAUGUCACGUACUAAUGAGACAAACUUGCUAAUCAAAUUGCUGGAAUUUGGACAAAACCAACAGCAAUCUUACCCCUAUUAAGUUAUAAACCUAAAAAAAGUUGUAAAAUUUCAAAAUUCUCAAAAAGAAAACCCCACGUGGCACGGGGGUGAGUUCUAAUAGUACUAAUAAAGUCUUAGUAAUGAACUCAAGCUACUUAGGUCGAUAGUAACUUCUCCCUAAAUUAUUUUUGUUGUCAAAUUUAUUUCCUUGUUAUCUUUACACAAUUCUAUGAGCUUUUUUAAGUGCUCUAGCUUCCAUAUUUAUUAGUUAACAAAUUGUUAUGGUACUUUCAUUGUUAUUUUUCCAAAAGAUCCUUGUUUAAUUCUUUAUUUGCAAUUAAGCCUUUUCUAUCAUAAUAAAUACCAAUGCAAUGAUACUUACUCAAAUGCGCAUUAUACUUCACUAUAUAUAACUAUAUAUAUAUACUCAAAAAUGAAACUUUGUCUGUAAACACGACAAAUAUAAAAUUAUAUACUUAAAAGUGGAAGCCACGUUACACUUUUUUGUUUUUUUGGCAAAGCCCAUUCUGUUAGAGGGGAUGCAGUGUCACACUUGAUGUCAUAAACAUUUUUCAAACAUUGAAAUUGGUCAAGAGCAAAAAAGAUUCAUGAAUAUAUCCUUGUUUGGAAAGUCAGUUUUCAAUAAAAAAAUUUUUAUACUUUCUAUAAAUACAUUUUCCAUCACCGUUUUAUAUCAUAUAUAUCAAAUCCUUACAAUAUAUUUUUUAUAAAGACUCUGGAAAAUUGCAGUCCAAACAACACCUUAAUUUUCACAAAGCCGUACCAAACUUAAUCAAAUUUACAGUACUAGAGCCCCACUAAAUGAAAGCAUAUCUCGUUGUAUCGUCUUAUUCACCAAUUAACAACAAUUUCUUUCUGCGAUUGUCCUGUUACCAUUGCUGCGAUGACAUAUCUUUCCACGCCAGUACGCCACAGCAUAGGUCGCGACGACGUGGUGCACCAUGGGACGGAGUUUUUGGCCAUAAAUUAUUGCAAAUUGGCUUUCAUCGUAGCUGAAUAAAGAUUCCACAUUCAACCAAAAAAAUUUUAAAAAAUUAGAUAUUCCAUGUGGAAUGUGAAAAACAUCUUCUAACAUGUAGUCAUCUACCAAAGAAAAGUGAAGUGACACCCGGAUACAUUUUUUGUUUUGUAGAUCCAAUGAAUGUCUCGGUUCCUUUUAAGAAGAAAACUGAACAUUUUUUACUCAUGGUCAGGAAGAGGAUAUUUUAUUGAAGUUCUGCUGUUGAAUGUUGAAAUGUGUACGCAGCAAACUCUUUUUGCACAACCAAGAUAAGAUAAGAUACUAGAAAAAGUGUCCUAGAAAAUAAUUUUAAUACUCCCUAAUAGGAGACGUUCUUCUUCCUAAUGAGGAACACAUCAAAAUUGGAGAUGUUCAUGCACAAAGCCAUCAUACGCGUGCAUAAUAGCAAUAUUUUAGACAUAUUUUGACGUGAGCCAAUGAUAUAUUCUUUUCUUAGCAAUGUUAGUUUCACUCAUAGUGACGUCGAAAUAUUCAUGAUUAACCUUUUCUGAUGUUGUUUAUUUUAUCUUUAGGGCGCUGUUGUCUUUUGAUUGGAUCUUGUUAAUGAAAUUGAUUCCUACUGAAGCGAUGUAACCUUUAAUUUUAAGAAUCAAGUCAUGUCUUAUGACCGCAUUUUCUUUUCGUGGUGGGGAACUUUUGUAGGUGCAACAAUCCCUCCAUUGUCUCAUACUGAGUUAAUUUAAGAAAGAAAAGACAGGAAAAGAAAAAAGACAAAAAAAAAAAAAGGUUUACAAAUAAGAAAUUUGUAGACCCUUCUCAAGCAUUUAUUGUAUUUUAACAUGACCAAAUUAUUGGUAACAUUAUUCUUUCACCUUUAUUCCUAUAUUUUAGGUACAUUCACCCCAUAUUUUAUGCACGACUAUACCUUUAAGAUCUUAGGCGUGAAAAAGUAACAAUUCGAAUUUUUACUGCAUCAAUAAUUCUUUCUCAAAGUGUCUAUGAUGCUACUAGUGAUCCCUGUGAUAAAUUCUUUUUAGAACUUUCUCUAUGGUAAAUAAUCAUUAUAUGAAUUUAAAACUAUAGGCAGUAACUUUAUUGAUGCACUUUCUUUCCUUUUUUAGUAGGGGAGGUGGGAUUUAAGAAGUAAGGAGAAAGCGAUAUUUGAUUCCUAUAAUAUUGGAAAGACAAUUGUCCUAAUUAAAUGACCCGAUUAUGUAUCAAGAGUAUGUAAAAGUCACUCACCCUCCUUACAUAGUAGUCCCUUGAUCACCUUCAUUGAUCGGAAAAGCUAGAAUUUUGUAACCCAGUCACAAUAACUUUCAAAGCUUUAGUCCAUGUUUUCUUUCGUCUGCUUAUAAGUUUUGGGAAUUAAUUCAAGCUAAUUGCUUUGAUAUAUUUCUUCCUAACCUGUUUUUGUUGUCUUCAAUUUUUCCUUCUUAUCAUCACUUAGUUCCUUGUCCUUUCUUAAUGCUUUAACUUGCAUAAUGAUCAGUUAAUCAAUUGUUAAAUAACUUUGCUACAAGAAAAGUGGGAUUUUGCGACGCACUACAACAAACUUUUAAUUGUUGCUUCAACUUUGUCAUAUUACUGUUUUCACGCUCAUAAUUCUCAUGAAUUUCAUCUAGAUUACAAUACUUGACCCAAAAAACAACAAAAAAUAAUAAAGAUAAUUCUAAAACCCGUUCAAGUCCUCAAAAUCACCGCUGUUUCAACUGGCAUUAGACAACACACGAAUCAAGUAAUGGCAGCAGGAAAUACUGAACUGCAGAAUUAAUUGAGAAGUCGAAAAGACUAACUUUGAGUUGUACACGACAGGCUAAAAGAAAAAAAAUUAUUUGCAACAAAGAACUACAGUAGAAUAGCUCUUUACCUUCAAAUGAUCAUUUUGAACUAGCAAAAGCAGAUUUCUUUCCUUCAUAGCAACACCGCGAGUCACUGGAAAUCCGGCUCUGCAGCUUCUCUCGAAAACUCAAGCUCAUUCUGGUCAAGACAUACUAUUCAUUGUCAAGUUAAUGAUAGGGUAUAAUUUUUAUAUGAAUAAUCGGUGCACAACGUGCAUGUUAAGCCCUUAAUAUGAAAGGGAAUUACCUAACUUGAUUGUGUUUUUGGUUUUAAGAGGAUUGGAUGCAAAUGAGCUUGGAAUUGCUCGUGAAACUUGAACAUGAUGGUGAAAGCUACCUAACUUGCCUAAACGUGUGGAAGAUUGAACUUGAAGAAGAAUGAACGCAAGUUGUGCGUGACAUGCAAGCUCAGGGUGGGAAAACGAAUUGUGAAGAAAUGUUGCUCAACUUGUCACCGGACAUCCUCUGAAAAUUGAAGAUUUGGAAUUCAUGGAAUGUUCGGUGCCGGACUUGGUCGAAAAUCGCGUAAACUCGCUUUUCUUCAGUUUUAACGAACCUAUUCCUUCUGGGAUUCAACUGGAACUUUAGGAAACUAUACAUAGGAGUACUCAUGACAUUUUCUGGGUAGGGAACACUUAUCUAAACAUUAGUUCUAAGAUUUUUCUUUAAGAUUCAAGAAUCAAACUAGGAAAUUAAGGCGCGGGAUUAAGAGUAUCAUUAAUUAGGAAGUUCUACAUGCUCUUUAUUCUAAGUCUUGUAUUUUUCAUGUUUGAAUUAAUAUUUACUCUUACUAUUAUGAUGAGCUAAUUUAUAUCUAGGGUUAGGGUUUCAUGAAAGAGUAUUGAUUAUUUAUCUUGGUUAAAUUCUUAACUUUUGCCUUGAUUUAUCUGUUUUGAUUUAAUUACAUAUUUGUAUUUGACCAUCAUAGACAUACUCUUGAUAAAUGUGGGAUGGGUAUCAAUCUUGAUAUGGUAGAAUUGAUCACCAAGCAAGAAGUGGAGACGUGGUUCCAUACCCAACGGACCUUUCAACCAGAAAAAAAAAAAAAAAAGAAAGAAAGAAAGAAAAAGAGAGAUGAAAAAGAUGCCCCAAAGAUCAAGCAUGUUGUUGAUGAACAUUUGGCAUUGAUUCUUUGAUGUCUUUGUUUCGUCAAAACAGCAAUCCACAACACAUCAUAUCAAGGGCCCAUUAAGGGAUUUUAUCACAAUGAUCCAACCUUGAAGAAAAUAAUGGGGAAACAAGGUGUCUGAGUCCGCUAAGGCUAAGGGAUAUGUUUGGUUGCAAUUAUUAAAUGUGAAAAUGAUUUUGAAAAUAAGGGAAAUUAAAAGCAAGGCCAGGCCAGGCCAGCAAUCUAUAAUGCCAAAAACACAAUAAUUUGUAUUCAACUGGUAUCCGUCCAGAAGUAGUUUUGAAGAAAAAGUCAUCAAGAUUAAAACCCAUUUGCCACCCCAAAAGCAGAAAGAUGUGGGAUGUCACACUUGAUAAACAUUUUUCAAACAUCAAACAAAAACAUAGAAAAUUCACCAAUCUGGGAACCUUAGUCUCCCUUUGUUUGGGCCUGCUUCUUUGUUGUUGAAACUCUAUCACUCAUGGAGGACGCUACUUCCCACAAAAAAAGGGUUAAAUGUCCCCCGAGUACAUUUUGUAGAAAUGUUUAAUAAAUGUCACCCAAAAUUUUCUUUUCAAAUAAUAUCCUCUCCUGACAGACUAGACAUUUUAGUAAAAUUUCAAACCCGAAUGUCGAUAUGUGUCCAUGGACAAAACUAUAGGGCACCAACCUCAAUGUGUCAAGAAAUUUGUUGUGUUUUUUCUAUUUUAUUAGGCUAGUGCCUACAUUUAUUAUAUUAGUAUUUAUAUCAGUUUUGUAACUGACUUUCUAUAUAUAUUGUACCAUAUUGUCACAACCAAUAACAGCACAAGCGCCUGGUCCGUUGUGGGAGUGGUUUAAUUUUACAUUUUCACUAGUGUGAAUACCCAUGCUACGUACGGUGCUGACAUUAUUGAAAAAAAUGAAAAUAAAAUGGUGAAUAAAAAAAAGUUAAAAAAUUGUACCAACACAACUAAAAUGUAAUAUCUGUCUAACAAUAGUUUGAAAUAUGAUAGAAUGUGUAUAUCAUUCAAGAACUGCCUUUUUUCGGAAAAUAGAUCCUGAAAAAAUAAUAGAAAUUUAUAUUAGAAAAUGAAUGAUAUAUGAAUAAAAAUCAAUGUAAUUGAAUGUUGUUAAAAUGAAAUACUUACAAAUAUUAUGCAUUCGAUUUGAUAAUCUUGCAUGAAGGUGCGAACACUCUUCACACCAAUCAACUUUUAGUAUAAAAGUCAAAAUUGAUAAUCUUGCAUGAAGGUGCGAACACUCUUCACACCAAUCAACUUUUAGUAUAAAAGUCAAAAUUGGUGAUUUAAUUAAUUCUAUUGAAUUUUGUGUAGUGCAUACUACAAAUGAAAAUGCACGAUUUUUGUAUGAAUUGAUUUGUUGGUUGAACAACCUAUCAUCAUUUUCCUGAGAAUUAAGUACGUACGAAAUUCAAAAUUAGUGUAUUUUUUUAUAUAAUUUAUAAAUAGCAUUAUAAAAAAUAAAUAUAUAUCAAGAAAUUUUACCUUCCGUUGUAAUUCCCUGAGAUAAGAAGCAUCACAACCAAAUACGAAUCAUGCAUGUCUAUCUUAUAGAUUAAGAUGCAUGUUACUACUGGAAUCUCUUAUUUAUAUGUUAACAUUGUAACUGUUUGACAAAUAAAAUGUUAUAUACAAUACAGAAAAUAUGUUGAAAUUAAAAGUACAUGAAAUUAAUUACCUAAUAACAGUGUUGACCACGUCAUUACAAUGCAGACCAAAGUGACAAAGAAUAAGAUAAUGACAAUCUUUUUGUGAUAAGAAACAUUAACUCUUUUGGCCUAAAGGUACGGAAACUGUUAUCAUGACAAUAUCAAAUACUAUACAUAGUUAUCGAACUCCGAGAAUCCAAACUAAGUCGCAAACAAUUUGAAAAUGUAAAUUUCUAUCGUAAGAAAUUUCUCAUAUCAAAUUCCAUCAUUUUUGUAUCUGGAGGGAACUUGGUUUCAUCAAAAGUCAAAUACCAAUACUUGUGCCAUAGGAAAAAGAUGACAUAAAAACAGUGAUGGACAUCUAUUGCUCUGACCAUAAAAUAAAUUUUUGUGCUUACUGUUGUGUAAUAAGUUAUUAUUGAAUCAUGAGAAAAUGAGUCUAAAAUAAUGACCUAUUACCUAACAUUUCACUUCUAUUUAAAGAUGAAAGGCAAUCACAGCAAUAAUCAAUCGAAAAUAUUACAUUAUUGGGAAUAAUAUUUAAAAAACAAUGGAAAUGCAAAUGUUUAAAGAAUAAACAGUACCGGAAUUUCUAAUUUGAUGCAAACGACGUUUUAAUCGGUGUAGUUGGGAUUUUGUUCUUCGAAUUUGAUGUGAGAUUUCUCUUUCGUCAACGCAAAGUUGCUGAAACUUUUCGAACUACUGUGUGGAAUCGUUGCGGUGUACGUUUCGUUUUCUAAACAAAUGUUUCCUCUUUUACAAUCUUGCGAGUCCGAAUUUUAGCUGUCGUUGAAAUGCUUGUAGGCGGGCAUGUUCCAUAGUGAAAUUAGGUUAAUGGUUAAGAUAGAUAUCAUAAAAAUAUUGAAGGAGAAAAUAAGUUCUUGGAAAAAAUGCAAGAAAGUUCUCUUAAUUGGAGUGAGCACGCAAGAAAGUUGAAUGAGCAUGCUAUGUUUUGGAGAACUUUUAAUUGGAGUGGAAUUCUUAAAUUGAAGGACUCUUAAUUGGAGUGAAAAAGUGGGGGAAAUGUAGGGAAAACAUGAGCAUAAUUAUAGGAUUUUUAGGAGCGAUUAUAGGAUUAAUUAACAGAUAAGCAUUUCUUAAAUUGGAGGACUCUUAAUUGGAGUGGAAAAACGUGGGGAAAAUGUGAGCAUGAUUAUAAGAUUUGUAAUAUAGUCAAUAACUUGAUAGUAUACUCAAAUCACCGUUGAAUAAAAAUCGAGUUUGAUUGAAAAAAAAAAAUACUCAAAUCACCGAUGAGGUAAAGUUUGCCUAAAUAAUCUUUACAGUGUCCUAUUUCCUUGCAAAAAAAAAAUAAAUAAAUAGUCCUAAUUGCCAUUGCAAGUUACGGCAACGUGCCAGUGGCAUCUAGUUCUAAUUUUUUUUGGGUCAAAAUCUAGUCCUAAUUGCUUCUACUGUUUCUUGAUCAUGUUGUAUGCUUCCAAAUUCUAGUUAGCGUGUAAUAAUUGAUAAUAGCUUAUUCUAUUCUUUCAUGGUAUUGGACAGGUGAAAAUCACACCAGAAGUGUGAUAAAUUUACUAUAAACUCCUAAUAUUAUCUCCCAUAAUUUUUGUACACUUUUUAAAAAAUUUAAACUUUUGUCAACAAUAGGCUGGUCACGCAUAUAAAAAAAAAAGGGACUCGUCACACAUCUUAUUGUUUGCCCUAAAGAACUCAAUUUAGCAAAUUUUUUAGAAUAAUGGUGAAAAAAAUCAUAACAAUGGAGGAACCUGGGUUUGUUUCUUUUUUUUUUUUUGGGAUCUGAAACAACCCUAUUCAUUUUUUAAAAGAUAAAUUAAUUGGCCAUCUUACAUUCAUUAAGAAAGGGAAAAUUUUUUGAUCACUGCACAUGGAUGUCCGACCAUCCUAAAGGAAAAAAAAAACAAUUGUUCAGUUCUUGCGAUUUUUUUGGGGUUAAAUAGCGUAAGCCCCUUAACUUUACAUUUAGUUGUACUUUACCCCCUCAACUUUACAUUUAGUUGCAUAUUUGUGAUUUUUUUGAAACGUGAUUGUAAUUUGCAAAGUUCAUUUGUAGGUGUGGUUAUAGGAUUAGUUUAGUGAUAAAUAUUUCUUAAUUAUAAAAAUGUAAAAUUGUAUUAAAAUAGAAUACAAAUAAGCAUUUGUAUUUAAUUAAGGAGUAAAAAGGAUUUAAAAUAUAAAUAACAAACUAUAAACAGUUUAUGAAGUAGAUAAUGGAAAAAUUUUAAAUUUUAAAUUUGACUGGUGAUAGGGUUGGUUAUAACCCACUACUUUUUAUGUAUUAAAAUAAAUACAAAAAUCUAGAAAAAAGAAUGAGAAAUUUAGAAGUCAUUGAGAGAUUCUCUCCUAAAAACCCACUCUGUAAUACAUAUAGAUAUAGAUUUGUAUAGAUGAUCUAUAAGAGUAACGACUUCAUAUAUUGUGAAGCCAAGCGAUUUGAUCACAGAUCUCAACUUUGCUUUAACUAGUGUUAUAAGAUAGCAUCCAAGAAUUGGAAAUUUUAAAUAUAAUUAUCACAUUUUGAAAGUGGGGCUCAUGAAACCAAGUAGAUGCAGAGGUGUGAUGUCUUGGAGCAGUGAUUCGCAAGCUUGUCUAUGCCUGGCGAGAAGUGGCAUAAUAAAAUUGAAAAGCUGGGAUGUCUGGAAAAAAUUUAAAAGCUUUUAGCAAUGUUUAUCAAUGGGAAAAAGUGAUUUGAUGGGCAUACUCCUUAGAUAAUCUUGACGUAAUGAAGUUGAAGAGGACACUGCUGCUAUGAAAAUUAAAUUGGGAAAACCAUUCAAAAAAUUUCUUGCAUUUUGCCAAAUGAAUUUUUUCAUCAUUCACUUUUAAAAUGUUAAUUUUACAUCCCUUACAAAUUCAAAUAAAAAAAAAACUUGAUUCUAAUCUAGGUUUCUGACUACUUUCAUCAUGAAUCCAUCAUGUAACUCAUAUCUGACUAUUUUUUAGGGGCAAAAAGAUUAGUUACUAUUUGUAGUUAAAUAAAUGACCCAAUUUAUACUUAUUUUUUUCUCUAAAAAUGUGGAGUCUGAUCUAAACUAUAUUCAUUUUUUCUCCUAAAAAAUUAAGAUCUGAUCCAAUUCAUAUUCAUUCUUGCCCCUAAACAAAUGGGCUAAUUUCUUAAAUUAUUAAAAAAAUUCGGCAAAAUCUAGUAAGUGGUGGAUUUGUUCUUUAUUUAAGGGUACCUAUAUAGUCAUACCUCAUGUACUACAUGUGGCACCCAAAUACUUUUUUCUAAUUUUAAAUGUUUUUAAAAUGUUACUUUAUUUUUUUAAUUUUCAAAAUAGAGGCCACACGUACUAUAUUGCAAAAAAAAAAAUUAAAAGCAUGGGGGCGUGGUUAUUUAAUUAGGUGCAGUUUGGUUUGCAUAUAUAUACAUAUAUAUACAUAUAUAUAUAUAUAUAUAUAUAUAUAUAUAUAUAUAUAUAUUGUUGGGUGCUUUAGUUUCUGCCUUGUCCCUUUUGAUGAUGCAUCAUACCAAACUUCAAUACACAUCCUUUUCUUUUCUUUCUUUUUUUUUCCUUUUUCCUAAAAAAAAAAAGUGAUCAAGUUUUAAACAAAUAAUCCUUUUUGUUUCAUUUUUCUGGAAACUAAUUAAUUGUAUGAUCAAUAUAAUCGUACUAGCUACUGUUAAAUUAAUGUUUUAGCUUUACUUGCUGUUUGAUUAACAAAUGGCAGGAAAUUAAGGCAUCAACUGGGUGCGGUACGAGGAGGGUCAGUGGAUUUGGUCAUUUGUUUUGCAAUAUAUAUUAAAAUAUAAAGGCGGCUGCCGCAUAAAUGUGGGAUGAAAAAAAAAUGUGGAAAACAAUGAAAUUAUUGUGAAUGGGUAAAUUAAAAGCAAAUCCUGCCCCCCCCCCCAAGAAAUAAUUCAAUGCCAAUGCAUGUGGCCCCUACAGAUUUACCGUAUCAAACUUGACCAUGUCUAUAAAACCCCCACUGGAGCUCAUUGUCUUACCCUAACUUGCUAUUCAGCCCUGAUGGAAAGCACUUGGCUACUCUUAGCCUUGGCAUGGGUUGUUGCAUUGGCUUUUCUCUCAAAAGUAUUCACUCGCAAACGCCUCAAGCUAAAUCAUCCACCAGGACCAAAACCAUGGCCUAUUAUUGGCAACCUGAACCUCAUCGGUUCAAUCCCACAUCAAUCCUUACACUUGUUGUCCCAGAAAUAUGGAGAAAUCAUGCAACUAAAACUUGGUUCCAGCCCUGUUGUAGUAGCUUCAUCCCCUGAAAUGGCAAAAGAAUUCUUGCAAACGCAUGACAGCAUUUUUGCCUCUCGACCUACAACUGCUGCUGCCAAAUACACUAGCUACAACUGCUCCGGCAUGUUAUGGGCACCACAUGGUCCACACUGGCGACAAGUUCGUAAAAUUGGUCUAACCCAAAUAUUUAGUACAAAACGGCUUGACUCCUACGAGAGCAUACGCAUUAAGGAAAGGCAUGCUUUCAUGUCUCGUUUGUAUGCUCUCUCAGGAAAGCCAGUAGUUUUGAGAGAUCAUCUAAUCCGUUUUACACUCUCCGCUGCAUGCCAAAUGGUUUUGAGUAACAAGUACUUUGCCCAAUCUGUAGGGGAUGGAUCUGUAGUUACCUUUGAAGAACUCCAAGAGAUGAUAGAGACCUGGUUUUUGCUGGGUGGUGUGUUCAAUAUUGGGGAUUGGAUUCCGUGGCUCGACAGAUUUGACCUCCAAGGUUACGUAAAGCAAAUGAA
This 119202-nucleotide long non-coding RNA is filed under the name Coffea arabica (coffee). RNAcentral's name for it is "long non-coding RNA (CARA_LNC006223)". The record is from RNAcentral. Lineage: Eukaryota; Viridiplantae; Streptophyta; Magnoliopsida; Gentianales; Rubiaceae.